AUAUAUGAGUAGGACUACUAUAUUCUUAUGAGUAUAGAGUCCUUCGUACUCAUAAGUUAUUUUCGAUGUUGGGCUUUUCGAAUCGACGAUCCACACCGUUAAACAUGAUCUAGAGUAUUUGAAACUUUUAGAAAAUAAAUUUCGUAAUUUUUCAAAAUCAUUAUAAAGUCCAUCAAGCGGGUAUAAAAUGAACGGUUAAAAUCAACAUCCUAAAAAUGGAUGAUCGGAUCCUUCAAUUUAAGAUCGGAGUUAUUAAUCUUUAUUUAGGUAGGGAAUAGAAUUUUCUAUCAAAAAUUCAACCUAUUCCGAUUCUUUUUCACCGUUAAACUACCAAAUAUCUCAUACCAGCCGUUAAAAAUUAUCAAUUUUGUGAGCUUUUGAUUGUAAGAUAAAUGAUAUCGAAAAAUUAUAAAAUUUGAUUUCUAAAAGUUUUAAAUACUCUAGAUAAUGUUUAACGGUAUAGAUCGUCGAGUCGGAAGCUCUAUCAUCGAAAAUAAUUUAUGAGUACUGUCACGCCCGGGUACCAGCGGAAGCAUAUCCGGCACGUGCACAGACCCGCCAUACACCUGCAGUAUAUAAGGCGUCUACGAGAAGUAAGUCGAUAGGAAGUAAAACAAGAGAGUCCUAUCCUGAUAUCAGAGCAAAGUACAAGUCGAUAUACAACGAGUAUCCAAUCCGAGUCAAAAUCCAAAGUGUAUACAAACCAUGAUCACAGCAAAAAGAGAAGUAACACUACUAUCAUCUCACCCCGAAAGUAAAUAUACAUCACGGGUGUACAAAAAGAAUAGAUACAAUGGUGGUCUCUCUAUAUAUAUAUGGACAUCACCCUCGGCCGUAGCCCCCCAGCCCGAAGUAGCAAGGUGAUCGACUAGGCAGCCGCCUCCUAGUAUCCCUAGCCUACGGCGCGACUCUUGCGCACGAUCCCUAGCCUCUCCUGUAACAGGCUUCUGUAAAAACAACCACCAAAGGGGUGAGAAACUAUUAACAUUUCCCAGUGGGUAAGCCGCCAGCCUCCGGCGAACUUACACCACUAGGCCCUCCGAGAAUGUAGAAUGGAAAUAAAUGAGCAGAAUUGCAUGAUACUAUUUUCAAUGCUAACAAUUCCAUAAGCCAAUGUUAACAAAUAAUCGCAACAUGGUAAGCAACAGUAAAAAUCAUAGGCAUCAACAGAUAAUGAAUUAACUGAAUGAUAGAAGCAUGGGCUACUACUAUCGAAGCAUAAACGUAGCAUAAGUGUGUAGUAAUGCUACUGUACACUGUAAGCUGGUAAUAUUAGUUACUGUCCAAUUUUCCUUUAGGCAACUUUCCUUUCAUUCAGCUAGGGAUCUACAUCAAGGUAGCCCAAGCUUGCGCCGCGCCUAAUGGCCCGUGGUAGUUACACUUCCCCCAGCGGCAAUCCACUUCGGCAUCGCCCCAAUCCCGCACGGGCGAGGCAAACUGUCCGCGUAGGGCCAACCUCCGGAGCGUGCCGGCCUUGUAGGAGCCUACCCUCACAAGCGUGUGCGUAAUGAGCAGCGAUGGGCCAAGGGCAAGCAAAGUCCAUUAUCCCACAUGUCUCAAUUUUCAUAUUUUCAGCAUACAUAAGUUCAGAAACCCUCCGAUGCCUCUGAUCGGAAUACUCAAUAGCACACAAUAGUAAAAAAAGCUAGUAUCGCACCCUAAUUGUCAAACAUGCUAAGGGUAAAUGGCUAAAAUCAAAAAUAGCAUUAAUCUAAUCCUUUCCACUUAGGUAUCGCCGGGGCACUAUCAACCAUAGGUCAUGAGGCAUGUCAUCAGUCCCAUAUGUUACGGUCAGAAAAUCGUCAUGGUCUCGUACAAAGUGCAGCGAGAAUCAUCCUUGUUCUCCAACUCCUACCCCUAAAGCAUCCAAUCUGAGUCAUGUCCAUGCCUAGUCUAUCUCUUGAAACUAAAAAUAGCCGUCCAAGCAUAAACAUCCAGGCAUAAAGCAAAGCUUGAUGGCAUGAGUACUCCAAUCUACUUCAUAGAGGUUCUAUUCAAUCAUACUGUACCUACGGGCAUAUCACCACUAUCAAUCAUCACGUGACCCUCGUCUCAAUUGCUGUAUCCAACUCAGCAAAACGAUAGCAAAACUGUAUCACACUUCUAUAACGUGACCAUAUACACAUCGGAGAGGCCAGCUUCAGCUUGCUCUGGUUAGGUUCGCGACCCCCCACCCUAGUAGCUAGCGGCUCCCGAUUAAUCACAAGAAGCCUCGCAACACGGCUCAAGCGAAGCGCUCAAGUGCUGCUCGAAAAACGAACGCUCAACUGAUCCGGAUUAAACUCACGGCCGAAAAUGUCGGCCGACUUUCGAAGCUACCAAUUCCCUUAAUAGCAAAGUAACACUCUUUAAAUCCCCGUUUUGGGAAACUAGUGUGAAUCACUCCCAAAGAGACGGCCUCACAAAAGAGCUCUCCAAGCAAGUCAGCCCCUCACGACGAUCCAGAAGCUCGUUCGGCACUCUCUCGGCGUGCGACAACAUCGAGACGCGCAUGCAAUAUGCAAGCAUAUAUAGCAACAUAUAGGUCGGAAUCUUGCAAAUUCAGCUUCUAACUGAAAAUUCCUGCUUAACCUCAGGUUCAGAAUACUCUUCCAAACCAGCUUCUAAGGGUACAAAUUUCCAGGCUCCACACGAAGCUUGAAGAGCGGCUUGCUGGCGAAGAAAUAAUUCUAAAUUGUAUCCAUCUCCGGCGGUAACAAUUUGGCAUUUCGUUCCAAUAUGAGGGCCUUCCAUAAAGUGCGCAAAUAUUCCGGGCAGAUUAAGCCUUCAAGAGUAGGCUUAAUUCGGCAGUCACCCAGCGAAGGUUAUUCAGCAGCCUAAAUAAUCCAAUUCUCUAAUUGCUGAAAUCUCAUAUCUAAAGGCGAAGCUACGAAGCAAUCAGGCUCCAAAAGGCAGCCACAUACCAACGUCUACCUCCGAACGUCGAUGAAUGGAGAAAAUCGAUCGUUUACCUUCUCAAUAGGCGCGGCCAAAAACCGCAGCAGCCCUACUGGUUCAGGACACGCAAAGAGCCCUUCCCACGAANNNNNNNNNNNNNNNNNNNNNNNNNNNNNNNNNNNNNNNNNNNNNNNNNNNNNNNNNNNNNNNNNNNNNNNNNNNNNNNNNNNNNNNNNNNNNNNNNNNNUCAAUAUAGUUUCGUAUUUUUACACUUUAAUACUCUAUAGUUUAAAGUGUAUCAAUUUAAUACUCUAUGAUUUCGCACUUUCUCACUUUAGUACCAUGUGGUUUAAAAUGCAUCAAUUUAAUACUUUGUGAUUUCGUUUUUAAUAGAGAUCAAUAUUCUCACCUUCAGCAAUUUUGAUUCUUUUCAAACACCAAAAAGAACCAAAACUGGCAGUUUCAUUCAAUUCAAUGCCUCUGCAUUAUAUACUAAUAACAAGUAAACAAUCUCAUAUCAAUAAAGACAUACAUACAACAUAAUGCAGUUUUUUUCGCAUUCAUCGCGCUUCGUGGGACAAGCAAUACACUCAAAUCUUACACACUUAGCAUCAUUACAUAUCUUAUUCGACGAUCGUAGACACGCAAGAGAAGAACCAAGCAUUUAUUCACCCCAGCUGAACAUAGUUUCAGCUUUAUUUUAUCGCGCGCGAUGAGAUGACGAAUUUGCACGAAUGUUUAGGAAUUGUCGAUCAGGGGCGGUGCGGGCAUCGGGCUCCCCGAUAAGAAUGCUUUGAGUAGAAUGAGAGCCUGCUUUGGUCGAUGCAGAGGAACUUCGUGCCCAGCGCCCCCGUACCGUCACGAAUGAGAGACCGUCGUAUACUUGUGUCCAUCCACCAACCUAUGCAUUGAUAUAAAUAAGAAUAUGCCCUUUCUGAUUCUAAAUGAACAAGAAACUUUCUAAUAUGUUAGGAAUGUAAUGUGCGCCGACAAUUUUGCUCUUUCUAUUGAAGGCAAAGGACCGAAUUAAAUCACGUUCACAUUUCCAUGCCUGCAUGAAAUGCAAGCAAAAGCGGCAAGGGUUCAAAAUUUUAGCUAGUUUUGUAGCAAACUCGGACAUUAUGUCAUUCUUUAUAUAUAUAUAUAUAUAUAUAUAUAUAUAUAUAUAUAUAUAGCUGGAAUGCUAUCGAUAGCAAACGGGCUCCGUUGCCACCCAUUUGUUUUCGAUGAUGGAGCUUUCAAAUCGACGAUCGGCACCGUUGAACAUGAUCUAUAUCACUUGAAGUAUCUAGAAAUCAAAUUUCAAAUCUUUUUGACAUCAUUUACCUAAUGAUCAAAGGGUUUCAAAAUUAGUAAUUUUAAUGGUUGAUAUGAGGGGUGUUCUCGUUUAACGGUGUAAAGCUAUCCAAAUCAAUUGAAUUUUGGUUAGAAAAUUCUUUAAACUAUUUAGAACAAGAUCUGUACUCUCGAUCAUGAUUACAAAAUUUCGAUCAUCACUUUUUAGAGGAUAUUCAUUUUCAGCCUUUCAUUUUUACGCCCACUUAAUGGAUAAGAAAACAAUAUCGGAAAAGUAUGAAAUUUGAUUUCUAGAUAUUUCAAGUGGUAUAGAUCAUUUUCAACGGUGCCGAUCGUCGAUUUGGAGGCUCCAUCAUCGAAAACAAAUGGGUGGCAACGGAGCACGUUUGCUACCGAUAGUAUUCCAGCUCAACUCUAUAUAUAUAUAUAUAUAUAUAUAUAUAUAUAUAUAUAUAUAGUAGGGCUAGAAUACUUUUACAAGUAUCACCCAAGUGAUACUUGUGUGUUUUUAGCCUUUAGAUGGAGAGAUGUGAGGUUGAGAUGAUGAUGGUAGGUGGUGGUAGGUGGAAUAGUGUUUGAUCCAAAAGCUAUUUGUAAUAAAAAAGUAGAUCCAAUGGCUAAAAACGUGAUAGCAACAUGGGGAUGAUACUUGUAAAAGUAUCCUAGAUCAACUCUAUAUAUAUGUCACCAUAUAUAUUAUAUAAUAAGUACUAAAACAUUUUCUGAUUAAAUGCAAAAGUCUUCUUUUCGUUUUUCAAAACCUUUUUUUUCUGGAAAAUAGUUUUCCACUAUAUUUUGAGAAGCCAAACACCCUCUUUAGAGAUUAACUAGUUAUAAUUACAUCUCUAAGUCCAAAUAACUCAAACAACACCAUUGAUAUAUAUAUAUAUAUAUAUAUAUAGUCUCUUUGGGUGGAAUAUUGAAACACUACUUAGUUAAUUGAACAUGGUCACAAUGAUGUGAUAAAUAGCAUGAACUUACUAAUGCAUAAUGGGUUUGUCCACAUGAUGAGCAUAAAUUGUUAGGAACUUCUUUUGUGAGUAGGAAUUUCUCCAAGUUAUCAUGUAAUUGGGAAAACUUCAAAAAGCCCCCUGUGGUUUCUCAGUUUCUCACUUUAGUACCAUGUGGUUUAAAGUGUAUCAAUUUGCCCUCCUAUGGUUUUUUUUUCUCUUUUUAGUAUCAUUUUUUUUUUCUUAAACCAGUGACUAAGUUAAAAUUAAAGGGUACUAAAGUAAAUAUUUCAUAAAUCUAGAUGGGUAUCUAAAAUUUUUUUAUAUAUAAUUUAACGAAAUAUUAACAGAAAAAAUGCCGAAAAGAUAAAAACAAAACCACAAGGGGGCAAAUUGAUACACUUUAAACCACAGGAUACUAAAGUGAGAAAGUGCGAAACCAUAAGGGGGGUUUUUGAAGUUUUUCCUAUGUAAUUCUAACACUUGAAUAUUUCACUUUGUUGCAGGUCUUCGUCCUAACGGCGCCAAUUCUCUAUAUCGAGCGACUUGGACUGGGAUGUCAGGCGCGUUUAGCUUGUUAUUUAUGUUUUUGUGGUUCAUCGUGGUGUAAGACUGUCGAUACUAUAUAUAUCGAUUAGUUUGCGAGUUAUUCUUUAUUUAUGGUGUUAUCCAACUUUUGAGUGCUUUCCUUUGUUUUAUCUUUAAUGAGAAACUUUAGUACAUUAUUUCAUGCACUCAAGUGUUAUUAUCGUUUAAUGUUCAGAGUACAAUGUAUGGUGCAAACUAUAAACUUGAUUUUGUAAUAUUGAAGAUCAUUUUGUUGCAAAUAAAAGAUGUAGCUUUCGUAUGCUUUCUAGUACAAUCUUUAAGUAUUUAUAUGUCUCACUUGAUAGUGGUUUAAUUAGAGGAGUUCGGCUACUAUACUUUUAUGAGUAUUAGCUUCCUUAUACUCAUAAAUUUUCGGCCCUUAGAUUUAUUCCAUUAAUCAUUUGCACCCGUUAGAUCAUACUAUUCAACCAAUUACCCACUCAACCAUAGAGGACCACUAUUAUUCUAAGUGGGGACCACCAUCAUUCUAACCACAAAUCCCAUCAAUCAACGGUUAAAAAUUUAUGAGUAUAGUAAUCCCAGCCUAAUUAGAGAUAUCUUUGGCUUUAUUUUCUCAAGUUAGGAUUCUUCGCUAUUUAAGGUUGUUUCGCAGUUGAUUUCUCACCCGGGCUACUGGGUUGCGUGCAGUUACAAUAGUACUGCAGUCGCAAAUUCAAAUUUGUUAUUUAGUUUGAUGCAUUUGAAUUCAAGUUUUAUAGGUUUUUUUUUUGAGAAAUAGAUAGCACGCUACCCGCUUCAUUUAUUUUAUUUAGAAAUAAACUUAGCUAGAAAUAUGAAUCAACUAGGAUUCGAACUUAGAAUGUCGGGUACCAAUCACCAAGCCCUUUGUCACUUGCUCUAGGGACAGUUGGUUUCAAGUUCUAUAGUUAGAACUGCAUGAAGAGGCUUAAUUAUAGUAGUUAGAACAAUAUUCAAAUUGAUCACAGUUCCAACUGCAACAAUUAAAGUGAACAAUUUUAAAUGAAAAGUAAGUUUACCUAAUUUAAUCGCCUUAUAAAAUAAUAUAAUUUCAUAAAUGCAUUUUUGCAACAUUUUUUGUGAUAUCUAGCCAAGUGAGAUGUAUAUGAUUAUGACCGUAAUAUUUUCAAUUGCAUAAAUCUCUAUCUAUAUUGUAUUGAUAAUUACAUCCAACCAAGCUUCUCAACCAAAUUUAUUAUGUCUCACCGUUCAAUCAACAUUCAUAUUUGUGCUGGCAAAUUUAAAGUUUGGGAUGUCAGCAAAUCGGCUUCCGGGCAGUUUUUGCAAAAUCCGAAACCACACCUGAAAAGAAAAUCAAAAUUGAAAAUCGUAUCCAAACCUGACCGUAUGUAAAUUCGACUAUUUUAUAUGCUANAGGUACGAAUUAAAGUUUGAAUUAAUUUUAAUAUUUUAUUUAAUUUUGAUUUAAUAUAUUUAUAUUAUAUAAUAUAUAAUAUUAUGUAAUAAAAAUAAUAUUUUAAUAAUUAACAUGAUAUAAUUAUGUAUAAUAAAUAUAAAUGUAUAAUAUUAUUUAAAAUAAAUUUAUAAUAUUAUUUAAAAUAUUAUUUAAUAUAAAUUUAUAAUUUUAUUUAAAUUAUAAAUUUUAUAAUAUUAUUUAAUAUAAAUUUUAAAUUUUAAACAUUAGAGUGUUAAUUUCAAAUAUUAAAAUUUAAGGUGUAAAAUUUAAAAUUUAAAUUUAAAAUUUUAAAAUUUAAAAACUUUAAAAUUUAAACUUAAAUAAAAAAAAGUUUAAAUUUAAACUAGAAUUUAAAUUUCAAUCUUUAAAUUUUAAAUUUAAAACUUAAAUUUUAAACUCUAAAAUUUAAAAUUUAAAAUUAAAAUUUUAAACUUUAAAUUUUCAAUUUUAAAAUUUUAAAUUUUAUAUUUAUAUUUUAUAUUUUUAAAUUUAAGAUUAUAUUUAUUUUUUCACUAUUAUAAUAAUUAAAAAUAAAUAUUAAUGGGUGAAAUUUAGAAUAAGGUAGAAUGGAUUUGUUUGCAAUAAAAAGAAUAAGGGUCCUUAUUGGGUUAAAAGUAGGUUUGCGUUUUAACUAGAUUAGGUACGAAUAUGGAGUUAAAUAUGGAUAGGGACCUUAUGGGUGAAAAACGAAUAGGGGUUUGGUUUGCUAUGCAAACCUUUAUUUAAACAGUAAGUGAUAUAAACGUACGUCCCUUGACAUAUUUUAAUUAGGAUUCAUUAUUAUCUUUUUUCUUGCGGGUUACCUAAGUCUAGCUAAUUUUAAAAAUAAACAUAAAGUUGCUUUUGAAUUUUAAUUUAAACAUAUAUAUAUAUAUAUAUAUAUAUAUAUAUAUAUAGUCCUGACGAUACGAAUAGCACUAUUCCACAAAAAUGGUGGAAUAGUAAAAAGCUUGCUAUUCCGGGAUAACCGGGAAUAGCAAGCUUUGACCGGAAUAAAAUAUCCCGAUAAAAAUUGAGCUCGUUUGGCGGAAUAGCGGGGAUAACUUUCGUUAUCCCCGCUUAUCCCCCGAACCAAACGGGGCCAGUUUAACUUUCAUAUAUUGUUCCUACAAAAUUUUAAUAUUUUCAAAUAUAUCCCUCUAAUUUGUUACCUUUAGAGAACAGUUAGAGAAUCGUUUAUAUUUUCAAUUUUGCCAUCAUAAAUAUAUCCCUUCAAAAGCCAUAAAAGUAUAAUAUAAUCAAAGUUAAGUAUUUAACUUAUGGUUAACUAAGUUUUUCUAAUAGAUUCUAACGGCUGGAAUAUAUUUAAAAAUAUCAAAAUUUUUAAAAGAAUAAUAUAUAAAUAAAAAUUAAAUUUUAUAAAGAUAUAUGUAUUAUUCACUAUAUUUAUAUGGACUGGUACGAAAUUAACCCUAUUGCUUAAAUUGAAUUCUCAGUAGCGCAGAGACAGUGGCAGUUUUGUAAUAUUUUCGAAAAAAAAAUCAACCAUGCGCGGCGCCUGCUUCGCCCGCACAUCCCUCCCCACGUGCGCCAUCCCCCGCCGCACGAAGCGAGGCAAAACCCCGCUUCACGGCCGAUCUCGGCGCCGACUUCGUAAGCCCUCCACUUUCUCCUACCCGAAGUCGGCGCCGACUCCUCUCCUCGUCCCCGCGCCCCCCCCUCUCUCCCGCGUCCAACUGUUCGACCGCGUCCUCUCCGACCUCGAAUCCUUAUCCUCCUCCUCCUCCUCUCCCCCCGACCCCUCCCUCCUCUCCUCCCUCCUCGACUCCGCCCUCCUCCUCCUCCCCGCCGCCUCCUCCCCGCUCCUCGCCGCGCGCCUCCGCCGCCUCCUCCCCCCCGCCCUCCUCCGCCGCCGCCGCGCCCUCUCCGCCAAGCUCCUCCGCCUCCUCUGCGCCCUCGGCCUCCUCGACGACGCCCACCACCUGUUCGACCAAAUGCCCCGCCGCGCCAGGUCCAACCCCUUCGUCUGGAACACCCUCAUCUCCGCCUACGCCGACUCCGGCCUCUUCGAGGACGCCCUCGCCCUCUUCUUCCAGAUGGACGAGGAGGACGACGACGCGGUCGCCCCCGACCGCUUCACCUUCCCCCGCGCGCUCAAGGCCUGCGCCGGCGUCGGGUCCCUGCCCCUCGGCCUCGCCGUGCACCGGCGCGCCGUGCGCGCGGGGUUCGGCGCCGACGUCUUCGUGCUCAACGCGCUCGUCGACAUGUACGCCAAGUGCGGCGACAUACAGCGCGCGCGCCGCGCGUUCGACGCGAUCGCCCGCCGAGACCUCGUCUCGUGGAAUUCGAUGCUGAUCGGGUACCUAAGACACGGCCUUCUGCUCAACGCGCUCGAUAUUUGUAGACGAAUGCUCGACGCCGGAUUCGAGCCUGAUUCCAUUACCAUCUCCGCCAUUCUAUCUGGGUUCAGUUCAUCUUCUUCUUCCGCAUAUCGUAAUAAGCUCGGAAUUGAGAUCCAUGGAUGGGCUAUCCGGCACGGGCUCGAGCAUGAUUUAUCGGUGGCAAACUCUUUGAUCGGAAUGUACUCUGAAAAAGGCAAUGUAGGCCGUGCCCGAUUGAUCUUUGAAUCGAUGCCGCGCAAGGAUCUGGUCACCUGGAAUUCUAUAAUCUCCGCGCACCGCAGAGACCGUAGUGUGCUACUCCUUUAUCAAAGAAUGGUGGAUUCGGGUUUGAUUCCCGACCGCAUCACAUUCGUUUCCGUGCUCUCGGCGUGCGCUAAAUUGGGCCUGGUGGAGGACGGCCGGAGAUUGUUCGCAGAAAUGGAGGAGAUAUAUGGCAUAAAGCCGGGGAUGGAGCACUACGGGUGCGUGGCCGACAUGUUGGGGAGGGCGGGGUUGGUCGAAGAGGCUUACAAUCUUAUAUCCAACCAAAUGCCGUUCGACGGCGGGCCGACCGUUUGGGGGGCUCUGCUGUUUGCUUGCUCGGUGCGCGGCAACGUCGAGAUCGGGGAGAGCGCGGCGGAGAGAUUGUUCGAGCUGGAGCCCGACAACGAGCACAACUUCGAGCUGCUGAUGCAGAUAUACAGAGAUGCAGGGAGGUUGGAAGAUGCGGAGAGGGUGGGGAGAUUGAUGAAAGCUAGAGGGUUGCUUGAGAGGUGUGAUGAAUCUAGUUUAUCAGGAUCUUGCAUUCACAUAGAAUAACCCCUCUAUUAAUUCUCUCUAUGUAUAAUAAUGUGUGUCUCUUGUAAUUAAGCUUCAUUUGAGAUUGUAGGGAGAUUGCGUUACUUGCGGUGAGAAAGUACGAUAGAAAAAUAUUCUAUUUGUUUUCGUACGUAAUAUUGCAUUUCGAAUAUUGCGAUGAGUCGAUUAUGAUAUAUUUUUUGCGGUCCCACUGAAGAAUGCAGAAAUAUAUUUUCAUAUGUUUUUUUCUAACUCCAUUUUAUUUAACCGCGUCAGAUAAACCUCAAUAUCAAACUAACUCUUAGUAUAGUUCUUGCUGUGUAUUUGUACAACGUCAGAGGGUGAAAAAGUAAGCAAAAAUUGGUUGAUCCUAUUAUUUAGUUUGAGAAUCACUUGAUUUUGGUAGUCUUAUUCUACACUCUUUUUAUCUGAAUUUCUGUUCUUUAUAUGCAGUAGUAACUCAGAAGAGCAAGUUUUUUUUUUUUUUUUUUUUUUUUUUAUAANCCGGACCUGGAUCGGACUCGGGCUUUCUCUGAUCAGACUUGGGUCUAGUUCGAACCUUAUGGAAUGGGCGUCAUCGCGUCACGUGCGUUGCACGUGCCAAGGAAAAGAUUCCUUUCCUUGUGGUGUAUUAUUUGGGAUUAAUCAAAAUAAAUCAAAACAAAAAACCAAAAAAAAGUUAAAAAAAGGAAAAAAAAAAAAGGAAAAGAAAAAGAUAAAGGUCCAGAGAAAAGGGGCAGCUCCAACCCCUCUUCUCUCUCUCUCUCUCUCUCUCUCUCUCUCUAACAAUGCCCUCUCCCUCGUCGCUGUAACCCCCUCCCACGUCUAAUCUCCCGAAACCCUAGUCUCACAUAUCUCACUGGUAAGAUUCUUUCACUUGAUCUUUGCGUUUAUGCAUCGGUUACCAUCAAUGGUGCGAUUUUUGGCUGUAUACUGUGAAUUUUCAUCUCCCUUUUUGUGUAAAAAUGUCAUCUUCGUGUUGAACCACUAAUGGUGUUUAGGUUUUGGGUUUUUUACACGACUAAACCCGGUUGAUUCGGAGAUCAAACCCUAAAUCCUGAUCCUUGAAAUCUAGUAGAUGAAGCUCCCAAAUCGGGGUUGUGCAGUAGUUUCGUGAAACUCGGUAUUAGUUGAAUUGAUUUUUCUUUUUUUAAUUUAAUUUUUGUGGAAUGUGUAAUUAUCGUAGGAUUAUUGAUAUUUGGGUAAAAAUGUCUUUUGUGUUUGAACUACGGGGUUUAGGUUUUUGGCUUUUCAUGUGCCUAAUCCUGCUGAUUUGGAGAUCAAACCCUAAAUCCUGAUCUUUGAAAUCUAGUGACUGCAGCUCCCAUAUCAGGAUGAAUUGAGUCAUUUUGCAAUAGUUGGUUGUGACUUAUUACUGGUUAAAUUGUUGGUUUCUUCUUGAAUGUGUUGGGUAAAAAUUGCACCUUUAUGUUGAACUAUAGGGUUUGGUUUUGAGCUUUUAUUUGCACAUACUAGUUGAUGUGUAGAUUAAACCCUAAGUCUUGACCCCUCAAAUCUAGUUGAUGUAACUCCCAAAUAAUAAUGAUCUGUGUCCUUUUGCAAUACUUUUGUUGAACCUUAGUAAAUCUUGAAUCGUUAAAAUUCUGUGGAAUGUGCACUUAGUGACGACUUAUAAAAUAUUUGGGUUAAAAAGCUACCUUUAUAUUGAAGUAUGGGGUUAAGAUUUGCUCUUUUAUCUUGCUAAAUCUUUCGAUUUAGAGAUCAAGCCCUAAAUAUCGACCCCUCGAUUCAAAGUUACCUAUGUCAUUGUGCAAUACUAAGUUGAAAAUUGUUACUAGUUGAAUGGUUAUUUUCAAGGAAUUUCCACUUAUGGGAAGAUUAUUGAUAUUCAGCUUUGUCAUAAAGCAUGUGAAAUUGGUUGUUGUAGGUAUAGGCUGAUAAGGGGAGGAAAGGUUAUUAGGUGGGAGUAGGUAUGUUGAGUGGUGCUUCUAAUAAUUCUCCAUUUUGAUAUAGUUGAGCUAUUUCAGUUUUUAAGCACUUGUUUCAUGCUAAGGUGGUCAUGAAGAGGGGUGCAGUUCAUGGGAAGUAGGUUUUCCUACAGCCUGGGGAAUAUAGUGUCCAUAAUCUUUUGAUGAAUGCAAUUAUCACAGAAGGUGGGAUUUAGAAAUUUGUGUUUUAUUUCAGGAAAAUUUAAUGGAAAAAAUAAUGAUCCCCCUCAGUUACAUAACUUUCCUUUCUUCUCUUGUUAUCUUUGAGUGAGGAUCUUUUUAAGCAAUAAAUAUGCUUUGACAAUGUUUAUAAGUCAUAUAUUUGUUUCCACUAUUGUAUAGUUGGGUUUGCAAAGUGUUGUUAUAUACUGUAGACUUGUAGGGCUGUCAAAUAAGAUUUUUACUAUAAAAAGUGGCUUAUGUUUCAUUUGAAUCUUGACUUGAAUGGGGCCUUUUUAAUUUGCUCAUGUAAUGAAUAAGAAGAGCUUUCGUUGUUCUAGUGUUUCUUGUAUUUGGCUCUCUUUUUUUUUGAGAGAAAGUAUUUGGCUCUCUUGACCUCAAAAGUAUAAAUGAAACAGAAAGAAAUAUCAUACGAUUCUAUGAAUUGUUUAUGAUGAAGUCUCAGUUUCUUGAUUAAGAGUUAAUAGCUUCAUAUAGGCAAAGAACUUUGUGUUGUUGUGGUUCAAGCAAUCCCUUAAGUCUGAAAUUAGCUGUUUUCUAGUCAUUUGACGACUAUUAACAAAUGAAUCUUUAAAUUAAAAUUCCUGCUUAAUGUGAAGAGCUAGAACAGCCAAGAAUACCUUAGCUCCUUCCGCUGUGGUGAGAUGAUUGCAUGUUAUUGUUAAACUUUGCAUUUAUUUUGUAGACUAAUAUGAUAAUCAGCUUGUCAUCUGCCUUUUUGGUAAUCAAAGUUUUUAAAGUGUUUUAGACAUUGAUUUGUCAGAGGAAGGCUGGAAGAGCUGCUUUUUUUGCAGAAAAAGGAAGCUAUGAUACGAACAGGACCUAAGGACACUCAAAACCACGACAACAACAACAACAGCAGCAGCAAUCAGAAGGUCUAUCCGCAACCAAUAAUGGAAGAGAAUGGCAAUCAUCAGAAUAAUAACAAGGACCCAUCAUCAGUGGAUGCUUUGAUUUCCAAGAUAUUCGGCAACAUCUCCUCUCUGAAAGCCGCAUACAUCCAGCUCCAGGACGCCCACACUCCAUACGACCCUGACAAAAUCCAAGCUGCUGAUAAGCUCGUGAUCGAGGAGCUCAUGCACCUAUCCGAACUCAAGCACUCGUAUCGCGAGAAAAACCCUAACAAGCCUAUCUCGGUUUCCCCUCGGGAUUCACGCCUCCUUGAUGAAAUCCAGGAGCAGCAGAACUUGCUAAAAACUUACGAGGUCAUGGUCAAAAAAUUUCAGUCACAGAUUCAGAACAGAGAGUCCGAGAUCGCCCAGGUACAGCAGCAGAUCCAAGAAUCGAGCCAGAGGAAGCAGAAGCUCGAGAAGAAGCUGAAGCAGAGGGGUUUGCUAUCUGAGGAGGGCUCUCAACAAGAAGAAGAAGAAGAGAACUUCUUCUCGAUCGAACUGACGCCAAAUUUGUUCACCUCAGCAGCCGAUACUGCAUAUAAAUCUAUACAUGAUUUUGCAAAGUUAUUAAUUAACAUGAUGAAAGCGGCGGCAUGGGAUCUUGAUGCCGCUGCUAAGGCAAUCGAGCCGGGGGUUACUUAUGCCAAACGGGCACAUAAGAAAUACGCGUUCGAGGCUCACAUUUGCCAGAGAAUGUUUAGUGGGUUCCAAGAAGAGAGUUUCACUGUCAAAUUAGCAAGCAAUGCUAGUACUGUUUCUUCUAAUGAGGGUUUCUUCCAUCAAUUUCUUGCUGUGCGGGCGAUGGACCCGUUGGAUGUUUUGAGCCAAAACCCAGAUUCUAUUUUUGGAAAAUUCUGCAGGAGCAAGUAUUUGCUGGCCGUGCAUCCAAAAAUGGAAAGUUCGUUUUUUGGUAAUAUGGAUCAGAGGAACUAUGUGAUGGGCGGAGGGCAUCCGAGAACACCCUUCUACCAAGCUUUUCUUAAACUGGCAAAGUCGAUAUGGCUUUUGCACAAGCUCGCUUACUCCUUCGAUCCCAAAGUUAAAGUAUUUCAAGUGAGGAAGGGAAGCGAAUUCUCAGAGGUUUACAUGGAGAGCAUUGUGAAAGACAUUAUACUCGGCGAGGGAAGCGGUCAGAGACCGAAAGUUGGGCUAAUGGUGAUGCCGGGCUUUACGAUCGGGAGCAGCAUCAUACAGUCUCAAGUGUAUCUAUCUGGUGUUAAAUGCACCGAAUAGAAGCACAGAAAAUUAAAAUUUUCUUUUAAGGGUGUGACUUAAGAAUGUGCUGGUAAUUUAAGUGCAAUUAAGCUAUUUAUGCAUGUAUAAAUCAUGACAGGGAAUGUAAUGAACUUUGACAAAAAAGAGUUUGGACCCAAAGAUAUAGUAAGCCUUGCAUUGGGAAAGUGUGAUUGUUCCGUCGAAAACUGGUCACUACAUUUUGGAUGAUUACAAGUGUAGAUACAAAGUAAGUGAUUUGCUGUUUCCAUGUUGUAUUGAUUUUCCUACAUUCUGAUGGACGGUUAGAUUUGCUGGUGCGUAGAAAUUUUCUGUAUGCCAGAUGUUCAAAAACUCCAGCUUCUUGCUCAAAUCACUGCGAAGUUGUUGUCUAAAUCCGGAGCAUGAAAAACAUUAAUGAUCCAUGAACUUCCAAAUUCAUCCAAAAAUGGUUGUUCGUUAGCCAGAUUUGUAAACAACCACUUCAUACUAUUCUAGUUGUUCGUUACAAAUGUUUAACAGAUCUGAUAAUUUAAUUUGUUACUCGCGAACUAGCUCGUGUUUGACCGCUAAUAAAUAAAUUGAAUAUGAUCUAAAUUUUGUAUUUCCAUAUUCUAACGAAUUAGUUGAUGUUGGAUUUGUUUAAUAAAUGAAUGAACAUGCGGUUGACAGCCCUAUGUGCCGGCAGCAUUUCUCUUUCCCAGUAUAUAAUAAUAAAACGUGGCAUUGACCCGACGGACUGCUGCAAACUGAUUAAAUCACUGACAAGAACUCCGUAACCUAAUGAGAAGAAUUCCAGUCAAGGUGACAUGGCUGUCGUCAUCAAUGCCGUCAGCCUUUUCUUGAUCACGUCAGCAGUGACCCGAGCCACUUCAUUUCCCACGCGGAAUUUUCUAAUGAGGCUUUCCUCCUCCGUAUAAAUACACUACAAAACCACACACACACACACACACACAAAUUACGAGCUCAAUUUUGCAAAGUAGAGAGAGAGAGAGAGAGAGAGAGAGAGAGAGAGAGAGAGAGGGGGGUAUUGGUAAGUUGAAUCUAUUGUUCUUUCCCUUUUAUUGUUCUCUCUCACUGUUUUUGUGCAUUAUUUCUUCCUCUGUAUUAACCAGUGAGUUUUUUUUUUUGCUUAAUUUGGGGAUAUAUAUGUAUUUUUAAAUUCUUUGAAUAUAUUCUGUGAUGAAAGUUUAAAAUUUUUUGCAGUAUUUUCAUUUUUCUUCGCCACCUAAUUUUUUUUAAAAAUAGAAAAUAUUGUAAAAAGUAUUUAUUUAAUGGUAAAAUGGUCAUUGUUGCAGGGUAAAAGAAAUGAACUUCAGGGAGAGUGAUAAAUUUAUAAAAUUUAAAGGGUUAAUUUUAUACAGAUUAUUAUAAAUAUAGUAAAUUACAAAUAUAUUCCUAUAAAAUUCAACUUUCAUAUUUUGUUUCUUCAAAAAUCUUAAUAUUUUCAAAUACAUUUCUUUGGCUUGUUACCUUGAAAAUACUAUUUAUUUUAUAAAUGAAAUGAUCUUUUUGUCAUCACAAAUGUGUUAUUUCAAAAUUUUCAACUUUUAAUUAAAGAGAGGUAAAAAGGUCAAUUCACCUCAUUAACUAAUUAUGAUUAAUAAAUUUUUUCUAACGGAUUCUAAUGGCAAAAACAUAUUUAAAAAUAUCAGAACUUUAAUAUAGACAACAUAUGAAAGGUGAACUUUAUAGGGAUAUAUUUAUAAUUCACUAUAUUAGUAAGACCUAUAAUGAAAUUAAUCCAAAUUUAAAAUAUGUAAUUUGACUAUUUUGCAGGGUUAUGUAGGUAAAUUUCUCAUUAAUUUACACUGCUACUUCUUUUUAUAGAACUUAGGGGAGAAAAAAAAAAAGAAAAAAAAAAAGAGGCAAUGGCUGGUGAAUGUGGAGAGGGGAAUUGUCUCGGUUGGGCUGCAAGAGAUGUUUCUGGAACUCUCUCGCCCUACAAAUUCAACCGAAGGUAUAAUUAUUUCUUUUACAAAUUCGACAGAUUACAUGUUUAUUUGUUUGGGUUAAAUCAUAAAGAAAAACACUUAAGUUUCUUUCGGUUGCAAUUUGACCCAUUAACUUGAAAUUGAUUUGAAAAAAACACAAUACCAUUUUUAGCAUAAUAGUUUGACCCACAAAAUGAGUAAUCUAAUGUUACUUAGUUUGAUUCGUGGACUUUAACAUGUGGUUUCACACUUUCUUACUUAGUACUCUAUGGCUUAAAUGUAUCAAUUUAGUAUUCUAUGGUUUUAUUUUUCUCUUUUUGUCAGUCCCUCUGAUAACAUUUUGUUAAAUCAUCAUAUACAAAAAAUUUCAGAUACCACACCUAGAUUUAUCAAAUAUUUACUUUAGUAUCCUUUAGUUUUAAUUUUAUUACUAAUCUAACGAAAAAUAAUUAGUGGAGGGAAUAAUAAAAUAAAAAAUAAAAUCACAGGGUACGAAAGUAAUACAUUUUAAACCACAGAGUACUAAACUGAGAAAGUCUGAAACUGCAGAAAUGAUAUUUGAAGUUUUCCCUAGUUUUUACUUAUUCAAGCUUAAGCUCAUUGUAGACAAAAUUAUGGACAAAUUAAAUAUUCCUAAAUCUCUAUAAUCACUAGUUAACAAACCUUGAUUCUUUUGCUUCAUUUACCUUUGCCUACCCUGCUUAUGAUCAGUCAUUUUAACCCUUUCAAAAUUGCUUUGUCGAUCGCCGUUGUUUUGGUUCCUCUUCAUUAAUAAUUCUUAUUAAUCUUUCUUAGACAAAGUAGUCAUGACAACUGUUAUUUCGAGCUAAUCAAAUAGUUAUAUUUGUGAACUAAUGCGUAAAUUUAACUUCGCGUCAUAAACACGUUGUUAGAAAAAUCAUGUACUAAUAUGCUAACAUUAAGACUAAUUCCUACACGAAGCUAACAUGAUUUUGAUUACUGUUGAUUUGGCCUUUUAAAACUGAUUGAAAAUGGUAACUAUGAACCACAAUUUUACAGGGAUCUUCGGAACGACGAUGUCUCGAUAAAGAUAACAUAUUGUGGCGUUUGCUAUGCCGACGUCAUCUGGACGAGAAAUAAACUCGGCGAUUCGAAGUACCCGUUGGUUCCUGGGUAUGUUUUGUUGAAUUCAAAUACUAAAGAAUCUGUCUCAGCAUGCGUAUAUGCUACUUAUACGGUGCGAUUGGCGCGAUUUGUUUGUAGGCAUGAAAUUGCAGGGGUUGUGCAAGCGGUCGGUUCCGACGUUAAACGCUUCAAAGUUGGUGAUCAUGUCGGAGUUGGAACCUACGUAGACUCGUGCAGAGAUUGCGAGUAUUGUAAUGUUUUCCGAGAGGUUCACUGUGUGAACUUCCCAACAGGGACUUUCAACCGCUUAGAUUCCGAUGGUACGAUCACUAAAGGCGGAUAUUCUAGCUACAUAGUGGUUCGCGAGAGGCAAGUAACUGCACAUGAACAAAUCGAUCAAUCUCUGUCGCAGAAAAGUGCACAAAAUAAGCUAACAAGUUCACAAGUUUCAUGCUUACUAUUAUGUCGACAGGUUUGUCGACAAGAUACCUGAUGGGUACCCCUUAGAGAAGGCGGCGCCACUGCUAUGCGCAGGGAUUACAGUGUACGCGCCGAUGAUGCGCCAUAAAAUGAACCAACCUGGCAAAUCUCUCGGCGUGGUCGGGCUCGGUGGAUUGGGUCAUAUGGCUGUGAAGUUUGGAAAAGCCUUUGGAUUGAAUGUAACCGUUAUUAGUACGAGCGAGUCCAAGCGCGAAGAAGCCAUCAAAGUUCUCAAAGCAGAUAAAUUUGUGGUAUCAUCAGAUGAACAGCAGAUGCAGGUACUUUCUAUCUUUAGAUUUGCCGCCCUGUCGAAUUUCGUGUUGAAUCUCGUGUUCGUAGUCAUUGCAACACUCGACUUGCUUUCGUUGCAGUCGCUGACGAAGUCCCUGGACUUCAUUAUCGAUACUGCUUCUGGCGACCACCCGUUCGACCCAUAUCUUUCGCUCCUAAAGAUCGACGGUGUCAUGGUCUUGGUGGGCUUUCCUAGCGAAAUUCGAAUCAGUCCUCUAACACUCAAUUUUGGUACUUCUUUUUCUUUUUUUUUACUCUCCCUUUGCAUCAAUCCUUCAAACUACAUGCACAUGUAAAUCACAGUUAACAUUUUCCUUUUCUUUUGUUCGUAGGCGCGAGAUCGCUUGCAGGGAGUGUAACCGGCGGUACCAAGGAAAGGCAAGAGAUGAUCGACUUUUGUGCAGCGAAUAAAGUGUACCCGGAUAUCGAGCUCAUCGGUAUCGACUACAUCAAUGAGGCUCUCGACAGGCUUACUAAGAGCGACGUCAAGUAUCGAUUCGUGAUCGACAUUGCGAAUUCUCUUAAGUGAUGAUCCUAAAUUUUCUGCAUGUGCCCACUAUAGACACAACAUGUAGUUUGAUUGUGUGUGUGUGUUUGCAGUGAAGAGUGUUACUGUUGUUGCUGAUACAUGGAAAGCUUGCAUGCCUCUGGAAUAAAAGUUUUUUUUUGUCUUUUUGGUGAAUUUAGUCAAAUUUGUGUUUGAAUGAUCCUUGGUUUUUGUUAUGUUCUGUUCAAAUGUAUUAGUAGAUGAGUUUAGAAAUAUAUUCUGACUAUAGAUAUGCUAAUACCUUUAACUGCAUAUAUGACACUCAACUUUUCAGAAGGAUCACUCAUCCUAGAACUACUUUAGUCCUAACACGCAUAACUCUCUUAAUCUUUUAGGCCUAAUUACCGCCUAUAAUACUAUAACCGGGUUCAGAUAUUUAGUUCUAUUACUAUGUCUUAUAUAUAAAACUAUUUGGGGUCUUACGGUAUAGUUGGCUAAGUGCUGGAGAAAGCUACAACUAAAAGCCAAUGAGAGGAUUUGAUACCCACCAAGUUACUAUUUAGGUAAAAAUAUAUAAAACGUACUUAAACUAUCAAUCAUUUUGAAUCGGCUACCUAACCUUUCAAAAUUUUAAUUUUGAUUUUGCAAUCCGAUCAUUUAAUUUUUUGAUUUAAAUAGUCAAUGAUACUUUGACUUCAAAAUUUAUGCUAAUUACUUCUUUUAAUGAAGUUAUAGAUGCAAAAACUAUAUAAACGAUAGAUUCAAAUUUUAAAAAUAAACAGAUUGAAAAUAGUCUCAAUAUUUUUCUUUCAUAUGCAUGAUGGAGAUCAGAUGAACCAUACCGGAAUGCCGAUGGGUAUAGGAAUGGAACCCUAUACACCUCUUGAAAUAGGGAGGGUUAGCUUAAGAUUGACUUUGAUACCAAUUAUCCAAAAAAUUGAUGUAACACCAAUCAAAUCUAAAAAACAGUAGGCCUUGUUUGAAUGAAUGAACACAUUACUUAGUACAUCUUUCUAAUUUACUUAAGAAAUUUGUAAUAUUUGAUAGAUAAGAAAUAUGAAUAUUUAAAAUGGAUAGCAUAUCCCGCCGUCAAACUAUAUUUUUUUUAUAAUAAGAUAAAUCACCUCGUAGGUGGAAUAUACUUUCUUAUCUAAUCCAUAGCUAGUUAAUUCGAAUUCGGCAAAAAUUCGGUACAGGCAUAAUUCGAAUAAAAUUAGUAUCUCAAUUUUUAAAUUCGUUGAAAAAUACGGCUUAAAAACGGAUUCGCCAAUUAUUCGGAUAUGCUAUUUAUAUGAAAAUUAUACGUUUACCAAUUAAUAAUUCGGGAUAAAAAAUUUGGCUAUUAAACUAAGCUCUUUUUUUUUUCUAGAUUUAUGCUACUAGCAUAGAUAGUUAUAAAUUCUUAAGAAUAUAAAAAAGAGAGCUACAAAAUAAAGUAGAUAAAGUAAAAAAAGUAUUAGCAAAUUUUAUUGCCGUUUCCAUCUUCAUCUUUUUCAUCAUCAACAUAUUUCAGAAGUUCAUGAAACUUUUCAAUAAUUUACAAAUAAUUCGCGAAUAAUUCGGCAAUAAUUCGGAAAGAAAUGUUAUUAAAAAAAUUGCACGUUUUUUUGGCCGAAUAGUUUGGCACACUCAAAUUAUUAGCGAAUAAUAAAUCUAACCCAAAAUUUCACGUAUUAUCUUGAUUUUUUAAAAAUAAAUCGUAUACAGAUCGUUUUAUUCGAAUUUUUAAUAAUUUACGAAUAAUUCACGAAUUAACUAUGAUCUAAUCAUUAAUGACAAGACCUUUUUGUCUUAUUCGGAUGUCGGAGUACAUAAUUCAGUACGAUCCUAUUCGAUAUGAAAUUAAAAAAUUAAUGUUUUAAGGAAAAAAAAAAAAAGAGAAGGCCUAAGGUAUUGCGCCGGCUCGCCUCCCCUUCCCCCUCCCCUUCCACCAAAUUUUUUUUAAAAAAUAAAAUUUAAUCUUGGACUAAAAUACCUCUCCAAUGGUUUGAAAAAUUAGAAUGUUGGGUAAAUAUUUUGGCAUUUUUUUUAUUUAUUUUAAACUUUUACAAAAGUGAAAUUUGGAUUUGGGACUGUAUCUCGAAUUCGUACCGUGCUGUGUGCCGCCCGGUGCCGACCUAUUUUCAGCCUAGGUGACUGUAGAUCAUAUUAGUGCAGUAAAGUUCAUGUAAUGCUCCGUGUCAAAAAAGAAAAAAAAAAUACUAAUAAUAAAAUUAAAAACCAACCACUUCAUGGUACUAUAGAAGUUGUUUCAUUACAAAUGUUUUACUAUUUCGAUUUUAGGCCAAUCAAAUUGAUUGUAAUUUUUUAAGUGUUUUUCAGCUUGUCGCUCAGUGUUAGGGCUGAUAAUUUAAUUUGUUACUCGCGAGCUAACUCUUAUUCGGCUCGUUAAUAAAUAAACCAAACAUGAUUUAAAUUUUUCGGAUCGAUAUUUUAACGAACCAGCUCAUAUUCGGCUCGUUUAAUAAACGAAUAAGUCGGUGUUUGGAUUAGCUUCUCAGAAGUGAUUUUGGACUCAAAAGUAAUUUUUAGCUUAAUAGACCAUUUGGCAAUCUCAUUUUCAGAAUUUGGUUCUUAUAUUUAACAUCAAUUUUAUUAUUUUCAAGUCCCAAAAUUAGAAGCAGCUAAAAUUUGCUUCUUGCAAUCUGAUUCUGAUUUUAGACUUAAAUUUUAAAAUUUUAUUUUAAUUUUGAAUUCAAAUUUUAAAUUUUAAAUUUAAAUUCAAAAUUUUAAAUUUAAAGUUUAAAUUUUUAUGAGUCAAUGACUCAGUUCCACUCAGCUCGUUGGCAGUUUUAACUAAGAAUUUAAGUGCAGUGGUACGGAGUCGUGUUGGAAACUUGCAAGUACGGUAUGGCAUGAUGUGUGCCGAGCCAUGCCGAUACAUGCCUGUCAAAAAAAUUCUUGUGUGCCGACACAUAAUAGUAUGAAAUAUUUAUUUUCUUUAGUAACAAAAUAUUCUAACUAUUUAUUAUAUUUUUUUAUUAUAUUUUUUAAAUUUUAUUGAGAAAAUUACUUACUAAUUUAAAGAAUAGAAAAUUUUAAGAUAUAUCACCGGCACGAAAUUUAUAUCGUGACGAUAUUUUAUUAAUACGAUACAAUACAAUGAAUACGGUUUGUGCCGACGGAUACUUAAAACGUUGGUCCUAACCGGUGGUUCCCCGGUCAUAGACUGAUUAAUUCACUGACAAGAACUCGGCUGACCUAACGAGAAGAAUUCCAGUCUAGUUGAUGUGGCUGUCGGUCGUCAAUGCCGCGAGCCUUUUCUUGAUCACGUCAGCAGUGACCCGAGCCAAUUCAUUACCCACGCUGAAUUUUCUAAUGAGGCUUUUUUUUUUUUCUUUUUUUUUUUUUUUUUUUUUUUUUUUGAGAGAUAGAUAACACGUUAUUUGUUUCGUUUAUUUUAUUUAGAAAUAAACUUAACUAGAAAUAUGAAUCAAUUAGGAUUCAAAUUUGGGUCUCGAAUACCAACCACCAAACUCUUUACUACUUGCUCUAAGGACGGUCGGUAUAAUGAGGUUUUUUCUUUUUCAUAUAAAUAUACGACAAAACCAAACACUCACACACACCAAUUAAGAGCUCAAUUUUGCGAAGUAUAGAGAGAGAGAGAGAGAGAGGUGUUGGUAAGUUGGAUCUAUUGUUCUUAAUUAGGGUUUUCUUUUAUUGUUCUCUCUCUGUUUUAUGCAUAAUUUUUCCUCUUUGUUAAAAAAAUAAAAUUUAAUCUUGGACUAAAAUGCCUCUCCAAUAGUUCGAAAAAUCAGAAUAUUGGAGAAAUAUUUUGGCCUUUUUUUAUUUAUUUUAAAACUUUACAAAAAUUAAAAUAUGGAUUCGGAACUGUGUAGUAUUCGAAUUCGUACCGUACCGAGCCGGGCCGGGCCGGUGUCAGCAUAUUUUCGGCCCAGGUGAAUGUGGAUCAUGUUAGUGCAGUAAAGUUCAUGUAGCGCUCGGUGUUAAAAAUUUUAAAAAAAUACUAAUAAUAAAAUUUUAAAAAAUAAAAUUUUUAAAAAAAGGUCAAGGUAGCUAACGUAAUCAAUGAGUCAAGGCAGUUUGGAACCUAUAAAUACACCAAGGCUGUAUACGUUAUUGUCCCAGUUUCCCAACACGCACAAAUUAAGAGCUCAAAAAUGGAGAGAGAGAGAGAGAGAGAGAGAGAGAGAGAGAUUGUGCCUUGGAGGUAAGUUUAGUUAAUGCAUUGGUACACAUUUUUUUUUUUUUUUAAUUUUGGGUUAGUUUCGUAUACCUUCCUGUAAGAGCAAUAUUAUAGGGGGUAGAGCUACUAUAUUAUCGAAAACAUAAAGUAGUUGAUGUUUUUAAUUUUUUAGCCCUAAGAUCAAAAAUUCUACGAUUGGGAUGAUAACGGUCCCUUAGGGUUGAGUGGUCUCUAUUGAUUAAUAAUAUUAAUCCAAUGAUUAGAAAUGAUCAAUGAGCUUGAUUUAAGGGCUAAAAAAUUGGAAGCACUAACCACUUUAUACUUCUGAUAGCAUAGUAGCUCUACUCAUAUUAUAAUUUAUAAGUACACUCUAAGAUAGAAUGUAUAUCUUACACCCAAAAUUAUUUUUAUCAUAUCAAUUUUUUAAAAUUUUACUAAAAAUCAAUUCGAUUUUUAUCAACUCUAGAAUUACGGAGGUAAGAUAUACACUCUUUUUUGGGGUGUAUCCGUAGCAUUGCUCUUUACAAAAAUUUUUCUAUAAUUUAGCCUUAAAUUUGUAUAGAGCUAAUUUAGAAUUUCACUAUUUGGCAGGGGUAUAUAGUCAAUUUGCCCACUGCUAUUUUAUUUUUUUUAAUAGAUGUAAUAUUAGGGCAAUGGAUGGUGAAUGUGGAGAGGGGAAUUGUCUCGGCUGGGCCGUGAGAGAAGGUUCUGGAACUCUCUCACCCUACAGAUUCAAUCGAAGGUAUUAUUUAUUUAUGAUUUAUUUCCUUUACAAACUCCUCCACAUCUUUACUAAGAUUUAAAAGUAAAUAAUUAAUUAUCUAUCUGGGUUUACUGAGUUUAAUUUGGGCAUCAAUUGAAGUUUUUUGGGUCAAAUUGAAAUCAGUUCGUGAAUUAUUUUUGCAUCAAAUUAGAGUUUGUAGAUCAAUCUGCAAUUUAUAAAAUGUUAGUGGAAGCAAUAUGUUAUCCUAUACUAUGAAUGGUAUUUGGAAUCUUUUGAAUUUAUAAAAUAUUUCCAUUGAUUAAUAGAUGUUUUCACUAAUUCAGAGGCUUAUAUACCAUACCACAAAAUUUUGAUUUAUUCAGAAUUAUGCUCACAGUGAACAAAUUUGUGAAUCUACUUACACAAAUCAAAUUGUAUUUUGCAUUUUUGUACUCUGUAAAAUUGAUCAGAUCAUUUUGAAGCCAUAGAGAAAGUAGUUCUAGUAAUUGCGAAUUUCGCGGAGUUUCGAUAUAUCGACUGUUCUCGCAGAGUUUCAUGCAAGCUGAUAUGUAGCUGAUUAAGUUAGGAUGUAUACCCUUUUUUGUUCUAUGAACAAACAGUUAUAUUUCUUGAUUUCUAAUAUAGUUGUAAAUGAGUAAGUUAUUUCGUGGUUUUUCAGUUUGUGUGUUUUCUUAAUCUAUGUGUGAUUUUCAGCAUAAUUUGGAUGUAAAGUAAUGAUAUUGUUUUAAGAAAUGCUGAAACUGAAAACUGGAAGCUAAUGUGAUUUUAAAUUGAGUUUUUGCAGUCGAACAGUUGAAGUUAAAUUAUGUCACUGUUGCUUGGCUUUUUAAUGUUAAUUGAGAGUAGCAACUAUAGACCAUGUGGGACUAAUUGUAGUAGAGCAUACACAGGGAUCUUAGGAGUGAUGAUAUCUCGGUAAAGAUUACACAUUGUGGAGUUUGUUAUGCCGACGUCUUCUCGACAAGGAAUCAAUUUGGUCAUUCACAGUACCCACUGGUGCCUGGGUAUGUUCGUCGAAUUCAUAGGAUUCUAUAUAUAUUACCUACAUUAGUAAAACUAGUUAUUGAUCUUUCUUGCAGCAGUAUCUUUGUUUGAAGUUCGAAAAUAGAUUAGCUAUUUCAAUUCAUGUAUAUGUUGCUUAUAAGUUUGAUAUCUCUCUAGGCACGAAAUUGUAGGAGUUGUCCAAGAGGUCGGUUCAGAUGUUGAACGCUUCAAAGUUGGUGAUCAAGUUGGAGUUGGAACUUACGUUGACUCGUGCAGAGAAUGCGAGUAUUGUAAUGUUUUUCGAGAGGUCUAUUGUGUGAGACCCGCGACAUUUACUUAUAACAGGCCCGACUCGGAUGGCACCAUCACUAAAGGUGGAUUUUCCAGCUACAUAGUGGUCCGCGAGAGGCAAGUAACUUCCCAUGAGCUAUAUAUGUACUUUCUCUGAGGUAUUUUUAUAGUAUCUUGAUGAUACGAGCACCUGUGUAAGCAAAUAUGAAAAAUAGUAAUCAAAAUUAGAAGUUCAUAAACAAUCUUUAACUUCUCUGGGAUGAUGCUGUUCAUCUUCUAUUUGUUAUUUAUUUUUUUAGAACUAAUUGUUCUAUCUACACAUAAUUUGCUACCAGAACUUGAUAAAUUCAUAGUAUCUAUUUGCAAACAUUUUGAUAAUGUGCUUUUUUUUGUCCUGUUACAGGUUUGUUUACAAGAUACCUGAUGGGUACCCAUUAGACAAGGCGGCGUCAUUGUUAUGUGCGGGAAUUACAGUGUACGCACCGAUGAUGCGCCAUAAAAUGAACCAACCUGGCAAAUCUCUUGGGGUGAUCGGGCUCGGUGGGUUGGGUCAUAUGGCUGUUAAGUUUGGAAAGGCUUUCGGAUUGAAAGUAACUGUUUUAAGUACAAGUGACUCUAAGAGGGAGGAAGCCAUUAAAGUUCUUAAAGUGGAUGAAUUUGUGGUAUCAUCAGAUAAGCAGCAGAUGGAGGUGAUUUUUCUCUUAAAUAUUUUCUUAGAAUUAAACUCUUUUCGUGGUUAACUCCAUGAUUUAGUUGCUUUAACUGCAAGUUUGUAUGAAAUUGUUUGAUGUUCCAAACUUCUAAUUACUUCAUUACUUUGUAGUCUCUGACAAAGUCCUUGGACUUCAUUGUCGAUACUGCUUCCGGUGACCACCCAUUCGAUCCCUAUCUUUAACUCCUGAAGAUCGAUGGUGUUAUGGUCUUGGUGGGCUUUCCUAAUGAAAUCCGAAUCAGUCCCCUGAGCCUCAAUUCCGGUAUUUCUUUUUCUUUCCCUUUUAUAAUUACGAUAAUAUCUCAAAAACCAUCCUAAACUUCAUGUACACGUAAAUCAUGUUUAAUUUUUUUUCUUUUGUUUUUUUUUGGUAGGUGCGAGAUCUCUUGCGGGGAGUGUGGCGGGUGGUACCAAGGAAACACAAGAGAUGAUAGACUUUUGUGCAGCAAAUAAAGUGUACCCAGAAAUCGAGCUCAUUAAUAUUGACUACAUCAAUGAGGCUCUUGACAGGCUUACUAAGAAUGACGUCAAGUAUCGUUUUGUUAUCGACAUUGCGAAAUCUCUCGAGUGAUGAUGCUAAGUCUAUAUGUACCCACAUAGCUGAUUAUUUGUGCUUGUUAAGAGAGUGUAAAUUGUUAUUUUGAUUGCAUUGCAAACUUCUAUUCCCUAUUAAUAUAAAUUUUUGAUGUCUUUUUUAUGAGUUUAAGUCAAAUUUGUGUUUGAAUGAUCUUUGAUUGUGUUAUGUUAUGUUCAAAUGCAGUAGGAGUGGAGUUUUAAAGCUCGAAUCUAAUUAUAGAUAUGCGAAUACCUUUUGUAAUGAAUUGUGUUAUACUCACUUAUUUUAUAGCUAUAUGCUAAUCUUGUACUAACAGGAAUGCCAUUUGAAUGAAGAACAAUUAUAGAAGUAAGGAAGUUCUUGAUUGGAAUUUACAGUGGAUCUGAAAUGGGAUCAAUCGCAGAUGACUAGAAGGUUAUCUGUUGUUUUCCGGAUCAAUGCAAUCAGGUAUGACGGCGGGUAAGGUCAGUUACUCAAAUGCUUUAGUAGUUAAGUUAGUUAAUGUGGCAAAAUUUGAUCUGUAUAUUUCCAAACAAUAUUUUGUAGGAAAAGUUGCAUGAUUUUCCAAUUAAUAGGUAAGUUGCACUUCAAUUUUGUUUGUUCAUUUUUUUUCUUUUGUUUUUUUAAUGAACAAUUGAAUUAUUUAUCCGUUCUCCCUCGGCUCAUUAAGUUAAACAUGCGUUAUAUUUGGUACUUCAGUUAUCUUUUUGAUAAACAGAACUAAUGAAUUAAUGAAGUUCAACCAUUAUUGUUGGAAUUGAACUAAAACUGCUGCAGCUAAUUACGGUACUCAUGCGGAGUAUGUUGUGUAAUAUUGAGUAUUCAAGUUCCAUUGACUAUGUUGAUCCCGUCCGAAUCAUUCCAAGCCAUAACUCCAGUUAAUGAUGGUUCAAUCUUUAAGAGCCAUUAGAGGUUUAUAAUAAACCAUUUAGCAGAAAAGGAUUCGUUAGUUAGCGUAAACAAAAAGAACUGUAGUAUAAGAUCAUCUGAUACUUCUAGUGGAUAAAAGGGUUGAUUGCAAUCUGAUACUAUACUCCACUUUAGAUGUUUAGUAUUAGUAGUGUUUGCAUCGUCAUCAUCAUCAUAACAAACUACUUAUUCUACUGCAUCUGAUCCAUUCAUAGUUGGCAACUUGGCAUACCAAACAGUGAGUAACCUAUCGAAAGGAACCAAUGCUUUGUCCAUCAUUCUACUUGUCCUUUAUAUCCUUCUCUAUUCCUCUACACCCUUUUUAAGUGACCGAAAAAGGGUUCCUCUGUAAUUGUUCAAUGAGUCGAAACUCCACCUGAGCACCAUAUUUUGUUAUUACUCUAUGCAAACAACUUUUAUGUUCCAUCUAAUAAAAGCAGUGAGAAAGAAACCAAUGUCCAGCUGUUGCCGAGAUGAGCUUUCUUAAGGCCUCUGCCCCCUACACUGGAAUGAUCACCAUUCAAUUAGUCUAUGGUGGUUCAAACAUUCUUAGCAAGAUAGCCUUGGAGCAUGGGAUGAGUUUUCUAGUGUUCGUCGUGUAUCGGCAUAUCAUUGCGACGGCCAUCUUAUCUCCUCUUGCGUAUUUCCUUGAAAGGUUUUCGCCACCAUCUGUGUCCUUUUUGGCCAUGUGGCCAUGUUGGAACUUCUGUCAAAAUGCUAUUUGAGUAGAGUUGCUUAAAAAAGUGGCAAUAACUUUUUUUUUCUCAUUUUUAUUUGAAAAUUCCUCCAUAAGUGUUCAUUUCAGCUUUUUGCCAAUGCAAAAACUCUAGAUUUUCUUAGCUGCUGCUUUUCGGAGUAGAGAAAAUAUUCUAAAAAAACAGGUCAAACCGGCUGCUAACGCAUAUUACGAGUUCUAUCAUCACUCCAUUCUCAAGAAAAUAUAACCCUUUAAUGCAGGAACGAGCGGCCUUCGCUCUCAAUCCCCAUACUUAUGAAAAUCUUCAUUCUCGCACUGUUUGGGAUUACAGUACAUCAAAAUGUCUACUACGCAGGGCUGGAUCACACAUCACCGAUGGUGGCGAGCGCCUUGAGCAAUGUCAUUCCGGCUCUCACUUUCCUUCUCGCAGUCCUCUUGAGGUUAGAGUCCCCUAACAUUCUCCAAACUAUAAAUUUUCGUGCGCAUUUCUAAUAUCAAAAGCCUUAUUUUCUCUUUUUGUUUUCGCGAGGAUGGAGAAGGUGAGAAUAAGAAGUGCAACAGGAGGGGCCAAGUUGAUAGGCACCAUAUUUUGUAUUAGUGGGGCUUUAGUUUUUACAUUUUGGAAAGGGCCUUUAUUUAGGGGCUUUGUUAAGAGACCUCUAAUUGUUGUGCAUGACCAUGGAAAGGUGCAUGGUAAAGAGAAUUGGAUCCAAGGUUCUCUUCUUAUUCUAGCCAGCCAUAUUGCUUUUAGUGUCUGGCUCAUCCUUCAGGUAAUAGAAAAGCUCUUUUCUGCUGCUUUUUUUGAUCUAAAAUUUUGAGACGAGCGAAUGAUUUUGCAGGCGAAGGUGUACGAGGUCUAUCCCGCAAGAUUGUCAAUGAACGCCUUGAUUUGCUUCUGCGCAUCAUUUCAAUCGCUGCUGCUCGCCCUAAUCUUCGAGAAGAACACAUCAUCUUGGCAAUUGGGCUGGAACAUGCAGCUAGUAACCAUCAUCUACUGUGUUAGUCCCUCUCAUUCCUAUGAGUAUUAGAUUAUAUCUUUCACUAUUAGCUAGUAUUGAUAUUUUAUGUACAGGGGACAGUGAUAUCCUGCCUCUCAUACUACCUGCUAACAUAUUGUAUUAGUGAGAGGGGCCCUGUUUUUGCUGCCAUGUUCACUCCCCUGCUUCUUGUCAUUGUUGGAAUAUUCUCGGCCGCGUUCUUCGCCGAACGACUUCAUGUAGGCAGGUGAGCAAUCAAAUUUAGUUCAUUUCCUUUAUGUUUCCACAUUCCCUUGAUAUUAUGGUUUCAAGUGCACAUGCUAUCUUAACUAAGAUUAGACGAUACGAGCUAACGAUAACCUGCGAGCGUAUGCUCUGAUAACAGCUGCAGUCCUAAUAAGAUCCUCUCAUAGAUCUUGGCAUCUGUAUUAAUACUUUAGAACUACUGCUUGCAAUGAUACUAGUAAUUAAACUGGAAUUUUUGCUGCUGUAAAUGUUUUGUAGCUUGAUUGGGGCCUUCAUCAUAAUCGCGGGACUGUACUGCGUGUUAUGGGGUAAAAGUAGGGAGUGCGGCAAGAAUGGCGAUAAAAGGCGCGAUGUCGAGAGUACAACAGUCACAGCUGUUCUCCCAGUAUCAACAUCAAACAAUGAUACACAGCUUACACCACAAGAGGGGACAAUUUGAUUACUUUUUGUAUUGAAGGAUCAUAGACAAUCUAUAAGUUACAGUUUUUAGUUUCUAACAUAAUUUUGCAUUUAAAGAUGAACUUAAGCAGCUUGUUGAGAUUAAUUAAUGCCAUUCAUGUAGAAAUUAAUAAGAUGCUUUAUAGCAUACACUUCUAUUGUUGGUGGAGAGUAAUGGUUAAUAAUGAUUAGGUACCUUUUUUAUCUCUCUAAUUUUUCUUUAUAGAAUAUGAUUGGGAAUGUUGAUUGUACUGUUUUCAUUUUCAUUUGUUUACACAAAGAUCUAGUUCUAUAGUGAAAUAUUGCAAUAUUGGUAUCAAAAUAAAUUUAAAAUUUAUUAGUGGGACAACUUGGUUCUCCUAGGUGGAGCUUUUGUAAAAUGAUAUACUAUUUUGGCUAGCACCAGAAAUUAAAAAUAAUUUAACACGCUUCGUGCAUAGAAUGUAGAUACACAUUUUGUAUUUUAAUUUCUACCAUCCACGUAGUGUCAAUAGAUAUGAAACAAAGGGUAGAUAACGGAGUGGAUUGUCCAUUUAUAUUAGGUAAUAACGUAUUUAAACUAUAGACCAUUUUGAGUCGACUAUUAAAUUUUUCAAAAUUUUAAUUUCAUCACUCUACGUUUAUUUGAUUUGAGUUCGUCAAAGUCAAUUUGAUUAUAAAAUUUAAAGCGAUUGUUUAUAGUUGCAAGAAUUAUAUAAAAAAAUUUUACUAAACGCGUAAAGAGAAACAACCCAUAAAUUUUAAAACUGAAGUGUCGUUUGCUGAUACAAAUCAAAUAAAUUAAUUGGUUGGAAGGUAAAAUCAAACUUUGAAAAAGUUGAAUAAUUGACUCAAAAUAAUCUAUAUUCCAUACAAUUUCUGAAUAUUUUGUUAUCUUUACAUUAUUUGAAAUAUUAUAAAAUUUAUUCAUAUUAUUUUAUUCUUUCAAAAAAAAGGAAAAAAAAAUACAGCUUACAAACACACACUUCAUGUGUGCAACACCAACAUAUCCAACUCACUCACUACAUAUUUAUCAUGCAUUAAUCAUGCAUUAAUCAUUUUGUUCUCCUUUGUGGCUUAACACUAAUCCCUACUUCCUUUCUCUUUCAUGUUCAUGCUCACACUCCUCUUCGUCUUCAUCAUCAUCAUCACCAUGCAAACUCUCCGACACGACCUCGAUGUGUAUCCCGGGAUCCUCCGCCGCGCAGCUCCCGCCGACGAGCACGGAGUUGUUCACCGCCUGGUAGUUGCUGUUGGCGUACGCGCGCACCGCGCCGUCGUCGCCGUCCUCGCACACCUCCCCCUGCGUAUCCUGAUCCUUGUGGCUGCAGUAUUGAUUCUCUAGCGCCUGCAGCUUCUUCAUCGUGGCGCCUUUGUUGUCCCCCGCGAUGGUUAUGAUCCUCACGCCCUUCUCGGAGGCGGCAUCCCCGACGUCGAAGGCCGAGAGGCGGUCGGUGAGCUGCGAGAUCGUGUCGUGGACCUCGCGGUCGAGUUUGCGGGCUUCGGCGUCGGAAGAAGCCAUUGUUUGCGCAGGGAGGUUGAGGAGAAGAGGGUGUGGAUCGAGGUGGAUUUACAUACAUAAAUGGAAUGUAUAUAUAUAUAUAUAUAUAUAUAUAUAUAUAUAUAUAUAUAUAUACAUAUGCAUGUGGUUCUUUACUUGGUGAUUAUGUGCAAGUAUAGUAAGAUUGAGUAAUGGAGUGAAUUAAGUAAUUCCAUUAACAAGGUUAGAGGAAAAGGAUAACUUGCACUGUGAGGGCUCCUUUUUUUUUUAUAUAUAAACGCCUGUUUGGUCCCACUUUUGCUUCUACUUUCAGCUACAGUUAUUUAUGAUAUAAUAUUAAAUAAAUAAUAAAAUUUAGAGAUUCUAUUAUAACUGAAAAUUAAAUUAAGAUGUGGAGUCUCCAAAAGUAAAAAUUUAAAAUUUGGAGUUUUCGUUUUUAGGUUUUUCUAAUACAACGCUGUAUUACUACUCAAACAAGAAAUUUUUUUUUUUUUUUUUUUUUAGAGAUAGAUAGUAUGCUACAUGCUUCGUUUAUUUCAUUUAGAAAUAAACUUAGCUAGAAAUGUGAAUCAACUAGAAUUUGAAUUUGGGACCUCGGGUACCAAGCAUCAAGCCCUUUGACAGAAUAAGUAUAUUAUAUCGAGUAAUAAUUUAGAUAUUUUAGCUCUCAUCUAUACCUCUAUACCCAUACAUUAUUUUUCAUAAAAUUCGCCACAUGACAAUUUUUCCUUCACCCCUUGCUUUCUCUCCCCUUGUCAUUCCCUGAUGCUUCGUCUUCCCACUCAUCGCUAUCCGAUGCUUCGUUUUCCCACUGGCUCACUUUUUAAUUAAUGCAUUUAUAUAGUCUAUUGUCAUCUAAACAAAUCGUUUUUACAAGAAAAGAGUAAAAUAAUAUUUCUUCAUACUCUUUUUCUUAUUGAUGUUUCAUGGAAGUCAAAAAAAUUUUAAAUUUUUUACUUCAUCAAUUUUUUGUCUUUUAUAAUAUUAGCCAGCCGCCAUGCGCGGUUAACUUCACUAGUAAUAUCAAAAUUGGCUCUAGAAAUAUUUCUUUUAAAAUAAAAAGUACAGAAGCCGGAUCACACACAAACUAUAAUUUUAUUAAGGACGAAUUAACAAAUAUUACACUUGGAAAUAAUUUGGAUAAACCAAACCAAUGUAACCGAAUUAAAAAAAUUCGAUUUGAUUUGGUUCCAAUUUUACAUACUAUAUAUCUGUUCAAUUUUGAGCCAUAAUGUCUCCUGCUGCACUAUUUAUUUGCCUGCUUGUUUGUGGUGUAUCCAUACAUCUUAUGUGUCAGAUACAAUAUUUUGGAAAUAUCUAUAAACUAUUAUGAAUCCCGUGCGAUUCAAGCUUACUCCUUAUUUUAGAAAAAAAGUGGGACCCACCUCUUCUGUAAAUGUACAAAAUAUAUUUCUUUAGUGGGGUCCACUAAAUAAUAAAGUUUAGCAUAAUAGGAAACAUUUGAACGUUAAUUGAGGAGCCCAUAAAUACUGGGUCUUUUCAAACGUUGCACUAAAAAAUAAUGUUUAGUGGAAUAAGAAAUAUUUGAAAGUUAAUUGACGAGCCCAUAAAUGCUAGGGUGUUUCUAUAUAUGUAACGUUUCACAUAAACACAAUUUUUUUUAAAAAAAAUAUACAAUAAUACAUGUCCAAUAAUUUAGGUAUUUGUUCUUAGGUGUCUUAAAAAAUUAAAUUUGUAUCGUCCGUGUAAUUAAUGCAAAGUCGGUUAUCUCCUCAAGAGACUUCUCGGUUUUUCCCAUCCGCCCCUCCAUCUCCUUCUCUCUCUAUUUUUUUUUUCUUUCGUUCACCUAUUCACGAAACCCACUAAAUAAUAAUGUUUAGCAUAAUAGAAAAUAUUUGGACGUUUAUUGAGGAGCCCAUAAAUGCUAAGUUGUUUCAAACAUUCGCAUUAAAUAAUAAUGUUUAGUGAAAUGAGAAAUAUUUGGAAGUUUAUUGAGGAGCCCAUAAAUAUUGGGUGAUUCUAUAUAUGUAACGUUUCACGUAAGAUAAUGUUUUUUUAAAAAAAUAUAUACAAUAAUAAGUGUCCAAUAAUUUAGGUAUUUGUUCUUAGGUAUUUUAAAAAAUUAAAUUUGUACGCUCCGUGUAAAUAAUGCAAAGUCGGUUGUCUACNAAAAAAUACAGCUUACAAACGCACUCUUUCAAGUGUGCAACACCAACAUAUCCAACUCACUCACUACAUAUUUAUCAUGCAUUAAUCAUGCAUUAAUCAUUUUGUUCUCCUUUGUGGCUUAACACUAAUCCCUACUUCCUUUCUCUUUCAUGUUCAUGCUCACACUCCUCUUCGUCUUCAUCAUCAUCAUCACCAUGCAAACUCUCCGACACGACCUCGAUGUGUAUCCCGGGAUCCUCCGCCGCGCAGCUCCCGCCGACGAGCACGGAGUUGUUCACCGCCUGGUAGUUGCUGUUGGCGUACGCGCGCACCGCGCCGUCGUCGCCGUCCUCGCACACCUCCCCCUGCGUAUCCUGAUCCUUGUGGCUGCAGUAUUGAUUCUCUAGCGCCUGCAGCUUCUUCAUCGUGGCGCCUUUGUUGUCCCCCGCGAUGGUUAUGAUCCUCACGCCCUUCUCGGAGGCGGCGUCGCCGAUGUCGAAGGCCGAGAGGCGGUCGGUGAGCUGCGAGAUCGUGUCGUGGACCUCGCGGUCGAGUUUGCGGGCUUCGGCGUCGGAAGAAGCCAUUGUUUGCGCAGGGAGGUUGAGGAGAAGAGGGUGUGGAUCGAGGUGGAUUUACAUACAUAAAUGGAAUGUAUAUAUAUAUAUAUAUAUAUAUAUAUAUAUAUAUACAUAUGCAUGUGGUUCUUUACUUGGUGAUUAUGUGCAAGUAUAGUAAGAUUGAGUAAUGGAGUGAGUUAAGUAAUUCCAUUAACAAGGUUAGAAGAAAAGGAUCACUUGCACUGUGAGGGCUCCUUUUUUUUUAUAUAUAAAUGUCUGUUUGGUCCCACUUUUGCUUCUACUUUCAGCUACAGUUAUUUAUGAUAUGAUAUUAAAUAAAUAAUAAAAUUUAGAGAUUCUAUUGUAGCUGAAAAUUAAAUUAAGAUGUGGAGUCUCCAAAAGUAAAAAUUUAAAAUUUGGAGUUUUCGUUUUUGGAUUUUUCUAAUACAACGUUGUAUUACUACUCAAACAAGAAUUUUUUUUUUUUUUUUUGAGAGAUAGAUAGUAUGCUACAUGCUUCAUUUAUUUCAUUUAGAAAUAAACUUAGCUAGAAAUGUGAAUCAACUAGGAUUUGAAUUUGGGACCUCGGGUACCAACCAUCAAGCCCUUUGACAGAAUAAGUAUAUUAUAUCGAGUAAUGAUUUAGAUAUUUUAGCUCUCAUCUAUACCUCUAUACCUAUACAUUAUUUUCCAUAAAAUUCGCCACAUGACAAUAUUUCUUUCACCCCUUGCUUUCUCUCCCCUUAGCAUUCCCUGAUGCUUCGUCUUCCCACUCAUCUCUAUCUGAUGCUUCGUCUUUUCACUGGCUCACUUUUUAAUUAAUGCAUUCAUAUAGUCUAUUGUCAUCUAAAUAAAUUAUUUUUACAAGAAAAGAGUAAAAUAAUAUCUCUUCAUACUCUUUUUUCAUAUUAUUUAUAUUUAUUGAUGUUUCAUGAAAGUCAAAAAAAUUUUAAAUUUUUUAUUUUAUCAAUUUUCUGUCUUUUAUAAUAUUAGCCAGCCGCAAUGCGCUGUUAACUUCACUAAUAAUAUCAAAAUUAGCUCUAGAAAUAUUUCUUUUAAAAUAAAAAGUACAGAAGUCGGAUCACACACAAACUAUAAUUUUAUUCAGGACGAAUUAACAAAUAUUACAUUUAGAAAUAAUUUGGAUAAACCAAACCAAUGUAACCGAAUUAAAAAAUUUCGAUUUGAUUUGGUUCCAAUUUUACAUACUAUAUAUCUGUUUAAUUUUGAGCCAUAAUGUCUCCUGGUGCACUAUUUAUUUGCCUGCUUGUUUGUGGUGUAUCCAUACAUCUUAUGUGUCAGAUACAAUAUUUUGGAAAUAUAUUAUCUAAAUAUUAGUAAUUUCGAAAAUGGCCAAUUUGCAUAAAAAAUUCACUAAUUUUGGGCUUUUGCAAAAGUGGACCACUUUUUUGGAUUUUGCAGAUUCGGACCGAAAUUUCAGCAAACUGACCAAAAUACCUUUAUUACUUUUUCUCUCUCCUCUUUCUUUUUCUCCGUUCUUUUUUUCCUCUCUCCGAAGAAGGCAGCGGAGACGGAGGUGGAGGUGGAAACACCCCGCCUCGCCUCCGCCCUGCACGCCCUCGCCCGUGCACUCCAGCCCUCCUCGCCUCUGACCCUGCUGAGGCCGCGUCGCCACCCUUCUUUUACACUAGGGCACAGCGACGUCGAGACGCAGGCUCUUCUCCUCCACCGCGCGUCGGAACGCCAAGACGUCGUCGACGACGUCGUGAUGGUUGCGAUAGAAAGUAAGGGAGAGGUGGUGACAAAAAAAAAUUAUAGAAAAAAAUAAAAAUAAAAAAAAUUAUUUUUUUCUUACAGAAAAGAUCAAAACAUAUAGGAGAAGAAAGAAGAUGAUGAAAUUACACUCUUAAAAAAAAUUACACUGUUUUAAAAAAAAUUGCACUGUUUUAAUGAAAAUUGCACUAUUUUAUAUAAAAAUUACACUCUUUUAAAAUAGACUUUACACUCUUUAGGCCAAUAUUGCACAAUUUAGAAAAAUUUUGCAAUAUUUCAUUUCUUUCUUUUCUUUUCCUCUCUCUUCUUCUUCUUCUUCUUCCUCCUCCUGCGGGAGCAGCACCCACCUUUCUUCUUCUUCUUCCUACAAGAGCAGCACCCACCCUGCAGGAGCACCUCCCCGUCGCUGCCGCCGCCGAGGAGGCCGCGGCGGCGACGCUGCGCAUGAUGUCGGCGCCGCCCCCCAGCCGCGAUCGCGCGUGGGCUGUUCUCCUUCGCCAGCACAGCGCGAACAGCCCCGCACCAUGCUUAACCUGGGCUGGCUUGAUGGACCGCGCUCGAGGCACCCGAGGGCCUACUGCACCGCCUCCGGCAUGUUCGCCAUCGCCGCCGUCCUGCUCCGCUCGUCAGCGCCGGUGCACCGUCGUCGCUCCAAGUGCCUCACGGCGGCACCGCGGCACACUCUCUCCGCUGCCUGCGCAUCCGCGCCACCUUCGUCGACGCCCAACACACCCACGUCCGUCUUGCGCGCGCCGUCCACUGAGGUGACACCAAGGUCAUCCAAUCUCUCAUUUUUAUUAUAUAUAUAGCAUUGUGAUAUUAAUUGUAUCAUUUUCUCUGGAUGUUAAGCUUGUGAAGAGAAUAUAAUUAAGGGUUGUUGUAUAUUAUAUACUAUUUUUUGGAAGUGAAUCAAACCUAAAAGUGUUAUAGAUGAAACGGAACAGUCGCGGAACGCCGCCGGCGUCGCCGCGGGGAGACCCACCAUGGGCGUGAAGGUGUUGUCCACCACGACGUUGCAGUAGCGGACGUGUCGCCACCGGCUAGCUCACCCCCUUGCGAGUCGAUCGCGGAGGGGGGUACUGCGGCCUGCGGUGGUCUGGGAGAAGGGGGUGAAGCUGGUGGUGGACAACACCUUCACGCCCAUGGUGGUCUCCCCCGCGCGACUCCGCGCCGACGUCAUCAUACAUAGUGUCUCCAAGUUCAUCAGCGGCGGUGCCGACAUCAUCGCCAGUUACUAACCAACUUAUCCUUUUCUUUUCUUUUCCUUCUUAUUUUUUAGGCGGCGCCGACAUCAUGCGCAGCGUCGCCGCCGCGGCCUCCUCGGCGGCGGCAGCGACGGGGAGGUGCUCCUGCAGGGUGGGUGCUGCUCUUGUAGGAAGAAGAAGAAGAAAGGUGGGUGCUGCUCCCGCAGGAGGAGGAAGAAGAAGAAGAAGAAGAGAGAGGAAAAGAAAAGAAAGAAAUGAAAUAUUGCAAAAUUUUUCUAAAUUGUGCAAUAUUGGCCUAAAGAGUGUAAAGUCUAUUUUAAAAGAGUGUAAUUUUUAUAUAAAAUAGUGCAAUUUUCAUUAAAACAGUGCAAUUUUUUUUAAAACAGUGUAAUUUUUUUUAAGAGUGUAAUUUCAUCAUCUUCUUUCUUCUCCUAUAUGUUUUGAUCUUUUCUGUAAGAAAAAAAUAAUUUUUUUUAUUUUUAUUUUUUUCUAUAAUUUUUUUUUGUUACCACCUCUCCCUUACUUUCUAUCGCAACCAUCAUGACGUCGUCGAUGACGUCUCGGCGUUCCGACGCGCUGUGGAGGAGAAGAGCCUGCGUCUCGACGUUGCCGUGCCCUAGUGUAGAAGAAGGGUGGCGACGCGGCCUCAGCAGGGUUAGAGGCGAGGAGACUGGAGUGUACGGGUGAGGGCGUGUAGGGCGGAGGCGAGGCUGGCUGUUUCCGCCUCCGCCUCCGCUGCCUUCUUCGGAGAGAGAAAAAAAAAACGAGAAAAAAAGAAAGAGGAGAGAGAAAAAGUAAUAAGGGUAUUUUAGUCAGUUUGCUGAAAUUUUGGUCCAAAUUUACAAAAUCUAAAAAAGUGGUCCACUUUUGCAAAAGCCCAAAAUUAAUAGAUUUUUUAUGCAAAUUGACCUUCGAAAAUUUUGGAUAUAAUUUUAGUAGUUUCAAAAAUAUAUUAUCUAAAUAUUAACAGGCAAAGUUGCUUUUCGAUCUAUGCUUCGCGGCGAUUUGUUGGAAACUGUGGAAAGAAAGAAACACUAGAGUUUUUGAAAAUCGUGAAACGGAAAGUGGGGAAGUGGGUAAUAAGGUCGUGUCCUCUGCUAUCCUUUGGAAAUCACUUCUGAGGUCAAAGGGGGACUUUUUUCGAAAAUAACCCUAUAAAAAUUCGUAUUUGCAAAACAAAUCCUGUGAAAUUUUUAUUUGUGAAACUAACCCUCCUCUCGCCACGUGGGCGCUACGUCAGAGAUUCCUCAAAAAGACGGUGAAUCGUUCACCGUCUUUGAUAUUUGUUGUGAAGGCGGUGAAUGGUUCACCGUCUUCAUAAGACGGUAAACCAUUCACCGUCUUUAGUACAAAUCCCUACACUGCGCAAAUCUUUCCAAGUCCAUAAUAUGAUGUCCUUGAUAAGACGGUGAAUCGUUCCUCGUCUUCUCGAGGGCACAGAAAAGGCAGAUUUGAGAGGGCGGAAAGGGAAAAUGGCGGAAAAGAAAAUUUUGCACUAAAGACAGUGAAUGGUUUACCGUCUUCUAAAGACGGUGCACCAUUCACCGCUUUUACAACAAAAAUUACAAAGACGGUGAACGAUUCAUCGCCUUUUUUAGGAAUUCUUGACGUGGCGCCCACGUGGCGAAAGGAGAAUUAAUUUUACAAAUAAAAAUUUCAUGAGGUUAUUUUGGCAAAUACGAACUUUCACAUAAUUAUUUUCGAAAAAAGUCCUCAUAGGGAGCAACAGAGGCGGUUAGCCUCUUACCUCUCUCCUACUGGCAUGUACUAUGGUAUUCUCAAAUAGGGUAUUUCCCUGUUUAAUAAUAUAUAUAUAUAUAUAUAUAUAUUAGUAGUUUCAAAAAUUAAUACUUAAAAAAAAAUUAUUUAAAUCGUAUAUAAAAUCUAGUAUUUCAUAUUUUAUUAGUAAUGAAUCUAAAUACUUCAAUUUUAUACAAAAAUUAAAAAAAAAAUAAAACCUCACAUUACCAUGUCUCUUCCUACAGAAUAUUUUAUAACUAUCAAAAAAUUAUGAAUCUAGUUAAAUUAUUUUUUGAUAAUAAAAUAUUUGAAUCAGUUUUGUUAAAUUUAUUUUAUUAUAUUUAAAAAUUUUAAAAUAAUAAAAUUAUUAAUUUUUAUAUUAUUUAGCAAAUGACUCGAAAUUAAACGCAAAUUCGAAUUUUAUUAUAUUAUUAUAUAUUAAAUUAAAAUUAAAAGAAAGCGGUGGGCGGUGUUGUUCAAAUCUCCAUCAUCAAUUAAAAUAAUAAUAAUAAUAAUAACAAUAAUUGCCCUACGGAGGCUCGACCAAUCGACCCCACCAUUUCCGCGUCUCUCCGCUUUUUUUUCUCCCAAAAACCUAGGGCUUGCGAAUCCCAAAUUGAGGGGGGUGAGAGAGAGAGGAAUCGGGGGAGGAGGAAGAAGACGAAGAGGAGAUUGUCGCCAUGUCGCCCGGAGCUUCCGAUGGAUCCAGCGUUGUCGGUGAGGAGACGAAUUAAUGUCUCGUUUUUGUCUAAUUUAGGGUUCUUUGUGGUGUUUUUAGGGAUUUAGCGUCGGUAAUCGCUUCAGUUAGGUGUGAUUUGCGCUUUGAAUCGGUUGUGGUGCGAAAGAUAGGAUCUUUAAUCUGUUAAUUUUGGGAUUGAUUGUGCUAGGAUUUGUGUUUUGGUAAUUUUUGUGUACUCGUGAACCGAAAGAUCGAUAUAAUAGGAAAUGAUCUUAAUAAUCUUAAUACCUUUGCUUAUUUGCGUGGUGGAUAUAUGACAAGAGAGAGGUGAACGAAGGGCGAUUUAACUCGUUAAACAGUAGAUGUGGGGAAUUGAACACAAGACCUCUUUGAACCGUUGCGAGAUUCGGGGUUAGGGGUUGGGGUUCGGGGUCGGAAUUGAAUCCAGGACCUCUUGGAACUGGUGGGUUUGGGGGUGGCGAAAUUGAACCAUGGACCUCUUGGUUGCGGUUGCGGUCGCGGUAGGGGUGGGGAGGAGGGUCGGGCUGUGGGUGGGAGGAGUUCUUAGGACUUGCUGUGAUCGCCGUGUAGCUCAAAAGAUUGAUCUACUAGGAAAUGGUUCGGGAAUAGUCUUAACAAUACUAAUGAUUAUUUGAAAUUGUUUGCUAUAUUCAGUUAUCUGGUUCUUAGAUAGUUUUUACCGUAUGUGCUGAGUUGUGAAUAAUUCUUAAAAAUAAGAUCGAGAAAUUUGUUCUCAUAUGCCAAAAUGAUGAUUUUAAUGCCAAAAAGCUAUAUGUUUUGUGAGAACCUGCUGGAAUUUCAAUGAAAAGACUUCUGGGUUUAAUGUUUAUGCCAAUUUAGCAGCUAAAGAGAAGUCCUUUAGUCGGUGGUAUUCCCCGUUAUGAAGGCAUACAUGUAUCCAUUUUUCUGUAUAUAUAAGAGAAGGCAAUUGAAGGGACUUUCGCAUUAUUAUUCUACCUCGAAAAAUGAUUUUGACAUCUAAAUCAUUUAUUAGCACGUUGUCGUGAAGCUUCGGGCGGGUGUCCUCAGAGGCAGGAGCAUUUGGGGUGUACAAAUUAGGAGCUUUGUGAGGUUAAACACUGUAACUGAAUUAACGUGUUCAGAGAACAUGGUCAAUAAAAUUUCCUGGGAUCCUAAAAUGCUACGCAGGUGUGGCGCUUAAUUGGCAACGAUACAGUUAUUGCGAUUGAAAAGAAGUUACCUAUAAUUUUUUCUCAAAUAAAAGAUUGAAAUUGUUUAGUUUUCUCUAAUGAUGUUUCCUAUGGCACAAAAGAUGCACAAUAUCCCAAUGCAUCUUCCCCCUGUCUUUAAUUUGUUUGAUUUUUGUUAGACUACUGACUAUUAAGAAGAAAGAAGAUUCUAGGCAACCUAUAGUUCCUUGUAAGGGAAAAUAAUCUUCUUAAAGGGAACCCUAUAAUUGAUGAAAUAAUGCAUUUCUGUCUCAUUAUAAUUGGUCGUUACUAAUCCUUUAGCUGUUACUAUUUUACUUAAAUUAUUUGUUGUCCAUGCUCGAUAUAUAUACACACUUUUUAAGUGCUGGUUUUCAUUUACUUGGGACUUUUUCUUGUUCCAUUUGUAAUGAGAGUGAUCAUUUUGUUAAACAAUUUGCACAGUUCCACGGAACUUUAGACUGCUAGAAGAACUCGAACGAGGAGAAAAGGGGAUUGGAGAUGGUACCGUGAGUUAUGGGAUGGAGGAUGGAGAUGACAUCCUGAUGCGCUCAUGGACGGGCACUAUAAUCGGCCCUCAUCAUGUAAACAAAAAUAGCACUUUUCACAUAUUUCAUCUUAUAAUUACUUUUUAUAUAUUAUGGACUUUAUUGGUUUUUUUUUUUAUUUUGUGAAUCUUAACAUUCUUGCAGUCCGCUCAUGAGGGUCGGAUCUAUCAGCUCAGGUUAUUCUGCGACAUGGAUUAUCCUGAGAAGCCUCCCAGUGUCUGGUUCCGCUCGAGAAUAAACAUGACGUGUAUCAAUCCUCAUUCAGGAGCGGUAAUAUGGAUGAACAACAUCUCUCUUCCCUUUGAAAUAAAAAAGAAGAAGAUAUAGCACUGCAAAUAUUAUCUUUUAUCAUAUAUCCAUGAAAAAGCAGAAUUUCCUUAGAUGUGCUUCAAACAACUCAAUAUCUUACAUGUAUAACCAUGUAGUUAUGGAAUGCCCAUCUCUGAAAAACAUCAAAACUAACUUCCCCCUAUGAGUUGGAUGAAUUUCCAACUUAACGGUUAUGCUUGAAAGAAACUGCACUUGCAAGAUGUAUACAUGUGAAAAUUCAAACGUUAGUGAGGUACAUAUGCAAAUCAUUAUUUUGCAACCAUUUCCACAAAAUUCUAAUAGCUUGGGCGAACAAACACAGGUUGAACCGAAGAAAUUUGGCAUUUUGGCGAAUUGGCAACGCAGGUUUACAAUGGAAGAUAUCCUAGUAGAGCUGAAGAGGGAAAUGGCUGCCCCGCAUAACCGCAAGCUACCCCAACCCCCUGAAGGUACAUUCUUUUAGAAGAUCAUCGGGUAUUAAUAGUGUAUCUUGAUGGAUUUCCCACUAGUAUUGCUCAGUCAAAGACACUUUAUGUCACAAUUCAGAACGGGGAAGUAGUAAUAUUUUUUCAUAAUUGCUGGUGAAAUUUGUGUCAUUUGUUGCAAGAAUGCGAUUAUGCAAGGACUAAUUACUGUCUCUGAUAUUUAUUUUGUAUGAAUGAUUUUCGACCAAGUCUUUUGACUAGUGCUGUUUUCUUCUCCUCCCCUUUGUAAUCCAUACUUUAUUCUUGUUCACUUUCUCUUGCUUACAUAUCAUCUAAUUGUUGAAGUGCCUCAGAAUUUUCACACUGUUUGGUAUCAAUAGAAAUGAAAUCAAUUCGAUUUUCAAUUCAAUGUUCUCAAGUGAAUAAGGCUUGUGGUUGUCUUGGAAUGAAAUGUAUUUGGACUGGAUUCCAUUGCGUAUUUCCUGUUUUACUUGUGAUCAUUUGAGAUUCAUGAGAUUUACAAAGUUUGUGUUUAGAUGGGAAUCAUAAUUAGAUCUCAAAUCAUCUGAUUUGCUUUCUCUUAUGAAAUCCACCAAAAUUAGUGGAAAGAAAUACAAAUCAUGAACUAUAAGUAUCCAAACAACGGAUUGAGUAAAAUAUCAAUUUGAAUUUUUGCCCAAGUCACCUAGAAGGGUUUUGCCAAACAGGGUGCUAAUAGAGUUGGAAAGUAGGAAGUUUUGAAGUUUCAGAGCUUGUCCUGUUGCAGUAUCAAUUUUUGUCUCUUUGAAAACUUAAGAGAAAAGGUAGAUUUGGAAAAGCAAGAAUACUUUUUAUACAUUUUGGGUUUGUGAUUCAAUCCAAAUCGGUGAUUUAAAGGACUCUAAAUAGGGUGUACAGCUAAUGGAAUAUAAAACUGAAUCUUAUUAUUUUUAUGUUGGUUAUGGUAAUCUGACAAUAGAUUGCAACACUUCUGUUGGAGAGUUUCUGAUUCAUCAGUUUCUGAGUCAUCAGAUAACUGAACACUCCUUUGAUGCUUUUAGAACUCUGCAUUUAAAUAAUGUCCAAUCAUCAUCUCUACUUUAGGCAAAGCUAUGUUAGAUGAUUGCUAUGAAAGUUGAGGAUAGUGGAGUAUCAGAUUAAAGCAUUUAGGGUUUUUAGUGGUUGUAUAUUUUAGUUACUAAAUCUGUAUAGCAUAUUCUUAAUCAUCUCCUAAAUGUUGUAUUACUAUAGAUAUAUAAUUUGUAUCUAGAAGAGCUCUUUUUAUUUCGAUGCACAUAUGCAUACACAUCAGAAUGCCGAUAAGCUCUCUGGUAAUAUGACCUGGAUUCGUAUCCUAAAAGACCGAAGACACUGGGUUGAGUUUCAAAUAGCUGAACUAUAUUAGGUUUCAAACUUGAAUUUGAAUUUGAAUAUGAGUCUGAUAAGCUAUGAGAUCCAAUUUAUGGGUGUGUUUGGUUCGCCCCUUUUUCACCCUGGAAUCGGAAUCGACAAAUGGUAUGCGGAAUUUUCAUUCCUACUCCGAUUCCGAUUCUCAGGUGAAUGAGAAUCCCUCUAAUUACCUCUUUUUCCAAUCCGGCCUAGGAAGGCCGGAUUGGAAGGAUUAAAUUUAACUUUUUUAAGCUUAUUUUUUAAUUAAAACAUAAGUUUAAGUUUAAAAAUUAUAUUUAUAAUUUAAAAUUUAAUUUAAACUUAAAUUAAAAAUUAAAAUUCAAUCAAGCAUUCGAAUCUAAUUUAUAAAAUUAAAUUUAAAUUUAAAUUUAAUUUAAAAUCUAAAGUUCUAUUCAUAUUUUAUUUAAAAUUUAAAUUAAAUUUAUGGAUUCAAAUUGAAAUUGAAAUUAUAAUUUUAAGUUUGAAUUUGAAUAAAUAGAAAUAGUUUUAUAUUUUGAAUUAUCCGUUCAAUUUCAAAUUUUAAUUUUUUUAAAAAAUAUAUUUAAAAUUUUGACAUCAUUUUAAAAUUUUGAUGUACAUUUUUAAUAUUUAUUCUUCAAUUUGAAUUUAAACUAAUAUAUUAUAAAGAUAAAAUUGACAUAUUAAUUUGAUUACAUUUCUAAUAUCUAUUUAAGCCAAACACAUACAAUGGAAAUGGUUCAAUCCGAUUCCAAUUCAUGUGGCAAACUAAAUAGAAUGAGGUAAUGAAUUAUUCAGAUUUCGUUUCCAGCUUAUUCUUAUUUCGAUUUCAAUACCGAUUUUGACUUCGAAUCAAACACACCCUAUAUUUCUAGGUACUUUCUAGUGUGGGUUGGAUUCAGAUCAGGUUGGUGGAUUAGCCUUGUUCAUAGAUGUCUCUAGAUCGAAACAAGCAUUUGGUGUGGUGUAAGAUGUCCAUCCACUCUUAAUAGAUAAAUGAGUGCUAUAUUCAGCCAAUAAGUUAUUUUUUAUGAAUAAGACAAAUCAACACAUUGGUGGAAGGCAUUGUUCUAGUAAAAUCGUGACCGCGAAACUUUGCAAGUAACUAAAAAUAGACUUUUUAGUCUUUACAGCCAUAAAAGAAAAUCUUCAUGGCACACUAGCUAUUGCUGGAUAACUUCUCUUGACAUCUGAACAGAUCCUAAAUUGCACUGUCAAAUUUUUUUUCACAUAGAAUAAUCAUAAGUAGCUCUUUGAGUUCUCUCUCUCUCUCUGUCUCUUGUGAACUCGGUUUCCUUCAUUUGUAGAGAAGCCUUUAGAACUCCUCAAUGCCCAUUAGGAUGUCACUUUCAAUGUAUGGGUGAUCACAUCCAUUAUGAUUAAUUAAGCAAUGGUGUCUCGGUUAAGUAGCCUAGCAUGCCUCUUCCUUUUUGGGUAUAUGAAAGAGAAGUCCAACAAUUGAAGGUGGAAUAAGCCAUUGAAAAUAUUGGACCAUGGAAGUCUCAUCUUGUAGAUCAUACUCUAGAAUAUGAAUUGUGCCUUCUGGUAGUGCCUUUCAUUUUCCAUUCUCAGUUUGUGAAAUCUAAUCUCCCUUGGUUCGACGCGGUCGAAAAGUUGAUUAGGCAAUCUUUUGGAAUCUGUAGUGGGUCAAAACUGUAGUGAUGCUACCUUUAUCCAUCAAUUUACUCUACAAGAUUGUUGCGAGAUAUUAGGGUUCAAAUUGUAGAAAAAACUUUAAGUGUGGUUAAUGCUAAUUGACUUUAUGGUAGGGUGUAAGAGAAAAGUUUUCAGAGGGAUUGAGAAUGGGACCCAUCUAAAAUUAGCAUUCAAAAUUAUUGAUGAGCUACUACCAUGCUCUUUUUCCUCAUAAUUCACAAAGCAAUCACCAACUGUCGCUAGAGCAAGUGGCAAAAGGUUUAGUGGUUGAUACCCGAGACCCAAGUUCGAAUUCUAGUUGAUUCACAUUUCCAGCUAAGUUUAUUUCUAAAUGAAAUAAACGAAGCGGGUAGCGUGCUAGCUAUCUCUCAAAAAAAAAAAAAAAAAAAAUCCUGUAUACAUAAACAUUGAACUGGACUUGUCCAAGGAAGAGGAGUCUCAUUUUCAAAUUCCCCAAAACUGCAGAAAACAAAAGCUAUCAUCAUUCCUGUAGAUGAUCUCAUGCUUAUCUCAUUUCCUUAAUAUGAGAUUACCAUAAGGAGAGGGUCUUGAUGCAUGCCAAGUGUCUCUACUUUAAAAUCCCGACCGUCCAUUGAGUUGCAGCUGUUGAUAUAGAUAAAUCUUGUAAGGAGCUUUAAGUAGGAUUUGUGCUCUGUUGUGUUUGGCUAGUGCAAGUUCCUCAGUAGGGCAUGUUUUGAUCACAUUUAUUGAAGCACAAUAUUGGUCACUCCACCAAAUCUCUCUCUUCUCUCUCUCUGUUUCUCACUCUCUCAUGGAUGGAAGUGAGACAAGAUCUAAUGGACCAUCAGUAUGUUUACACAAUUCAGCCUCUUCUUCCUCCAAUUCUCAAAGCAUCUCUUCAACGGCGCCAACUACAUCGUCGUCGUCGUCAUCAUCAUCGUCAUCGUCAUCUUCAUCGUCAUCGACCACAUCAAGCACACACGGGGAACCCGGGGGGAGGAUGGUGCUACGGGGAUGCCCGCGGUGCCUCAUGUACGUGAUCGUGCAUGAGCAGAACCAGAGAUGCCCGAGGUGCUACUCGACUGCUUUGCUCCACCUCUUCUCAUAAGGAUGUGAUGUACGUAUAUACGUACGUACGUAUGUUCCGUAUAGCUUCAUCAAGCCUCAGUUUUAUUACUAAUGCAUACUUACAGAGGAAGUUUCAGAAUAAAGAGAAUUGACAUUUCUUGUGUAUAAUUCUUAGGAAAAGAAGAAAACAAUGAACUAGAUUGCACCCUUCGAUUUUUGAGUGUCGUAAAAGUUGUAGAGAUACUAUAAUUUUGAUCUUCUGAUGAGCAGAGAACAUAUGGUGUAGGUAAAAAAGAAAAAAGAAAAAACAGAGGUAUAACUGAAAAUAUGAUCAUAUUGCUGAUCACUGUGUUAUCAAUAUUCUUCGGUGUUUUUAAAUAGAAGUAAUGGAUCCUGUGAAGAUCAUCUUGAACAAGCAUUGCAAAACCCAGUGUUAGGAGUUUAAUUAAGAGGCGGUUUUUUUUAAGAAGAGUCUGUAACAACCCGGAAGAUAGCUAGUAUUAGUAGUUAGAUGUAGGAGAGAAGUAAAGGUAACAGCUUUACUAGUUAGAAGGAGAAUAAGGACAGCAGCAGGUGGAGAGGAGGAGGUGCGGCAGGAGGGUCCGACGAGAAGCGCCUUCAAAGAGGCUCAGGCGAGCUUGUCGGAGCAAUCUGGCGAGAGGAGGUCCGGGCGGAGUUCUGGUGGGGUCAUUUUACUACCGAUUUGUUUUCGAUGAUAGAGCUUUCAAAUUGACGAUCGGCUCCGUUAAAUAUGAUCUAAACCAUUUAAACUAUCUAGAAAUCAAAUUUUACGCACUUUCGAUAUUGUUCUUUUAUCCAUCAAGUGAAUAGAAAAUUGAAUNUUAUUUUCUUUAGCAACAAAAUAUUUUAACUAUUUAUUAUGUCUUUUUAUCACAUAUUUUGAACUUUAUUGAGAAAAUUACUUACUAAUUUAAAGAAUAGGGGGUUUUGAGCUGUGCCAUCGGUACGGGGUCUGUAUCAUGUCGUUAUCUUGUUGACACGGCACAAUACGGUAGAUACGGUCGUGUUGACGGGCACUUAAAAUCUUGCUAAGAGUAAAUUAAGUGCUAAUUUUUUAGAAUGUUUUUUAUUAGAUUGUUAGUAGUAUGUUGACAUCAUCUUUUUUAAAUGUUUUAUGAUAUAUUUGUUAAGCGUAUUAACAAAUUAUUAGGAGCCUUUGUGGAAUAAAACCAAUGCAUUUCCUAUACAUUAGAUUUUAUCUCACCUCUCUCUCUCUCUCUCUCUCUCUCUCUCUCUCUCUUUAUAUAUAUAUAUAUAUAUAUAUAUAUAUAUAUAUAUAUCCAUAGCAAACGGGCUCCGUUGUCACCCAUUUGUUUUCGAUGAUAGAGCCUCCAAAUCGACGAUUGGCACCGUUGAAUAUGAUCUAUACCACUUGAAGUGUUUAGAAAUCAAAUUUCAUAUAUUUUCGAUAUUGUUCUCUUAUCCAUCGAGUGGACACAAAAAUGAAUGACUGAAAAUAAAUAUUUUUUAAAAAAUGAUGAUAGGAGUCUUGUAAUCAAGAUCAAGAGUAUAGAUCUUGUUUUAAAUAGUUUAAAAAAUUUUCUAAUAAAAAUUCAAUUGAUUUGAAUAUUUUUACGCUAUUAAACGAGAAAACGCCUCAUAUCGACCAUUAAAAUUACAAAUUUUAAAAUCCUUUGAUAAUUAGGCAAAUGAUGUCGAAAAGAUUUGAAAUUUAAUUUCUAAACACUUCAAGUGGUAUAGAUUAUGUUCAACGGUGCCAUUAUCGAUUUGAAAGCUCCAUCAUCGAAAACAAAUGGGUGACAACGAAGCCCGUUUGCUAUCGAUAGUAUAUAUAUAUAUAUAAUAUAUAUAUAUUAUAUAUAUAUAUAUAUAUAUAUAUAUAUAUAUAUAUAUAUAUAUAUAUACUAUAGUAGCUAAUAUACUAUUAAUAGCACCAAGUCAUUGAUGCUACCAAGUUUUUGGCCAUUGGAUUAAGAGAAUGCGCUGUUUGGAUGAUGUUGGCCCCUUAGGGUUGACUUGGUGGUUGGUUGAAUAGUAUGAUCUAACAGGUGAAAAUGAUCAAAAAGAUAGAUCUAACGGCGGAAAACUUAGUAGCACCAAGUGCUUCGUACUAUUAAUAGCAUAGUAGCCGGACUCUCUCUCUCUCUCUCUCUCUCUCUCUCUCUCUCUCUCUCUCUCUCUCUCUCUCUCUAUAUAUAUAUAUAUAUAUAUAUAUAUAUAUAUAUAUAUUCGGCUACUAUGCUAUUAAUAGCACGAAGCACUUGAUGCUACCAAGCUCUCUCUCUCUCUCUCUCUCUCUCUAUAUAUAUAUAUAUAUAUAUAUAUAAUUGAGCUUCUACACUUUUAAAAGCUUUCGGUUAGUAGUGCUUUUAAGUUUUUAACCGUUGGAUGAAGAUUUAUAAGGUUAGGAUAAUAGUGAUCAUCUACUAGGGUUGAUCGUGGAAUAGCAUAAUCUAAAGAAUGAAAUUGAUCAAAGAGAUCGAUCUAAUGGUAGAAACUUAUAAGCAUGAUGCUUUUGCAAGCACUGUAGCCGGACUCUCUCUCUCUCUCUCUCUCUCUCUCUCUCUAUAUAUAUAUAUAUAUACUGGCUACGGUGCUUAUAAAAGCACCAAGCAUUUGGUGCUUGUCAAUUCUUUUUUUUAGAUCUACGCCUUUGAUCAUUUUCACUCGUUAGAUUAUACUAUUCAACCACACACUUACUUAACCCUAGGAGGCCCACAUCAUCCUAUGCUUGAUAAGAGAAAUAAAAUUAUGUUAGCGGGAAAGAUGAGACGAUAUUGUGAACACAAAUUGGUUUAGACUCGAAAUAAAUAUAUAACUACGUAAGUUAGCACCUUAGCAUUAGUCUCUCUUUUGCAAAUUAAUCUGUUGGCGCCGUAAAAUCGUGCUAAGUGGUGAACCGGAAUGCACCAUCAGCAUGGUUCUUGAAGUCAGGGAUAAGCAACAUAUGGUGCAUCAGGAAUUGAGAAAAACAUACUGAAAACUGAAAAGCAGUUAAUGCCUAUGCGAUUCAGAUCGGCUAGUAGUACCGACCGUCUAGAGAAAGUGGCAAAAGGCUUGAUGGUUGGUACUCGAGACCCAAAUUCGAAUCCUAGUUGAUUCACAUUUCUAGCUAAGUUUAUUUCUAAAUGAAAUAAACAAAGCUCGUAGCGUGCUACCUAUCUCUCUCAAAAAAAAAAANAAUCGGCUAGUAGUGGUCCGCGAAAUCAAUGAUGUGUCAGAUCAUGAGAAAAACGGGAUAAUAACGGACGAGAUUAUAAAUAAAAAAAAAAAAAGACACCUAACACAGGAGUCUUUUUCUCCUGAGAAACAAGGAGACCAAUUUCCUUUUUAUUAUAUUUUUUAUUUUUUAGGAGUAGUUUACAUAUGAUACCUUUUCAUUUUCUACAUUUACUGUCUUUUCUAGAAGUAAUUUGUAGAUUUAAUUUUUCUCUAAGACUGUAAGCUAUAGCAGUGCACCUUCUUCUAUAAAUAUUUUUUAACUUUAAGCAAUAUAUAAGCAUUUCGACUUUCAGCCGAAUCAGAAAUACUGUGCAGUUUCUGGACUCGGUUGAUCCAGCGGAACCAAAAAUACUGUGUAAUUUCUGAACUUGGCUGAUUCGAUUCCUUAUCAGCCGAAUUGCUUGAUUCGACAGUGGGCGCAAAUCUCAAGGAUCAUCAACAAUAUCUGCUCUGUCUCUUUGCGCUUUCUAAAAGAGAAUUGUGACUGAAUCAGCGGUCAAAAAAAUCAGCUUGCAGCAUAAUCAUAAAUGGCACCUGAUUUAUUCAUAUUUUUACACUAUUUAUAGGUCUAAUCAAAUGAUCAAUUUUUAUAAUAUAGAAAAGCAAUUUACUGAGUGAUAAGAUUGAAAUAUAAUGUAAAAAAAAAUCGAGGGCCGAUUGAUGCGGGAUGCAUGAUCCGACCCGCUAAGAAAACGUAAUGGGAACUGGGAAGUAAAAGAUUCCUCCCGUCCCUCCGAAUCCGCCCCGUUUGCAUGGUGCACCACCGGAGAAUGCGCAGUUUUAAAUAUUUUUCUCCAUUUGCCACGCGUCCGAUUCUCAUUCGCUGUGUCCGACCUUUCUACGUCACCGUACACUAAACAUCCUCCCACGUUUCGCAGUAAACACUCUGCAACUUCUUCGGUGCAACGGUUACACGGUCACGGACUUGCACCUCCUCACUACACCUCCGACAAGUGGGCCCCCCCUUGUCCGUUUCCCCCACUUCAAAACCCCUCGAACCCCUCCCCUCCCCUCCCUCGUGAGCUCUCUCUCUCUCUCUCUCUCUCUCUCAUGGCGUCGCGCGCUCUCCUCCUCGCUCUCGCGAUCUCCGCGUUCCUCCUCCUCUCCGCCUCCGGCGCCGGCGCGAACGGCGGCGCCGCCAACGACCUCGACGACGAGGACCUCAGCUUCCUCGAGGACGGCGACGAAGCCGCCCCCCACCACGGCUCCGAGGAACCCUCCUUCGGAGGCGACAGCGACGAGCUCGGGGACUUCGACCCCGCCGAGCUCGACGACGAGGAGGACGGCGUCGAGCCCUACUCGGCGGCGGGGGCGGGGGCCGAGAUCGACGAGAGCGACGUGGUGGUGCUCGCCGAGGGCAACUUCAGCGAGUUCCUCGCCUCGCGCCGCCACGUGAUGGUGGAGUUCUACGCGCCGUGGUGCAUGCACUGCCAGGCGCUGACCCCGGAGUACGCCGCGGCGGCCACGGCGCUCCGCGGCGAGGACGUGGCCCUCGCCAAGGUCGACGCCACCGAGGAGAAUGACCUCGCCCAGAGGUACGAGAUCCAGGGGUUCCCCACCGUGCUCUUCUUCGUCGACGGCGUUCACAGAGACUACCCCGGAGCAAGGAGCAGGUAACAAGCUUUGGAUCUGAUGCCUUCUCUCACUCGAUCUCCUCAAAUCCUUGUCAAAUUCGCAGUAGCUGUUGUAAUUUCUAAGCAGUUUUGCCCUAAUUUUGCUUCUUCCCAGGGUUUCUGCUCUAGAUCGACCCAUGAUAUUAUCAGGGACUAAUUAUGUGAGGGAUUUGGUUUUAAUUUUGCAGAGAUGCUAUAGUGACAUGGAUCAAGAAGAAGAUAGGCCCUGGAGUCCAGAAUAUCACCACAGUUGAUGAGGCAGAGAAGAUAUUAACUUCUGAAGAUAAAGUUGUUUUGGGCUUCCUCGACUCUUUGGUGGUAAUUUUAUAGAAUUGACUCCCUUUUAUCUUUUCAAUUGCAAAGAGGAUCAUACUGGAAUAAAGAAAAUGUACUCUUUCUUGUUAAAUUUUUCACAGAUAGUUGUUAUACUGUUGGAGCCCUAGGGAAGUGCCAAAUUGCAUUGUUUCGAAAGUUUGUUGUUUCGAUCUUUAAGGUUCCCGACGUUAUUUGGCUCAGAAUCAUCUUCUUGAUGUCUGCAGGGUGCUCACAGCGACGAGCUUUCUGCAGCUUCAAAGCUUGAAGAUGAGGUUAAUUUCUACCAGACUGUCAACCCUGAUGUAGCCAAGCUUUUCCACAUUGAUCCGAAAGAGAACCACCCGCCAUCUUUGAUAUUGCUGAAGAAGGAGGCUGAGAAAUUAGCCUACUUUGGUAUGCUUGUCUCCUAAGUGCUUCAACUUUCUAGGGUUCUAUGUCAUGAGAAAAGUGUAGGUAACUGCAUUGAUAUGACUGUUAUUCGAUAUGCAGAUGGAGAGUUCACUAAGUCUAGCAUUGCUGACUUUGUGUUUGCAAACAAGCUUCCAUUGGUGACCACAUUUACCAGGGAAAGUGCCCCUGCAAUUUUUGAUAAUCCUAUAAAGCAGCAGGUAAAUCUAUGUUGACUGCAUCAAACUACUGCCUUGCCGUUUAAUGCACAUUCUCUCGUGUCAAUGUAAGCAUGCCUUAUGUUUGACAUCUGUUCUUCUGUACUACUAUUAGAUUCUGCUCUUUGCUACAUCGAAUGAAUCUGAGAAGAUCGUGCCAACAUUCCAAGAAGCUGCAAAACUGUUCAAGGGAAAGGUAAGUGCCGAGUAUUCUGAUCUACCUCCUCCUUCAGAGUAACUCUGCAUAAUCACCUAAAACCCAAUAUUUGUCAAUUUAAUUAUGUGUUUCAUUCUUUGUAUAAUCUUUAUGAUGAAGCUUGACAUGUAAAAAUGUAGUUUUGGCCUUAUACAUAGCAUUGAGCCAUUUCUUCACUUAACAGCUGCUAACUUUUGUACUGGUGUGAUAUUUCAAGCGGUUUAUAUUUUUGACUCAUUUUACUUUAGCAUUGCUUACGUUGUGUCGAGUCAUGACUUAGUUCUGUUAUGUAUUUUGGAUGUCUUCCCAGAAAAAGGGAAGUAUCUGGUUGGAUCUUAUCUUUACUAGAUUCUUCAUAGCUUCCCAGAUUUCAAUUUCUCAGUGAAUACUUUAAUGCAAGGGAAUCCAGUGAAAAUCAAUCUUUUGUGAAGUGUAUUUGAUUAGUUCUAUACCGCAACGAUUCAAGUGAAGAGAGAUUCGGGUCGACUGUUAGGCGUGUUUGGUUCGAAGUCGGAAUCGGAAUUGGAAUGACACAUUACCUAAUUCUGUUUGGUUUAUCACCUGAAUAGGAAUCGGAAUAAAUCAUUCCCAUUGUCGGUGUUUGGUUCAGAUAAAUAUAAAAAACGUAAUCAGAUUAAUAUAUUAACUUUAUCUUUAUAAUAUAUUAAUUAAAAUUCAAAUUAAAAACUAAAUAUUAAAAAUUUACGUCAAAAUUUUGAAAUAAUGUCAAAAUUUUAAAUCUAUUUUUUUACAAAAAUUUAACUUUGAAGUUGAGUGGAUAAUUCGAAAUAUAAAACUAAAUUUCGAUUUAUUCAAAUUCAAAUUUAAAAUUAUAAUUUAAAUUUUAAUUUGAAUCCAUAAAUUUAAUUUAACUUUUAAAUAAAAUUUGAAUAAAACUUUAUAUAAAUUAAAAUUUAAUUUAAAUUCAAAUUCAUAAGUUAGAUUCGAAAUACUUGAUUAAAUUUUAAUUUUUAAUUCAAGUUCAAAUUAAAAUUUAAAAUUUAAAAUUUAAUUUCUAAAUUUAAACUCAUACUUUAAUUAAAAAAGUUGAAAAAAUAAAUUUGAUCCAAAAAAAUAUCUAUUCCGUCCGGAUUCAACUUCUAAUACGGCUCGGGAAUCGGAAUCGGAAUGGUACUCCCCCGUACCAAACACCCACAAACGGAUUCGCCCAUUCCGAUUCCGAUUCCAGGGUGAAAAAGAAGUGAACCAAACACGUCCUUUGCUUUAUUAAUCAAAGUUGGGUUAGGUACAUUUUGUUCACCCAUCCUCCUUGAAUGUACUUGUUCUCAAUGUUGGAAGCUACAACAGAAUCUGUUACUUCUGGAUCUUUAGCCAUCAGUUGUGAUUUAUGUUCGAAAUGUUGGCACAUUGCACUACCAAUUGGGCUUCCACUUUUUGUUGGAGUUUUAGCACAAGGCUUAUUUUGCACCUAAUUACUUAUUUGGGCAAUCUGAAGCUUUUCAUUGGACAUUUAGUUUACAACUCUUCAACAUAAAAUUAAUUCUCUCUACAUGACUAAACAUAAAUGAAUUAGAAAGUUAUUAGGAAUCUAACGUAUGCUCAGACAAGUCAAUCAAAGGGGGUUCUUAUUGGCAUGACUCUCAGAUUGUUAACUAGAGUUGCUGGGUGCUUCAUUGGACUACUUUCUGGUUGACCACGGUCAACUGCUGGGUCAGCUAGCCCUUAUUUUUUUGGGUGGUUGCGCUGGAGAUAGUGUGCCAGAUAAACACAUUUGGUGUGCUGCAACGUUUUCUCCUUAAUAUCUGUACGUGGUUGAUUCAAUUGCCAGCCAUUUGGCUGAAUUUGAAGAGAGUUCUUUGUUGCGUUCAACUCUCACUGAAUGCAGUAGUUGCGCUCUUUUCAUGUGAUCCUGUACCCUUGAAAUAUUUCUGUGUAAGGACAGUACAUUCUUGUCAUGCGAUCACGUCCAUAAUUAUUUCCUUUUCCUGUUUCGAAGUCAUUAAACUGCUUUAGAAGCUUGAUCGUCAGGUUUUGUAAAUUGAUGUACGGUAUAUGUUUGUAGCUUGCUCUGAGAUACCUAUGAUUUUGUUGCAGCUCAUCUUUAUUUAUGUGGAGAGGGAUAAUGAGGAUGUCGGUGUACCAGUUUCAAAUUACUUCGGUGUGACUGGAGAUGGUCCUAAAGUAAUAUACUCUUCUCUCUUCUUCUUCCGAUUAUUCGAACAUAUAUUAUUGUGCCUUUGUGCUGCUGGAUAAAUUUCAUCAUCUGAUUAACACAAUUAUGUAGGUUUUGGCAUACUCAGGAAAUGAAGAUGCCAAGAAAUAUAUACUCGAUGGUGAGCUAUCAUUGGACAGCAUAAAGGUUUGUAUUCCAUUACUAUUGCAAAGUGAGCAUACAUCAUUUUUUUCCUCUUUGAUUAGUUUUAAAUAGAAAAGAUGGAUAAGGUCUUUUCUUUACUGCAGAAAUUUGCCGAGGGUUUCUUGGAAGACAAGCUGAAGCCUUUCUACAAAUCUGACCCCAUUCCUGAGACUGUAAGUGCCCAAAAUUAUCCAACUCUCGUUUAUUUCUUCCCUAGUUCUAUUUUUCUUUUCUUUUUUUCCUUAUUUUUUUCUUUUCCAUUUUCAACAUUUGCAUAGAACGAUGGUGAUGUGAAGAUUGUUGUUGGGAACAAUUUUGAUGAGAUAGUUCUCGAUGAAUCCAAGGAUGUCCUCCUAGAGGUAAGUCAUUCCUCAGUAAUCAAUAGCGAACAUCUUUAUUCGUUCAGCGUAAUAUAACUUAAUACCGUUAUUCUUUUUGUGGGUUUGGAUGAACCAGAUCUAUGCACCAUGGUGUGGGCAUUGUCAAGCAUUGGAACCGGUUUACAACAAGCUCGCCAAGCAUCUCCGCGGCAUUGACUCUCUAGUCAUCGCAAAAAUGGACGGCACCACAAAUGAGCACCCUCGUGCCAAGGUCUUGCCUCUCACUCAAUAACUCUCUCUCUCUCUCUCUCUCUCUCUCUCUCUCAGUAUUGAGAGAUUAGGAACAGAAUCUAGAAAUGGAACUCUGAACAUUCCUCUUUGGCUUAUUUUUCAAAUAUUUUCAUAAACUGGAGAAUGUUGUCAUCAAUCCCUUGAAUCUGAAUGUGUUUUUCUGUUCAUACGUUCCAGACCGAUGGCUUCCCGACUCUGCUCUUCUUCCCAGCAGGGAACAAAAGCUUUGAACCCGUAAGUUUAAUAAUCACUUUGUAUCAACCAUUCGCAUCAUAUCAGUAUCAUCAUUAUCAUGCUCAGCUCAGUAGUUAGUUCCCUGUCUCACUUUUCUGCAUUUUGUACAGGUCACGGUCGAUACAGAUCGAACGGUGGUGGCGUUCUACAAGUUCAUAAAGAAGCACGCCUCGAUCCCAUUCAAGCUCCAGAGGCCGGACUCGGCAACAAAGUCCGAGAGCACCGCCGCUGGCGAUUCCUCUGCAGUGGAGAGUGAGAAGAGUACCAGCUCUGACGUUAAGGACGAGUUGUAGAGAGAGAGAGAGAGAGAGAGAGAGAGAGUGAUAGGGAGCUAUUCUAGGGUUUUUUUUGUCAGGGAAGGAUGAUGUUCUUUUAAGUUAUCUGAGCAGGUAUUUAAAGAGCUUUUCGGCGUAGCAUUAGUUGCCCGGGAAAUGUGAUCUCAAGAGUAGUUUAUCUUGAUACACCUCCUGUAAGAUAAGGAAACUGGAAACUAAUAAGAGUGUCAACUCUCCGUUUUUCACUUACUAUUCUCAUGAAGAUUACAAAAACAAGAACUUGCAAGCAGCAGGUGAUCGAACAUUGUUAAUGAGGAGCAAUUGAUCCAUCAAGCAGAGGACUGGGCCAAUCAAGAUCGAUUAAUCGAGAACCUGAGGUAAUCCAACUCCCAAAUUAUCGAAUUGAGACAGUUUAAAGGUGGAGUGUUCGAAAAGGCUUAUUUUUUUUUUUUUAAAAAAAAUUGAAUGGUCAGAAACCAAAAUAGGAUGAAGAACGAAUCAUCCUAAAUAACUUGAAUUUGAACCCAACCCAGGCACUGAUCGUCAAACUUUUGCCCUGGCUUUAGGUGAUACUGAAAACGUAAAAGAACAAAAUCUGAACCCACAAACAGAUCGUCAAACUUUUGCCGCGAUUUUCCGUGAUACUAAGAACAUAAAAAGAACAACAAGAAAAAACAGAUCGUCAAACUUUUGCCGCGAUUUUCGGUGAUAUAAAGAACAUAAAAAGAACAAAAAGAAAAAGAAGAACAAAGAGGAGUACGUGAUGCAGUCAACUGGGUUGCUUUCAGCAAAGCUAACGGGGAAUGCAAAAUUAAAAAUGGAAAAGCCUCUACUUUCAGCAUCCAACUUUUCUUUUACCAGAAGAAUGAGCUCUAAAAAAAAUAAAAAGUUAGCAUGCAAAUUCACAACACCUCUUCUUGCGCAAGUUAGAGAUGCGGUAUACUUUAUUUGAUAAUUAAUAUUUAAAAAUUAAAGAUUAAUUGACUAGAUUUAUGCUAUAACUUUUGAAGUUAUUUCAUACAUAUAAUAAAAAAGUCUAGAAAAUUUUAGAAUAUAGCAGCAGGACGCCGCCGUUCAAUUCCUAAUAAAUGAUGUUUCAAUUUUUUGAUCAUUGAUGUACAAGCCUUUUGAGUAUUAUUAAAAAAAUAUAUCUAUUCAAUAAUUAAAUUCUAAUUCUACGAAUUCAAUAAUAAGUUUGAAAUAUACGACUUAUCCGUCGAUACGAUAACUUUACUAAAACUUGGAGAGUUUAAAUUUUUUAAAAUAAUAUAUAUAUAUUUAAAUGAGACGGAUAGCGUACUAUUUUUUCUGAAAAAAAAGUUAUUUUUUUUUUUUUUUUUUCAGAGCAAAAUAAAAAAUUUGCAGAAGCUUGAAACGUGAAAACAUGUCAACGACAGAAAUGCACGAGAUCCAAUUAAUAUAUAAGCAUAUGAAAAUAGGAGGUCAACGCCUCACUCAAUCCAGUGUAUCCUCACUCCUCGUGAAUAAUUAAUAUUUUAAAAUUAAAGUUUAAUAUGACAGAUUCAACGUUCUACACCAUCUAAAAACUUAUAUAUAAAAAUUAUUAUUAUUUAAUUUGUAAGAAAUAAAGCUUCAAAAUUUAUAAUAUCUUUGUAAUUUGUUGCUUGGUUACGAAGACUCGAAGAGGAAAGGCGAAAAUGUCUGUGAAUCAAAUUGUGCUGUAGUUGAGGGGUCUCCAUGCAAUUGUAUCUAAUAUUAAAAAUUAGGAUUAAUUUUGUAUCAGUCCCUGCAAACAAAAUGAAUGAUAAAUAUAUCUCUACAAAGUUCAAUUUUCAUAUAUUGUCCCUAUAAAAAUUUUCAAAUAUAUCUUUUUGGUUUGUUACCAUUCUUCGUUUGAUUCGGAUAUAAGCAAGAACUAGUUAUACCGGGGAUAGAUACAAGUAUGGAUUUUAGUAGGAAUAAGGGUAUUUUUUUAUUUGGAUGAAAAUGUGAGUAUAAGCUGGAACUAGAAAAAUUGUGUUUGGAUAAAAAUGUAAGUAUAAGGUGGAAUAGUUGGUAGUUAUAAAUAGAAAAUAAUGAUAUUACUCCUAUAAUUGAAUUUACAUUUUUAAAUUUAUAAUUUUAAAUUGAAAAGUUUAACUUUUAAAUUUUAAAAUUUGAAAUUAAAAUUUAAAAUUUUAAUUUUAAAAAUUUUAAUUUUAAAUAUCAAAUUUUAAAUUUAAGACCAAAUUUAAAUUUGAAAGAUAUAAAAUAUCAAAUUUAAAAUUUAAAAACUAAAAAUAUCAUAUUUAAAAUUUAAAUUUUAAAAAUUUUAAUUUUAAAUAUCAAAUUUUAAAUUUAAGACCAAAUUUAAAUUUGAAAGAUAUAAAAUAUCAAAUUUAAAAUUUAAAAACUAAAAAUAUCAUAUUUAAAAUUAAAAUUUUAAAUUUUAUAAUUUUAACUUAUAAAUUUUAAAUUUUAAAAAUUUAAAUUUUAAUUUAAAACAAAAAUUUCUCUCUCUCUCUCUUUACCCGAGGGUGGGAACAAGCUUGUUCCCACCCCUAUACCGGAUUGUACCGGGUAGGUAGGAACAAGUGUUCCCACCCACCAAUAAAAGUGUUUGGGUAUAAGGGGGGAUAACCUCCUUAUCCCCCUCUUGUACCCAAUCCAAACACCCUCUGCGGUAUCGUUUGGUUCGGAAAUAAACAAAAAGUGACUAUUCCAGAAAUAAAUAUAAAUUGAGGUAUAAACGGGGAUUAGAUCAAUUUUGCUUUCGGAUGAAAAUUGGGUUAUUCCUGAGAAUAAAAAAAAUAGCAUUUGGUUAGGUAAGAUGGAAUAAGAAAGAUAGUGAAUUUUUAUAAAUAAAAAAAUAAUGAUAUUGAUCUUUUAUUAUAUUUAAAUUUGAAUUUUUAAAAUUUUUAAAAUUAAAAUUUUAACUUUGAAAUUUCAAAAUUUGAAAUUUAAAAUUCUUUUAAAACUAUUNAUAUCUUCGUAAUUUGUUGCUUGGUUACGAAGGCUCGAAGAGGAAAGGCGAAAAUGUCUGUGAAUCAAAUUGUGCUGUAGUUGAGGAGUCUCCAUGCAAUUGUAUCUAAUAUUAAAAAUUAGGAUUAAUUUUGUAUCUGUCCCUGCAAACAUAAUGAAUGAUAAAUAUAUCUCUACAAAGUUCAAUUUUCAUAUAUUGUCCCUAUAAAAAUUUUCAAAUAUAUCUCUUUGGUUUGUUACCAUUUUUCGUUUGGUUCGGAUGUAAGCAAGAACUAGUUAUAGCGGGGAUAGGUAUAAGUAUGGAUUUUAGUAGGAACAAGGAUAUUUUUUUAUUUGGAUGAAAAUGUAAGUAUAAGCUGGAACUAGAAAAAUUGUGUUAGGAUAAAAAUGUAACUAUAAGGUGGAAUAGUUGGUAGUUAUAAAUAGAAAAUAAUGAUAUUACUCCUAUAAUUGAAUUUAAAUUUUUAAAUUUUAAACUUAUAAUUUUAUAUUGAAAAUUUUGAACAAGCUUGUUCCCACCCAUACCCGAUAUGGGUACGCGGGUGGGAACAAGCUUGUUUCCACCGACCCAAAUGGUGUUUGGGUACAAGAGAGGGAUAACCCCUUUAUCCCCCUUCUUAUAUCCAAUCCAAACACCUCCUUAGAAUUAAAGAUAUCCGUGGACGAGGUCAGAUCUAGAUAGUUGAUAUACUAUACCCGUACCCUAAAAAAAUAUGGAUACGAAAAAAAAAAACUAUACCCUACCCAUUUGACUUCGGAUCGGAUCCGUGUCUAGGUACUUAAAUUACUAAUAUACCCAUCGGGUCUAUUUGAGCGGAUCUAAAUAGUAACUAUCCGUAUACUAUUCGCUUAAAAUCAAAUACGGCUCGGAUUUAGAUCGAGUACGGAUACCCAUAUACAUAUAUUUUUAAUUUAUAAGUCCUAUUGAAAUUGAUUCCUCAACUUCAAAUUUUUUUAUUUACUAUCGGGUAUUUCACUGGUUCCAAAUCUGAAUCUGGUUCCGGGUCCGAAUUUGAAAUAUCUUCCGGACCCUACUCAUUAAAAGGUUGGGUUCGGGUCCGAUCAAAGUCGGGUAUGGAUAUAAACUAUCCGGAUCCAUACCCGGAACUUAAAUGAAUAUUUUUUUACCUAUAUACCAUCCAUUUUUUAUCAGGUCCGAUUCGGAUCCGAGUAGGGUCUAAAUAGGAUACAGUAUAUCGAAUAUUUUGGACAGCUUUACUUAGGAUUGAGAUAAAUACACUAGCCAACAAUAUAUAUUUUGCUUUAGACUUUUAAUUGAAAUGCUAAAAUACAAAAUCCUUUUGUAAGUACCUAAUUUUUCACCUUUUUUAUUUUAAAAAAUCGACAAUUUAGUCUCUCNAACAAUUAAUAAAAAUAAUUUAUUAUAAUAAAUUUAUAAUUUUUUUAAAAUUAUACUUAAACUUAAAUUUAAUAAAAAAAUUUAUUAUAAUAUUUAAAUAUAAAUAAUAUGUAUUAAUAUAGUACAAUUAAUGAUUUUAUAAUAAAAAUAAUGUAUUAUAAUAUAUAACAUAUAAUAUUUAUAUAAUUUAGUUUUAAUUCAAUUUAUAAUUUUAAAUAAGUUUGAAAUUAAGUAUUGGAAUAGCACUAGCAAAUCCUUGCUAUUCCGGAAUAACCGGAAAUAGCAAGGUUUGACCGGGAUAAAAUAUUCCGGUCAAAUUUUAUCCCGUUUGGCGGAAUAGCAGGGAUAAUUUUCGUUAUCCCCGUAUCACAAAUAUGUUUCUUCAAAAAAUAUAACAGUAUAAUAUAAGAGAGAUAAAGUUGUCAAAAACUAAACAAGAUUAAGUAUUUAAUCCAUGGUUAACUAAAUUUUUCUAACAAAUUUUAACGACAGUGAUAUAUUUCUAAAUAUCAGAAUUUUUGUAAGAAUCAUAUAUAAAAAUUAAAUUUUAUAGAAAUAUAUUUGUUAUUUCCCUGUAUUUAUAGAAAUAUGUAUGGAAUUAAUCCUAAAAAUUAUUAUUAUUAAACACCACCUCAUUCUCCUCUCUUUCUACUCUGGCGUAGAAAUCUCCAUAGACUCGAAUCCCAACAAUAACGGCGCUUCCUUAUCCCUAGCGGUAAUCUCACUCUUACUCUCACCGCCCCAGCUGUACUCCCCAUCCAAGGCGGUGACCACACCGCACCCCACCCCACCCGCCUAUAUAUAUGUGUAUGUAUGUACACGCCGCAUUUGUACCCUGUGAUCUGGUUCUCCGACGACGACGACGACGACGACGACGACGACGACGACGACGAAACCCUAGCGAGCUCCGACAAUGGCGACAUUGCUCCCUCUCCUCUUCCUACUACUACUAUCGCCCGAUCUCCUCUCCUUCGCGCAGAUCUCGCUCCCUCCCUCCGCCGAAGCCCCUUCCCUUUCCCUCCCCCCGUCCGCGUCGGCCCCUUUCUCACACCUCUCGCCCCCCUCGCCGCUUCCACACUCGCCCUACUCAUCCCCCGCGCCGUCUCCGACACCGCCGGGGCCAUCGCCUUCCCCAUCGCCGGCGCCGGGGCGGGAGGAGAUCAAGGCCGGGGGAGGCGGCGGCGAGGCGGAUCAGGGGGAGGACGACAAGGGGGGAGGAGGAGGAGAGGAGCGCAAGGGGAUGAGCGCGGGGAGGAAGGCGGGGAUCGUGGUGGGGGUGGCGGCGGCGGCGGCGGCGGUGGGGCUCGGCGCCGCCGUGUACAAGAAGCGCCGGGACAACAUCCGACGUUCCCGCUAUGGCGGCGGCGGCGGCGGCGGCGAGUACUACGGAGGUAGGGUUGAGAUGAUUUGAUCUCCUCCUCUUCGCCUUCGUGUUCUUCGUCUUCGUCUUCGAUCUCGGUCGCAUAGGUUUUUGUUAUGCGUUCGUUCGUCUGCUCGUUUUCGGAUCUUUUCUACUGGGAGUGGACGAUGAGAAAAAAAAAAAAGGUACGCUUAUUUAAUAUUUUCAUCGAAAUUAUUUUUGAUUCGUUAGCUAUUACUUGAGAUGUGGUGUAGUGAAAGUGGAAUUUAUAGGGUUUAUUACUAUUGUUAUUAUUAUUAUUUUGGCAUAUGAAUUUGAAAUUUCGUUGGGAUCAGUUUAGAUCUGAAUGGUGGAUUACAAUUAUACAGGUUCUUAAUUGUGACGAGUUAUUCCUUUUUGUUAUAUAUUUACUUAAAAAAGAAAAAAAACAGAAUGAGUUAUUAUGCGCUCCCUUUGAAUGAUGUGAAUGCAAGGUGGGCGGAUUAUUAGGCACGUGAGACGCAUGUUAGGGGAAUGUGGAAAUGCUUUGUGUGUGAGUGUGUUUGGGUGUGAUUUGUUCAUCAGUUUUUCAUUUUCAUCCCCACUUGUUUAGUGGUGUUAUUAUUUUAUUAUUAUAAUAAUAAUUAGGAUAGAUUGUUGUUUUGGUCUUCAAACUUUGAAAUGAGUAAUAACUUUGUUUUCAAACUUUAAUUUUUUUGUUAUAAUUUUUAUUUAAAAAUUUUAAAUUAUUAUAAUUAAAUUUUAUAAUUUAACUUAGUUGACUAUAUAUUAAUUUUUUUCCAACAAAUUAAAGCUUACAUGUCGAAAUGUCGCUCACCCUAAGGAUUGAGGACGAAAAAGUAUUAUUAUUAUUAUUGCUGUAACUUAUUUUGCUCGUACCGUUCAGAAAAACUUUGGUUUACGAGGGAACUCAUCUAAAUUAAGAUAGUUUGAUUAAUAUUAUAAUAUAUCAGAUAAAGCAAUUUACUUCAAUCAAUUGGAUGAACUGUUCAUCAUCUGGGUACCAACUGUAGCAAUAGAUACUGCAUUUUAUUCAAUUUAUUUUAGAAAGCAUAAGUUUGUAAUUGGGUUGAAUUGUCGGGUUUGGGACUUAAUCCGACCCAAUUUACAACCCUACUUGGACCAUAAGUAAACCCUCUUCUCUUUGAGUGUACGUGUUAGCUAACCCAUCAACCGAAGUGAAAUAGUGUGCAUUAGAUUUGGGUUGGGUCUCACCAUAAAUUAAUAAUAGAAUCAUGGACCUCUGAUCGAAGAGUUACAGGUGCAUUCCAUUAAAUUUGGUAGGUAUUUGUUGAUUGAAUUUGAUUAUUUUCAGCGAAUGCGAUUCUUUACUAAUUUGUUUGGCGUUACCUUUUUUAUAUUAUUAUAUAAUAUAUUUCUAUUCUUCCAAUGAGUUCUACAUUUUGCAUAGAUCACUUUAGUCACUCUAAUUGUUCAGAUUGCUAAUUAAAAAAGAUCUUAAAACUAUUAGGACGUCACAUAUUCUUCCGUUAGGAUUUCUUCGUCAAUCUCAAUCAUGCAUGUACUUUAGGAUUACAAUAAUAAGAUUUGGAACUAUGACAUUACAUGCGAUUUACUUUAUGCCACUCGGUUAGUUUCAAUCACGCAUAUAGUUUAAAAUUAUGAGAUUUAGAAUGAUAUGAUGACAUGAGACCUAAUUCUAUGCGGUUGAUAAUUUAGCUCUGAUAUCAAAUAUGUCGAUCCAGUAACUAACUUAAUUCUAAUAGCCUAUUGAAAUAAUUAAGCCAGAUUAUUAAAUCCAAGUCAGGUGCUGGAAUACUUAACCAAGCGUUGCGAGAUGUGAGAUGUUCACUCGGUGCCAAACAAUGUCUCUUUCUUCUGUCCAAGAUGGUAUUUUAUGGUCAUGAAGCAUUUGGUUAGAAAAUAGGGAUAGAAAUAGUCCCUUAUCCCUCUUUAAUAUCCAAACGUUAAUUUUUUAUUCGAGAAUAAUAAUUCUCGGUUAUCCUCACCAACACCUUUAUUUUCUAUAUAAAACUAUCUAAAAUUAUUUUUAUCCCCGGAAACAAUCCAAUUUUCAUUCAAACACUAUUUUUCUUAUCCCUAUACUUGUAUCUAUCCCUAUAAUAGCUAGUUCUUACUUAUGCCUGAACCAAACGGUAAAUGGCAGUGUACCCUUAAUUCAACCCAACAAAAAAAAAAAAAAAAAGGUGUGGAAAAAUAACUAUUUUUUGAAGUUCAAAAGAGUCCACUUGUUUACACCCGUUAGCCUAGUUGAUCCACCAUGUGCGCGUGUUUUCAGAAAUUUAAUCUUUGAAAAAAGCGUAUGAACAAUAGCUCAUUUUCCUUGUACCUAACAAAUUGCUAAACCAUUUUUUUCUUUUUUCUUUUCUUUUUUUCAUCUAGUGUUAUAAACUAUUGCAUUAUGCAUGGUGACUAACCAAAUUAUAGCACAUUUUAAAAUGGCCGGGCAAGUAUACAAUUUUGUAUGAGCAUUCUCUUAAUUAAUUUUUAAUUUUCCGAAGAAAUAUAUGGAAUUCACUAACUCAAACUGUGAGUCUAAUUAUUUUUUAGCAAUUUAUUGGACCUUCCAUUGCACCAAAGAGUUGAAAUAGAUUAAAGUGGCAGAGCACGUUUCUUCCAACGAACUCGACAAAAUGAGGGAUUGAGAGUGGAGUAAAUUCCGGGAUUGCUUCUAUCAAACCGCUGCUAUUCAGUACAAACCUGACCAUGGACCUGUUUGUUUGUUUGGACUUCAGAGGUUAAACUCGUGAUUUUGAAAAAGUCACAGAUAUUGGUGUUUGUUUCGGUACCGAAGUUGCAAGAUCACUCCCACUCCCCGAUGGGUCAUUCAACUUCAGUAGCAUUGGCGGCGUGGGGAAGGCGAUUUCACGUGAGUCGCAAAUUCCUCGCUCUCCGACAAUCCACUUCCAAAAGGCCUCUUAAACUUGCCAACAAGUCCCAGGAAAAGCCUAAGACUAUAUUUUAGAUCAUCUAUAUACAGAUUAACAACUAACUAAGAUGGUCAGCUUCUUGAACCUAAUUCGAAUGAUCAAUUCACUGGUUGGUGCAUACCGGACAUUAAAGCUUGCGAUUGCGAAGUCUUGCUACGUGUAUUGGAUCGUCCCAAGAACAAAAGAUAUUAGUUGAGCUAUCGAGCUCAGGCGCCAACCAACUGUAGUUUAGCUGGUUAAAGACUUAAUUUGAAACUGAUCUGCUUUUAUUGUUUUUAAAGGCCCAAAAAUCCCAAAAUUUUGAAGUGUUUUUAAUCUUCUAUCCUCCAAUGCAUAAAGAUUAGCUACACAUGCCUAGAUACGGAGGUCUAGUAAAGGGCCUAGAGAAAAACUCAUAUUUAUUGCAUAAAGAUAUUACCUACAUAUGCCUAGAUAUGGAUUCGGAUUGGUUUAGAUGUUAAGACUAGAGAGAGUAAUGUUGAAGAGAGAGUUUAGCUACUCAAUAGGUAUUAGGGUCAUGAGGAAUGGUACGAUUAUUGUUUCGGAUCAUUGGUGCUAAUCAUUAAUUACAAAAAUCCGAGCUGUUAGAAAAAUGCAACCAAUUCAAAGCAUACAGAUACAACAUCCAAAAAUCUCGAUUAUGAUUCGGCCAAAUAAGUCUCCUGCCACUUCGAACAUGACUUGGCCCAAUCCGACCAGCCACCAUUUCCAACAUGAUUCGAACUAUAACUCAGUCUCCCGUUAUAGGGCAGGAUGUUGGCCCUUUUAAGUCAACAGAUUGAAUUUAACGAACGAGAUUUUCCAGUAUAAUCGCAACCUCUCAGGCGGGAUUUGAUAAUUCGACCCAACAAGAUCAUCUGAUCUACCCGAUUCAUUUCCCAAACUCUCACGAGCCCCAACACCUCUGAAUCGCUAACCCCUCAUCCAACAUCGCUCAACACGGUUUUAUCCAAUCCAAUCUAAUCCCAAGAGUAAGACCCUCUAUUAUAAACUGCAGCGACAAUGGCAUACGCAUGUAGAGAGCAAAUUUUUAUGCAUAAACAUCAUCUGUGCCUUACUGCUCUAAUUCAUAAAUCGGAGAAUCAUUUGAGUUAUUCGUGACUCGGAAUAAAUAAAUUUUACGUAUAUCUAUUCUCGAAACAGAUCAACUAGCAAGGACGGAGGAAUAACUCUUAGGAAACAAGAAAAAAGCCGCAGUUUUACCUCUCAAGAAGCAUGACCAUCUCGCAGUGAGGAGUGUGAGGGAACAAAUCGACGGCCAUCGCCCUAACAGGCUGGAAUGGCUCGGAAUUAGGCAUGGAUUUUGUACGGUACCUAGCGAGACCGGCACUGCUCAUGUUCCGCCACCCUCUAUUGCCUUUCUUCUUCUCCGGUCUGUCGGCAGUUGGCGUGCAAAGCUCGAUUGCGUUCGCCACCAAGCUCUCCGGAUUGCACGAAAUAUACCUAGUGAAGGAGAAAAAUAGAAAUGUCAAAAAAAGUAUCUUUGAAAUACAUUAUCAACAAAAGUCUUAUACAUGACUAUGGAAAACUAUAAAUUUCUUCUUAGGGAGCUAAGAUGUGGCGCUUACACAAGUCGCCGAAUACGUGGAUGAGUCCUAAGAGCUUUGAUCACCUGGAAAUCAUUGGAAGUGUGAUAUUAAUAUUACCCGAACAUGCCAAUGUGCAAAAUGAAAUACUCGCUGACAAUGAGCAACUUUAAUUCCUUCGUUAAUCAUAAACAGAAGAUUUUUACAAUAAAAGAAGCAGAACUGCAACAAAAAGGUGCAACAUGCACAGAGUUACCAAGAAAUUACCACAGGGUGAAGUCCAACUCGUGGAGGAUCAACGAUAGCAACAACUUUCUUGAACUGGCGCACAGAAGAAACAUCUGCCACUCCUUUCUCUUCGGAAACAUUGUUGCGCUCUGAAGUGUUCUCCUGAAUGGUGUUGCCGAGCCCAUUAGUGCAACUUCUCAAGAUUCCAUCAUUAUUUUCAUCAUCUUUUUCAAUAUUCCCAUGACUUUCUUCAGUGCUGUCUUCCAUUUUUUGGUCGUUCUUAUCCUCCAAACUUGCUGGCACAUCCUCACCACUGUUCUCUGUGGCAUUGUUGUCUUUCUCUAUGGUAUCAGUUUCUGAGACAUCAUUAGAAACUAUGCUAUCCUGCUGAGGUGCUCCAAGAUACUCUUUGAGCAGAGACCCCAUCACAUCCUCUGCCUGUUAAUACCCAUCAUGGAAAUAUAAGAUUAUUUCCGCAAUAAAAAGAAUGAAGCUGAAGUACUUUGAGAGAAGAAUACAUCAAAUGCCGUGACGUUGAGAACUAAUCUCUAAGUUUUAACACCACAAAAUCACGAAACAUUUUACUUAUUCCCUCUAUGGGAGCAAAAAGUCUACUUUUAAGUGUUCAAUGACAAACAAAAAUACUCUUGAUUAGGCAUGAAAUGCCUAACAUUGAAUUUGUAAUGCACAAACUUGAAAUUUUACUAACUAGACACAUAAUCACAAGGCAAGCCCAAAAUAUUAGACGUUAGCUAUAAAUAUCACAAUGAAUUCAGUUGCAUUUCUCCAAAUAAUAAUUUGCUUCUGUAUUGGAGUCAUCCGGAAGAUAUUCUUGGUAUUGAUACAAUCAAAUUCUCAAACUCAUGGGCAGACUCAUUAUUUUUACACUAGAUUUCGGAAAUAAAAUCACGUGAACAAGUAAUAUAAACUGCUAGCAGGUGAUAUUAUUGUACUAAAAACAUGUUUGACAACAUAUGGUAAAAUUACAUAUAAGGUUCUCCUUCAUUCUGCUUUCAUGCACAAAUAAAUAUAAACCUAUCUUUGAGUAAUGUUCAAAAAAACAUAUCAACUGACUCUAAUGAAAACGGCUAAUAUGUAUGUACGCCUUUUCCUUUUCCAGUUUUCCUAUUCCAUCAUCUUCCUCAUGCACUUACUUUGAAAGCAUCCAAAAUAACACAGUUCACAACAGCAACUAGAAACUAAGAGAAUGAAUUGUUAUCAUUCUCUCCACAACCGAUACAGCAAAGCAAGUCAAAAGUGAAUCCUUGGGAUUCCAAAAUUAGUAACUUACAUAGCAUCAAACCGAAAAAAAAAAAAGUUGCAGUUAAGGAAAAGAAACUCCUAAGAGUAAAACUCACCUUUCCAGACACAAACCUACAAUUUUUUAUGCCAUUAAUCACUGCAUUUCUCUUUGCAUCUGAUACCGCUGAUUCAUUCAUUUCAAUGCCAACAACCUGCAUACGAAUAGUAGAAAUUUAUCAAUCGGAAUGAACAAUCAAGAACAAAUUACAAGGAAAUCUCACCACCUCUGAGAUCAAUAUUCUAGCUUCAAGAUACAGUUAAGAUAGUAAACAAACUACUAAGGUUAUGCUGCACAAAAUAUGAGGCUCCAUAUUGAGCAGAUGAAAUGAACUGAUCAUUCUACCGAGACAAAUUAGAAAACUACUAUAAUAUUAUUUGUGACAAAUAAACCAGAGGGAAUAUUAGGUUUCUCAUACAUGCAGCAAAAGUACUGCCUAAGGCAGCUUAAAUUAGAACCACAAAAUCACAUUCACAAAACAAAGGGCACCAGAAAAAUGAGUGGUUCCAAUGUAAACAACCGAAUGAUGAAAGUGAAUGAGAUCUUCUAGCUGUGUUGAUAAGAAAGCAAAUACUAAGAAAAGACAAACCUGCAAUUUUAAUCAAAGAUUUAGCCCAGGCCAGAGAGGCUACUUAAAAGUGGGGGAAAGAAAAAUCAAAGAUGAGUACCAUUCCAACACGGUGUGCUAAAGUAAGGCCAAUAGCUCCUGUCCCACAACAUAUGUCAAAGAGCAAUGUAUCCGGACUCAGGUCAGCCCAAUCACCAGCAAGGCUAUACAACCUUUCUGCAGCAAGAGUAUUAACCUGUAGACUUGUGAGUGGAAAAUGCACAUUUUUCUAAUCAAUCAAAAAAAAAAGCGACUCAAAAGAAUAUAGUGGAGUUUCUAACUUGAAAGAAUGCUGUUGGUGAUAUAGAGAAGCGGAGAUUGCUUAUGUAAUCAUGAAUCCUUCCUUCAGCGAUAUCAAGCUUUUCUGAACUAGCUUGUCCUUCCAUUUUUGGCACCAGUAGUGGAAUCAACGGACAAUCAGCUGGUGCGGCAUUUGAUAUUCCUUUGUGAUCCUGCAUGAUAAAUAUUAAGUUCUCAUAGCAGUAUCAAUAAAAAGUAAGACUCAGAAUUAUCCUUCUAACAUUGAAACAAGUCUGAAAACAAAAUGGAGAGAAUUAUUCUUCUAAAAGUGAGAGCCCACCUGCACAAUUAUGGUUGUUAGAGGUAGUGGAGGAGCUGAUGCAGCUGCUCCGUGUACAAGAGCCAUGGACAACUUGGCAAAUUCAUUUUUCAUCACAUCUUCAUCAACUUCCGUGGAACAGACCUGCAUAACAGUAGUAACAUAAAUUCAUAAUGCAAGAUAAAAUGACUAAACAUGUUCCAAAGUUGAGGCCUUUAAAAGUUUAUUUUAUUUUACAUUACUGAAUUGUGUUUUUCUUUAUCAGAGAAUACAUAGAAUUUUCUGCCUCCAACGAAUUACUUGAGAAAAAAAUUUUGAUACAUUAAUGGAGAGAUUUGUACAUGUAUAUAGUGCAAUGUGCGGAAAAACAAUACCUAAACUGUACAAAUUUGAGCUUUUCCAGUAAGAUGAGUUAACCUGAAUGAUAAGCAUGACUUCUGCUAUUUGGAUCUCGGCAUUUUCAGCAGUAGCAAGUUGACCAGGAACCCUUCCCUCUCGGACCUAAUUAGGAACUCCAAGAGAAUAAGAAUCUGCAAUCUCAUCUCAAAAAGAUGUAAAUAAUUAUGCACUUCCAAACUGUAGAAAAGCAUACCGUAAAUUGACGCCAAAAACCAGUGUUAUCGGUUCUGCUCCACACAGGUAAGGCGGAGGACUGCAGGAAAUCUUGAAAGAUUGAAGCAUACUUUGAGGAAACUCUAGACACAUUUGGGCAGUUCACAGGUUCCUCGAUUGCUGUCAUACCCUCCCUUCAGUCACAUGGUAACUUAAUACCUAUUAGUAACUAUACAAGACUAUUGCUUCACAUGAAACAGGGAAAAAGGUGAUAAAGUGACCUGAAAUUUCCAAGCAUAAACCCCACUGUUCGUUUGCCCUCUAAUGAAUAACCCACAGAAAACUCACAUUUGUUGCGGUAUCCGUUUAUCACCGGUGACUCUAGUAUGCCUUCAAGCUUGCAUGGAAGGCCACCUAGAUGAUUGAAAAAGGCUAUUUACUCCAAUGUUAUGUGACAUGGGUAAUAAAGAAAAUAGAACAAUUUCAGUUGUGCAAUAUGACCAGAUGUAGUAAAUAUUCAACUUUGAAACGCGUCACCCUACCGCAGAAAUGUUGUGUAAUGACAAUAAUAUGCAAAUAUCAAACAAAUGCAAAGUUGUUUUACCACAUACAUACAUGAAAAUUUAUUAAGACAAUUUAUCUAAUAAUUAUUAUUAAAUGAUCUGCCACUUAUGGACGCCUAUGUAGAUUUUUUAUGUAGAAAAAUGCCCACAUUGUAUUCAUGAAGAGGAUAUAUGCCAAGACGAUACAUCGAGUCAAUGGACAUUACCUAUCUCCCUAGAUUUAAUAAUCCAAUCCGGAAGUGGAACACCAUCUGGACAAGCCUUCCGAGCAUUCCGAGUCUACAAUGAAAUGGAAAACCAAGAAACUCAUAGCCACACAAGCAUUAAGAUAUAUUCAAGAAUUGUGAAAUAAAAUAUGAGGCAUAUUAUAGAUUACAUAGUUUUUACACAACAUAAUCCACAUCCAAAAGACACGAAACUAUCUCACCAGUCGCUUUAGGAUUUGGAGCAACGAAUUCUUUUUGUGCUCCAACUGAUCACUGUAGGGCAUAUGAGCAAGUGGAGUGACCACAUCACGGGCACUUUUUGUUCUCGAAGACAAACCUUCCACGGCAGAAGUUUCUUCAUUGUCACUUCCCGACUGAUUAUCAGCAUGCUGCCCUUUGUUUUGAUGAGAUUUACGGAUGGCAUCUGCAACCUUUAUUUCCUUUCCACCAUUGGACUUCUCAUUCAAAAUCUACAAAUAAUUCAAAAGUGAAAGAAAAUUACAGACUUUCCACAAAUCCUCAACCUGUCCAUUAAGUACAAAAGACUACCUCAAUAGUGCUUUUGAGCUGUUCAGUAUUCUCAAAGGUCACAAAACCAACAGACAUUCCCUUCUUCUUUUUCAUUGUCUUAUACGAAAUUCCCUGAAAAAAGUAGUAAGCUUUGGUCACAAUCCCAUAUAAAUAUGGAAAGCUUGAGCUUGUUGAAGUUGUGAUAAAUAAAGGCCUAUGGCAAUGUUAUAUCAAAGUAUGAUUCUAUGAUCAAUCUCGAAGACAGUAGAGAUUCCUAGAUAAGAUAAUAACAGAAGAUAAGUAAGAUCUACUUAUACUGACAUAACAAAGAGACUAUGACAUAGCAGGCUAAAGCUGUUUCCUAAAACUGAAUACACUGUAAGACAUGAAACUAUCCUAAAACUGUUUUCCUUCAUUUUUUGUUUGUACUGAAAUUGAACUAUCAUCAACUGUUAAACCUAAACUUGCAAAAUGAAACACUUUCUAGGUUUUUCUUAUUUUACUCAUCAUCUUACCAGUUUCUAGCUUUGCCAAUUCCGUCGAUUUCAAUGGAUUUGGAAGCAUUUGUGGCAUUUCACAUAAUACGUCCAAAACCCACCAUUCAUAAUAUUGAAUUUGGUGAAAUUUCACUUGCUCUUUAGUUAUUAAUAUCCUUAGUCGAAAAAUGCUUCUUCAUAGAAUAAUUCUAUUAGUUCUGUCACUAUUUAAUGAACAACAGAUAUGUUAGGAAAAAGUAGACAUAUUGAAAUGAUUUCCCAUCCCUUCCAAUUGAAUCAAAUUGAGAUAUUUCGAACCGAAAUCAAUAGAAUUCUCUUCAUAUUUGAUUCCAAGGAGCCGAUUUUCCACUUGCCUGAUCAUCAAGGAACCUCUUCAACCCCUCGGAGUUCCACUUCCUCGGGAGGCCGAUGAGGCACUUGUCGAGCGACGCCUCGUCCACCGUCGGCGCCUCCUCGCCUUUCUCCUCAUCAGCUUCUUGGCGCGGAGGGAGGUGGGAUCCCAGGUGUUGUCGGGGCGGGGACGGAGCUCGGCCUCGCUGUGCGCGUAGCGGCACGCGUCGCCGUGGCUACAUCCGCGGCCACCGCCGCCGCCGCCGCCGCCGCUGGGGUUCCGGCGCCGGUAGUACGAGCACAAGCUCGUCUUCCACAAGGGGUUCUUCCUCUUCGUUGUCUCCGCAUCCUCUUCUCCCUCCUCCUCCUCCUCCUCCUCCUCCUCCUCCUCUUCCCUCUUUCGCUUCUCCAAGGAGGAGGUGGGUUCGGCGGCGCCUCCUCUCGCGUGGGCGCCGCAUCGGUCUCCAUGGGAUCGAAGUGUUGGGGUUUUAGGGGCUCUGACGCAAAAUCCCCAAAUCCUAUUUUUUUGGUUAUUACAGGGUCGAACCUGGGUCGAACCUGGUCCCACAACUCAGUAAAUUUAUGCUCUGUUCGUUUAUUGGAAACUAAUUCUCUGAAACCAGAGUUUGGAUAAAAAUUAAUUUUUUACUAUGAUUUGUUUCGUAGAAAGCCAAUAAUAGCUUUAGAACUGUAUUUGUCCUACUUUUUAUAUUUGUUUAAUCAAAAAUUUUCAUAUUAGCAUAUAAAAGUGUGAAAAGAAGUUACAAUAAUUAAUUUUUAAUUUUUUUCUCUUCUUUGCACUUUUUCACUUUGGUACACUGUAAUUUAAAGUGUAUCGAUUUAAUACCCCACAGUUUUAUUUUUCUCUUUUUAUUAUUUUUUAAUUAUUUUUUUAUUAAAUUAGUGAUAAACUUAAAACUAAAAAGUACUUAAAAAAAUAUUUGAUAAAUCUAGGUGGAAUAUCUGAAAUUUUUUGUAUAUAAUUUAACGAAAUAUUAACGAAAGAGCUAACGAAAAGAGAAAAAUAAAAUUACAAGAUACUAAAUUAAUAUACUUUAAACUAUAUGAUACUGAAAUGAAAAAGUACGAAAUUACAUGGAUGGUAUUUAAAAUUUGCCCUAAAUUUUAUUUAUGACGAAGCCAACAAUAAAAGUAGGCAUUUUAGGCAUUUUGGCUCGAUUGGUUAGAGAUUUAAUGCCCUUUACUUGUACUUACUAUUAGAUUAUCCUUUCUCUUCGUCAGAUUAUCCUUAAGAAGCAGCCACACAAAUAUCGUCAUCUUCACUGAAACUACGAGUUUUCAUAUCUGGAUGAGAGAUAACUGGUACUUCUUAUUUCACAGAUUGCACAAUUUCAAUCAUCACCUAACAUACUUAUUCCUCAUAAAUAAUACACUUUAAUUUGCAUUCUCAUAUCUAGAAAAUACACUUUGCUCCCACUGUUUGGUUAACUCGAUCACAAGCAUGCCGCUUCGAUCGCGAGGCUCUUCGUGACCCCUCUACACGGAUCUCCAAACAUCUCGGUCGACACUCCGACGCUACAACUCCUCGCUCCAAGACAAGCCUACAAAGAUAUUUCACAAACCAAACUUAAGAACAAAGAAUUUUACUUUCAUUUGCCAAAUGCCUAACUUCUACUGUUGCAGAUACAAUACAUAUAUAUAUAAUAUAUAUGUACCUCUUGAACGACGGCAAGGGUGGUAGAACUACUGCAUUCGCCGUGGCUGUAACUUCCGCAUGCACCAUUCGGGGUCCCGAAGCUUGCAAACUUGAUUGCGGAGAUGACCUGGUUCGGGUUCGGGCACUCCAAUCGGACCAUCGGACCGGGCCUCCCCAUCUUCUUUUCUGGAGUCAUAAAAGCAUCUACUGGGGCUGGAUGUAGCUCGGAAACAUGUGCACACAAACUCCCACUCUGCUUAACCGCGAAAGAUAUUUUAGUCGGGUCCCCGCCAACCUCCUCGAAAAGAACCAAAUCAUUGCUUCCCGAUCGGAGAAACGACCGAGGAACGUGAUACCUGCUUAUAUAUGUUUUGUUCACAUUAAUUUAGCUCAUUUCAUGUGUUCUGAUUACAAAUUUUUGUUCUUAAGUUGGACCGGCGAUUUCAAUUUCAUCCCUAAACUUCAGCAGCAGUUGAAAUUUUCCCGAGAGUUUCAACUUAACAAAGGGAAGUCCAUGACUGGCGCAUUUCAUUUGGUAGGGUAAAAGAGAGUACUUAAUUAUUUCGCUGAACAAAUUUCGAGGAUGAAACUACUAUGUUGGAACUAAGAAAUUGACAUCCAGGUUAAACUUACAGAGAGUAAAUUCGCGAUAAACCCUGAAAACAGAAGAUCGACAGAUAAUAGAAAUUCUUACAUAGUUUGAGAAGGUUUCCCGCAGUUCUUGAGGCAUUUGCCAGAAUUGUAGGUUCCUUUGUAGCUGCAAGAGGUGACGCAACCGUUCGGCGGAGCGAGGUAAGUGGGCCAAAACCGGCCAAUACUCUGCCCGUUCACCCAUGCCUCUCCUUUCCCCAUGCCCGUAAAGUCUAUCGCGACCGGGCCAUCACCCUCUGGGGCAGCAAACUUUGUCUGCGUCAUUGGAAGGACGUGAUAAGUUCGUCGAUUAUGUAUCAUAAUCUUGUUAGUCUAGAGUAUAAAAUAACUUUAAACAACAAAUGUGGGAGGACGGUAGAGACGCCAAACACCGACCUUGUACCAUAUCAGAGGUUGAUUCAUCGGCAAGGUAGAAUCUGAGACCCAUUCAGAAGAAUCAUCAGAAUUCUCAUAUAGCUGCGAGUCUUCCCCUUUAAGUCCAAUCUGCAUAAGUAAAAGUAAACCGUGAAUUCAAGAAUAAUCUUAACAAUAGAGACAUAAGCUAAAUAGACCGGCAUAUUACGAAAUUAUUUGCGUAAGUAACCCACUUAAUUCGGAAACAAGGUGAUGGAACUGUUAUUAAUGUACUAUUGAACAACCUGGUAUGUCCACAGUUUUGAAGAUAAAUCUAAUGUGCCAUUUGGUCCGCUCAACUUUACCGGACCGGUAACUCCAGCACCCGAUAAAUCAAAGAAUGCCCCAUAAUUCUGAAAAAUAUAAAGAACAAAACGAAUUCAAAGAGAAGAUUAGUAAAAAAAAAAAAAAGCGAAAUAAAUAGGGGGGGAAAAAUGAUUCCUUUGAAGGGAGGUUAAGAAGAACCUGUAGACCAACAGUGGCGCUUAAAAGAUCCAUAGUGUUCUUUCCUGGUGCGAGCGUAAUAAGCUUCUGUACUGCAACUGCUGCAUUGCUACUGCUUCCCAUCCCACUAGCUGAAUAAACGUUACAACAAUGAAAUUUUAGAUGCUAAAGUUCAAACAAUAAAAUGCAAACCUUUUUCAGUUUUUCGUCUCAGAUUCAAUUUAUUCAGUUCAACAUGAAACGCAUUACCUGACAAUUUUCCGUUGACAAAAACUCGAAGGACGUGACCAAGUGAGUUCACGAGGAGAUUAGAUUGAGUUCCAUUUAAAAGAAACGGCUCAUUGCCGGUGAUCUCAAUGCUGCAAGAAUACCAUUAAAACCCAUUGAGUAGUCAAUGUUAAUCCGAGGAUAAGCAUUCCACGUAAACACGAUGACGACACAAGAAAACUAGUAAAGAAUAAUCCUCUUCACCUUGUUGAAUACCAUAGAUAAUCACUCGCAUCUGCAGUAGUAUUUAUUUGCUCUAGCAAUCCAGUUUUUGUGAAGGCAUCGGCCUUUGAGAUACCAACAGGUUCUAUUACAUAGCUCCAUUGUGAUUGUGGUGUCCCAGAGGAAUCAAGAGAAUCGUCAGAGGUUUGAUUGUAGGAAUUUAGAUACCUCAUCUCCGCAGAAGAGGUUUGGGAGUUUAUCUGCAGAAAAACAAAUUUGAUCAGUUCAAGGCGUGAAAUACUGCCUUUUGUUUAUGUCGUGAAACAGAAAGUUUCCAGAAAAAAAGUAUUGAGAUAAAAACAUGAAUAGAUGUUCAGCAGAAAGCACAAAGUACCACCUCACUUGGACGUCUGCUACGACACUCUACAAGUGCGAGCAUAAACAUGAAUAGUUAUUGAACAAUUCAAAUUACAAUAUAAUACCUGAGCGGUAUUGAAUACGACAUUCUGGCAGUCGGGUAAGAUGCUCACAGACCACGCAGGUAGAUGAUAUGACUUCCCGUUAAAAGUAACAGUUGCAUCAGAUUGGCUGUCGAUAUUCGCAAGAAAUGCUGUGCAAGCCCCUGCUGUCUUAUACACAUGAGCCUAAAGAAGAAAAUAAAUAAAGAAGAAGAAUUAAAAAUAAGAGAAAUCAUAACCGUUAUGUUCAAAAAUGCACCUAGAAAAAACAAAUAUAUAUAAAAGGAGUCAUAAAACAAGACAAUUAGACACCAAUUUCCUGCCUAUAGUAUCGUAAUUCUUUGGACUAUGAUGAUAUUCAAAAUGAAAAUGCAGUAAAAUGAACUAAAGCAUGCUAAAUGUCAUGCACGCAAACCAGUGUUUUGAGACACUGGUAAUAAUAGUGAGACAAGUACUAAAUUCAAAGGAAAAAAUUAACAAAGGAAAAAGAUUUUCCAAAUUGUCAAAUAAACAUACUUUUGAAAUUAAAUUAUCACUUUGUUCUAGUCUGUAAGAGUAUGGUUAUGAAAUACUGCAUUUUAACUACUACCUGUAAUAACAAAUCCAGUACAAACCAUCCAUAUUUUUUUAUCUUUGAGCCAGCCAAAGAUAUUACAAUUAGCACAUGAGUACAAAUUAUACGAAAAUCAAUGAAAAUAUAAAAAAAUUGUACAAAUUAUGCAUGAAAAUACAAUAAAAAUAAGGCACUAGUUACCUCCAGGUUUGUACCAAGAGAAGUAUAUGUUGGAUCAGUUGCUAUCAACGCAGCUUCGCAAAGCUUUAUUGAUUUGUGUAGAUCUCGUAAGUGACCCCACUUCGGCUGCCUAAUGAACCCUGCAAUCAAUAAAUGAAGAAAGUGAAAUAAAUGGAGACACAAAACCUUUCUGAAAAAUAUAUGACUUACAGUACCAGCAGGAAAUGUAAGAUAACAAGCUUACCAUACUCGUCUAUCGGAGCAUCAUAGUCAUAACUUGUCGAAAUAAAAGGUCCCCCUGAACUGCGGCCAAAAUUGGUUCCGCCAUGGUACUGACGAAUAGUGGAGAACGUUAUAACAAACAGGGAAAAUCGAACAUCUCUUAGUAUAACAAGGAAUAGAAAUCCUAACAUAGCAAGUUUUAACUACCAACUCAGAAUUGAUACCAUGUAGUAGUUUUGGAAUGUACCACCACGUUCAAAGAAUCGCGCAACAGCAAACGCAAUGUCUUCAACGGGUCUAUAUGGCACUGCACCGCCAAAAGAACGAUACCUAUUUAAACAAGAAAGAAUUAUAAACAACCUUGGCGAUCAUAUAUGAAUAUUGCGCCACUGGAGAUCCUCUGUUUAACAUGCGUGUAUCAAGACCUUAUUAGUAAGCUUCUCUUCGAAGAGAAUUGUUCAAUAUAAGUUGAUUUCCAUCAAACUUAUGCAAUUGGUGUAAAGCCCCUUACCAUCCGGUCCAGUUUUCCGUCCACAUCUUUGGUUUAUUGUUGGAGUUUGGAGUGAACUGAUCACAGUAGAAACCAUUGCAAGUGUUGAUCUGCAGAUUUUGCAUCGUGAUAAACACAGAUUAACAUCAAUAUAUGAACUCACUCCAUCACGAAUGGCAAAUUGCGAAUAGACAAAGAUAGUAAACAAUUUUGAUCAAAUCGGUAAAUAAGCUCGGGACAAAGUUUAUCCUCCUUGUAGCGAAGAUAUGAUCAGACAUGAAGCACUUACAACAGGGUCAGGAGCAUCAGCUUGCUGGCACAUUACCCAGGGAACGCCCGUGUCGAGUGACACAGCCAUCGAUGCAGCCCAGUUGAUGUACGUCUUUGCUGCAGGUCCAUAAGCCGAGUCGAUGUUUCCAUAUUCAUUUUCGAUCUAAAAACAAGUUGAGGACGCGCGAAAACAUUAUUUACAUCUGAGAAGCAACAGUAUAAGAUUUUCAACGAAGAUGAGAACUUUGAAGAGUAACCAAACCUGGGACAAGAUGAUGGGUCCGCCUUGCGAUGCAUAAAGGUUCUCCUGCUUCAUCAUAUCGACGAUCUUUGCCGUGAAUCUUUGCAUCUCUGCCUAGAAACAAAGAAGACCCAAAUAAGCUAAGAAUUUUGGUUUUUUUAAAAAAAAAAAUUUGUAAAACACAGGGUUAGAAUUAAAUAAAUGAACCUUGAAAGGCUCGUUGUCGGUCCUAAACUUGAUACCAGGGAUGAAAUGUAGCCAAACUGGGAAUCCCCUGCACCAAAUUAUAAACAAAUUAGAGAUAACAAAUUCACACAAAGAAAACAUACAAAAUUAUCAAAUUGGGUGAGAAAUUUAAUCUCACCCAUAAUUCCACUCGGCGCAGACAUACGGGCCAAUGCGGAGAUGAACAUAGAGUCCGGCCGCCGCGACCGUCUUUACGAACUUCACCAGGUCCUUUCUCCCCUCAAAAUCAUACUAUAUCCAUGCCGAAUUUCGUUAGAAAGUAACAUACAAAGAGAAUUGGAUUAACAUGACCAAAAAAUGUAAAGGGUCUCUAUAAUGAGAAUCAUGCCUGGUUUCUAACAGGUUCAUGAAGAUCCCAGAAAACAUAAGUCUCGAUAACGUCGAGCCCGCCGUCCUUCGAUUUCUGUAUCAGGUCCGGCCACAUCUGCACUCAACCAAUUUCCCCAUUCCACCAUUAGCAACUACACUCCACAACAGUAUAAAUUGGCUCUUUUAUCCCUAACAGGGACUAAGACUAUCACUGAGCCAUUUUGUUAUCUAAGGUCGUAGGUUCAAUUCCCCAUAUACAUACACUACUUAAUGACUUACGUCUGUCUAUCUGUCUGUCUAUCUGUACACGUGACAUAAUUUAUUUUAUGACGGUACGAAAAGUAUUUUUUGAGCCGUUUUCUAUUAGAUUGAUCUGAAAAGACACCUCACCUCGGGGGUGCUGCGAGGGUAGUGGAUGGAGCCGGAGACGAGGACGCGGCGGGCGCCGUCGAUGAGGAUGGCGCGGUGAUCGUAGCCGACGACGGCGGCGGCGCCUGCAGCGAUCUCCGAAUCGGAGAAUCUGAUCAAGAAGAGAAGCAAGAAGAGGAGCAUUCUUGAGGCUGCUGGUGCUGCUGCCCCAAUAGGAAUGUCGGUUGGCAAAAGUGGCAAAAGUAGCAAAAGAUGGGGAGAUGGGGUGGGUUUAGCUCAAAAAAUUGUGCUGUGCUUUUUCUCAACGCAUGGGGGGUGGGGGGGGGAUAGGGGAUUAGUUGUGUGCGUGCUGUGUAGUAGUAGUAAUUGUACUAGUAGAGGAAAAGGGAUGCUUCUACUUAUAUAUAUAAUAAUUCAAGAAGAGUGAGUCAUCUCUUUUACCACAAACUUUAAUUUUUUCCCUUUUUUUUUUUUGUUUUUGGGGUUUCUUGUGGGGAGGAGGGAAAGGAGUAUGGUGGUGUUGGAAGCGAGAGAGAGGAGUGAAGCAAAUUAAUGGUGGUGGAGUGGAAGGAAAAAUCAAUUGCAUUAAUUAAUUAAUUAAAAAUUAUUUUUUUUUUGCAAGAUUUGUAUUGUAUUUUUAUUUAUUAUUUUAAUGAAGUGGGGAAAGGGUUGAGCUGCGGCGUUUGUCCUUUAAAUUUGUUUGUUGUGUGUUCAUAAUUGAGCUACGUAACAUUGAUGGCGGGAGGAAAUUAAUUAAGAUUUUCUCUAAUAAACAUAAUUGGGUAUAAUUGUACGGAGACACCCCUCAAUUGUUAGCGAUUUUGAAAUAGAUCCUUACGCUUUUUUUUUCUUUUUUUUUUUUCACCCUUUAGGAGAGUGGAAAAGAUUUCUAGUAAAUUUGCAUAUUUAAAAUAAUAGAGUAAUUAAACUCAUAAAUAUUAAGCCUAGGAAAGGAAAAGAAAAUAUAGAAAACAUAUAAAACAAAAGUAAUUACUUACAGACUAUCCUAGAGCAAGUGGCAAAGUGCUUAAUGGUUGGUACCCGAGGUUUCAAAUUGGAAUAGCUAAGUUUAUUUCUAAAUUAAAUAAACGAAGUGGAUAGCAUGCUAUCUAUCUCUCUAAAAAAAAAAAGCUAUUCAGUAAGUUUCGUCUCUGCUACCGCACUAUCAUUACCUUAAUCACCAUGCAACGCGAUGAUAAGUCGAAUUUGGUGCCCAAAAGAGAUGGAAGAGGAGCUAUUUUUAGAUUUGUUAAAGUUAACAACUUUAUUAGUUGAUAAGAAAAAGUCAAAGAAAAAACUAAAACACAGUAAGACUCGAUUUGAAACUACGGAGAGAUUACAUUACAUAUUGUGAGAAAAUACAAUAUAAGAUUAUAUUAUUUCUGUAUGUAAUAUUGUUAUUCAUAUAUCGCAAUAAGUCAGUUACGAUAUAAUUUUUAUAAUUUUACUGAAAAAUAAAAAAAAAUAUUUUUAUAUGUUUUCGUUUCGGUACUAUUGUGCUAUUAGAAUUAGAAGGACCUCAAUACUAAUGAUUUUCUUACUAAAAAUAAUGGAGGAGGAAUCAUGUGUGUCUCAUUUAGUUAGUGCUUUUAAUUCAAACAUUCUUAGUUCUUCUUACGAAAAAUAAAUAAAUACAAAAAUUAUCCAGAGGUGCCACGUGGCUGCCGGACACUGCAUUUAUAGGUAUAGAUUAUUGUAGUUAUAGAUAUAGGUUCAAGGAGGAGAUCUUUAUAAAUAUGAAUUUAUUUCGAGUUAAAGUUUCCAUUCCCAAAGUGGAACGCACAACAACUUUUCCAACCCCUCACCUGCAUUACGUCAGAGAACCAAACACCAUGAUUCGUAGGAUACAAAAUGUCAAAAAAGAUAUCAAAAGAAAUGUGAAGGGAAAGAAAAAACGAAAAAAAAAAAAAAAAAAAAAGCACACCUACACACAAUGAUUACACUAGUGACACCAAACACCAGGACUAUGAUCCCAUCCAUAUUAUUUAAUAAAAUAUAUAUUAUUAUUUUUUGAUAGUUUAGAUGGUAGGGAGAAAUAUCUCGUAGAUACUUUUAUAAGUCUGGCAUAUUUAUACCUUAUUUAUAUCCAAUAUAAAGACGUCAUGAACAUACGUUUGGCAGAGACUAUAGCUCAUCUUAUUAAAAAAUAUAAAUUUUUCUUUUUUUUCAUGCAGAUGUAAUGUAAGAUGUAAAUAUUUUGACUUUUUGACUAUUGUUGAAAUAUAUUUUUUAUAUAUAAUAAUAUAUAUUUAUAUAUUAAUAAUAUUAUAUUUUAUUUGUGAUGUUUAUGUCGUAUUUGUAUCCUAAUUUUUCGAAAGCUGUCGGAUUGUUUUGACUGAAUCGUGUCGUGUUUCGUAUUUUGUAUUUGUAUCUGCGGCAUUUAGUUAGUGAGUAUUUUUUCAGUUGUUGAACCCUAGCCUCCGUUUGGUUGGGGGUUAAGGGGUGGAAUAACUCCUUAACCCUCAUUUUAUCCCCAAAUAUUUUUAAAAAUGGGUGGGGUUAGCUAAUCCCAUCUCAAAUGAGUUAUCCCGGAUUAGCUAACCCCACCUAACCCCACCAAAUCUCAAUCAAAUAUUAUUUUCUAUUUAUAAUAAUUUACUAUCCUUCUUAUCCCACCUAUUCCAACCAAAUACUAUUUUUUACUAUCCUGGACUAACUCCAAUUCCCAACCAAACACAAAAAUAUUCUAACCCCACCUUAACCCUAAAUUUAACAAUAUUUCUGGAAUAACUAAUUUUUUCUUAACCCUGCACCAAACGGUAAAAUUUUUCUCUUUAAAUUGAAAAUGUGCUCUACUGGCUAUUUAUUAAAGAGAGGACCAUACUGUGUGAAGUUGGUUGGGAAGUAAGGAAAGAUCUACUAUUAUUUAAGUGUCAAAUUUUAAAUAUAAUAAAUAAAUAAUUAGAUAUUAAUUCUGAAAUAAAAAUAUUUUAUUUAUUAAUAAAUCUCAAAAUAUUGUACAAACUAUAUAAUUUAAUAGAUGGAUUUCGACAUUAAAAUUAUUAGUCAUGUUUACCUUCCCGUGAUUUACAUCUUUUCACUGAUUAAAUACUACAACACAUAGGGGUGUAAACGAGCCGAACAUGAGCUGGCUCAUUAAAGUAUCGAGUUGAAAAAUUGCUCAUGUUCGGCUCGUUAAUAAACGAAUCGAACACGAGCUGGCUCACGAGCUGGCCAAUGAAUAAUAAGUUAAAAAGAUUAAAUUGAAUAUAUAUAAAAAAUAAAUUUAUAAAAUUUUAUCCAUUAGACUUUGAUCUAACAGUUGAAACUUUACAUAUAAAUAAGUCUUUUUAUAAUUAAGCUCGCCUUUAUAUUUUUAUUUUGCUAAAAAUUAAAUAAUAAAAAUAUAUAUUAUAUAUAUAAUUAUUAUUUAUAUAUAAAUAUAAAUUAAAUAAAUUAUAUAAAUAUAAAAUAUAUGUAUUCGAGCUGUUAUCGAGUCGAACACGAGCGAACUGGAUUGCCACCUCUAACAACACAUGCUAAUUUAUAAAAUAUUACAAAAUUUAUUUAUAAAUAUAGUAUUAAUUUUUAUUCAUAUAUUUAUUUAUUUAUUUGUCAAUUGUAAUGAAUGGAAAUUUUCUCCAAGUGGAAAGUGAUACGCACGGUACGAUACAUUGUAUACACCGUGGCAUCACCAUCACAAAGUAAUUGUAAGUUAGCAAAACUUUUACUUCGUUGCUCACCAUUUGAACAUCAAAAUCUAGCUUGGAAAAAAGUGAACAAUAUGAUUAAUGAUUAAAAAAUUAAGUAAAAAGAAAAUUUUGUUGUCAUUUUUUUAUCGAGAUUUAAGUCUGCAAAUUCAAUCCGACGGAUAUAGUUUUGUCACAUAUAUUAAAGAUCUUAAAUACAUGAAAAUAUGAAUACGCUAAUACAUCACCUAUGCCGAUCAUCGAUCGCAGACUCUUUGUGGCAAAAUAAAAGCAUUAAUUUCACACAGAAUUGCUUACAAAUAAAAGCAUUUCACAAGCAUAACAAUUAUAGUGUUUAGAUUCAUAAAUUUAAUUCUAAAAGAGCCACGUAAACAUAUCGACUACUGCAGUUAAAACUACUCUUAUUUAUUAUUUCUCAUUACUGUAGCCAAAGAUUUAAAUGUUUAAAAAAUAAUUAUUAAUAUUAGUGUGCUGAAUUAUUAUAUUUUGUAUCAGAAUCGAACAUCAGAUCGUCGAUAACGAUCAAACGUCGUAUGCGUCCCCGUUGAUUUGGCGAGAACGUCAGGGUCUUAUACGGAGAACUUAAGGUAUUGUUUGAUUCGGGGAUAAGCAAAAAGUGGUUAUUCUAGGGAUAGGUAUAAAUUAAGGUAUAAGCGGGGAUUAGAUCAAUUUUGUGUUUGGAUGAAAAUUGAGUUAUUCCUGAAAAUAAGAAAAAUAGCGUUUGGUUAGGUAAGAUGGAAUAAGAAGGAUAGUGGGUAGUUAUAAAUAAAAAAUAAUGAUAUUACCCUCUCUUUAUAUUUGAAUUUAAAUUUUUAAAUUUUAAAUUUUAAAUUUAUGUUUUUAAUUUAAAUUUUUAACUUUUAAAUUUCAAAAUUUUAAAUGAAAAUUUAAAUUUUAAAUUUCAAACUUUAAAUUUAAGAUCAAAUUUAAAUUUGAAAAAUAUAAAAUAUAAAAUAUUAAAAAUUUAAAAUAUCAAAAUUUAAAUUUAAAAUUUAAAAUUUGGAAUUUAGAAUUAUGAACUUUAAUUUUGAGAUUACAAAUUUUAAAUUUUAAAAAUUUAAAUUUUAAAUUUAAAUAUUUAUAUUUUAAAUUUUUUAAAUAAGAAUAGGGUGGGAACAAUUAAUAAAAAUAAUUUAUUAUAAUAAAAUUAUAAAUUUGAUAAAAAUAAAUAUUUUAAUAAAUUUAUAAAUUUUUUAUUAUUAAUAAAUUUAUAAUUUUUUUAAAAUUUCUACUUAAACUUAAAUUUAAUAAAAAUAAUUUAUUAUAAUAUUUAAAUAUAAUUUAUUAUAAAAUUUAUUAUAAUAUUUAAAUAUAAAUAAUAUUAUUAAUAUAGUACAAUUAAUAAUUUUAUAACAAAAAAAUGUAUUAUAAUAUAUAACAUAUUAUAUUUAUAUAAUUUAGUUUUAAUUCAAUUCAUAAUUUUAAUUAAGUUUGAAAUUAAAUAUUGGAAUAGCACUAUUCCAUCAAAAUGGUGGAAUAGUAAAUUCUAUGCUAUUGCGGAAUAGUCGGAAAUAGUAAGAUUUGACCGGGAUAAAAUAUUCCGGCCAAAAAUUAUUUUGUUUGGCGGAAUAGCAGGGAUAACUUCCGUUAUCCCUGCUUAUACCGCCAACCAAACGGAGCCUUAAGCCCUUGUUUGGUUGGGGGUUAAGGGGUGGAAUAACUCCUUAACCCUCAUUUUAUCCCCAAACACCCCAAAAAAUAAGUGGGGUUAGCUAACCCACCUAACCCCAUCAAACUCCAACCAAACACUAUAUUCUAUUCAUAAUAACCCACUAUCUUUUUUAUCACACCUACACAAACCAAUCAUUAUCCUUCUUUAUCAAUCAUUAUCUUUUUAUCCCACCUACCCAAUCAAACACUAUUUUUUAUUAUUCUAGACUAACUCCAACCCCCAACCAAACACAAAAAAAUUUUAAUCCCACUUUAAUCCUGAAUUUAACUCUGUCCCUAGAAUAGCUAUUUUUUUUUUAACCCCGAAUCAAACGGAGGCUAAGUGUCUGCCAUGGAUAAGCUAUAAGUAGUAGCUCCUUGAGUGUGGUUUUUGCAUUGUGUGGUACACGUGUAUUGCCGUGUGAGACUAGUUUGCGUGGAAUGGGGGAUGUUUUUGGCACCCGCGUGCCGAGGCCUCCACGUUGUACGCCCUUGUCGACUUGUUUUUCUUGGUCUCUUAUCGUACGUCACGUGGACAUGAGUCACAUGAAGUAGGAUCCAACAAAGGUCAAAAAAAUAAAAAUAAAAAUAAAAUGCAAAAUAUUAAAUUAAAUAAAUAAAAAUAAAAUACAAAGUAUUAAAUUAAAUAAAUUAUGAUAGUGAGAAAGGAAAAGGAGAACUCGGUUCUUGGUGUGCAGGGAUUGGGUGCGCCAACUCCGUUACGAUUAUGAGUGCGUCCAAAAAGUAUUCAAACGUGUGCACACUUCAUUUAGGUUUAAGGUGUAUUUGGUUUGAUGUAAAAGAGGAUGAAAAAAAAAUUUUCAGCGGAAAUAUAGCUUGCGGCUCGUUUGGAUCAACGUAAAAAUUUUUUCUGUAUAAAAUAGUUUUACAUAUUUGGAUGAAAAUUCUCUCUUUUAUUUUUCGAAAAAAAUAAUUUUUUCUUCAUAGUUUUACGUGAAACCAAACACACUCUCAGUUUGACAUUAAGAUCCAUCUGUUAGAUAAAACGGAGUUAGGGGUAAAAGUAUAUAGGGAUAUGUUUCUGUGUUCUCCGAUCGGACCGCAGAAAAUAUAUCAUAAUCGACUUAUCACGAUAUGUGGAACAAAAUAUGGUAUUUUUUUUAUCGUACUUUCUCACUGCACUUAACGUAAUUUUUCCGCAAUCUCAAAGGAAACCUUAGUCCCAUUCUAUUUUCCAUUUUGAUUUUGACGUGGACUCGAGAAAGCAAAAGAAACAAACGAAUGCACCGCUUACACAUAUUCGUUUAAAAUUUAGAUUGAAGUAGUUGUUUAGAUAAAUUACAGUUUAGAUUAAAAUUACUGUUUUUUCUUUUUUGUUUUUUUCUAUGUCGUGGUAUUGAAGUUUUUUUAAUUUUAUUGUUUGUUUGGCAGAAUAUGAAUGACAUAAAAAUUAAAUUUUUUAUUCUGGGUUGAAGUCAAUUACAAUAUUAUGGAGAGCUUGAGCACAUUUGUUUAAAAAUUCAAAUUGAAGAAGAUUUUUAGAUAAAUUAGAAUUUAAAUUUAAAUUACUUUUAUUAACUUAGCUAGAAAUAUGAAUCAACUAGGAUUCGAACAUGGGUCUCGGAUACCAACUACCAAACCCUUUGCCACUUAGGACCGUCAGUAUUAUUAUUAUUAUUAUUAUUAUUAUUGCAACAAAUAUUUUGCAUGAAUUGUACAUUUGAUUUAUUUUAUUAAUAUAUUUAUAUUAUUAAAUAUCUAACUAAAGAUAAUAUGAUAAAUACAUUGUCGCUAUCUAGGAUACUACUCUAGUGUUAUGUUAGUGCACGCAUAGAAAUAGAUGAAUUUAUAAAUAAUAAAAUGAAAAGGGUCCACCACUUAUUAUUCUACUCAUACAAUAAUUGUAGUGAGACAAAAAUAAAUAGACCAUGUAUCAUUUUUGCAUCUAUAGGUCUUGAUAUGGGCCCAAACCACUUUGUAGUUUAAGGGGUGUUUAGAUUCACGUAAUCACGUAAUCCUCGUAUAAUAGUAAACCAAAUUUAGUAAAAAUAAAACAUAUUAGUUUUGUCAUCGAUCGGGACGCACCAAGAAGAUUCGUUGUAGGUUGUUGUGAGCUUAGCUCCUGAAAAUAGCCUUUUUCUUAAAGAGUUCUAAAAUCAUCUUUUGUCGAAAAAAUAAACAAUAUAGCCUAAUAAGGCUAUUAUUAUUGGAUUAUUUCUAAUCUGAUCAAUUAGCAAGGUAUAACAAGGUUUUAGAGCCACUUCUACACCCAUUAUGUUGCAAGAUGAUUUAUGUUGAAUUCCCGAAUAUGCAAUUGGUUGCCACUUCUGUUAAUUCACGUGAACAACACGUCUGAUCUCCAUAAUGUACGUAAAUAAGAGUGCUAAGAAUAUUCAUAAUUAUUUAAAAUUAGAUCGAUUUUUUAAGUAGUAUUGUAUUAGAGUUGGACCUAAGCUCCACGACAUUCUAUGGUCAACAACGAAAUUAAUAUUUAUAUUCUAAACUUUGGUUGCAGUCAAAUUACAAUUACGUCAAUCCAAAUGCACGCCCCUUAUUUUGUGAGGCCAUACUUUUGCCGCGCAUUGGGGCAUUGCUUUGAGGCCUCAUGCAUUGUUUAUAAGGCUUGGACCAACCAUAUGACUAAGGUUAAUUAGUUAAAUUUAGGCCCAGUACAAUAGCAUCGAUCCACUGGAUCUAAGGGUUUAUAAAAAUUCUCUAAGUUUUAAGUACUUAAAAAAAAUUGAUAUGACGAAACGAGAGAUCCGAGAGCUUUUGGAAGGAUAAACUGUAAAAUUGACACCUAUAUAAAGUAAGUGUACAGAUAGUAUUGCUUUUUAAAAUCUUAGAAUAAGUUUAUUUUUCCGGAAUCGGAAGAGACCGGAGCUUUCCCAUUCUGACCGUGCACCAGAUCUUAACUUUACCCGCUACAAGGGACGAAAUCGCGAUUCGUCAUAGUGUAGUUUUGUAAGUUCUCUCACUAUUUGAUGAAGAGGACGCGUCACCGUACAAUGUCGUGGAGCAGCUACCGUUUGAUUUCACUUAAGUUGGAUGAUCCCGACCGCACAUCUUCUUUAACUACUUUAACUGCCAAUGUCCUCCGACUACACUUUUUUUUUUCAACUUAUUUACACUUUUGCCACCCACCCUAGCUAUGUAGAGGAUUAAUUUCUCCGUUGUAUCCGAUACCUAUUUCUCAGUGUGGAUGAACUGGAUAUACCAAGUGACACCCUUGGAGACGUUCGUAGUAUUUGGACCAAAUUAGCCGCCUUUUUGUUUGAAUCGUCGCGAACGCGAGAACUAACCCUUCUGGCUGCGAUCUGGUGGGUGGUCUGGAGGGGUAGAAACAACUCCGUUUUCCAGACAAUUCCGCCUGAUGCGAGUCGCUCUCUCGAACGUAUUAAACUCUUUUGACCAACUGGACCGUGCUGACCUGAAGCGACACUAGACUUACUCCUUUUUUUCUAACCUUCCCCUCUCACCUCCUUUCCCCUUUUUGGCCUUUUGUCUGUUAUUUUUGCAUUUUCGGAGACCUAAGCUGCUUCCAUCUCUGUACGCUUAGUUCAUUUUACUUAAUGAAUGAAGCUGGUAACUUGCUACCUUAUUUCUCAAAAAAAUAGAGACCGAGUUGAAAAUAACCUUUAGUUGAAUAAAAGUUUAGAUUAAAAUUAGGUUUAAUUAUAUAUAAAAACUCCUGCAAGUCGCUCCAUAUCUUAAACAUCCCCAUACAGAAAAAACUUAAACAAUGUUUCACCUGCAAUUAGCCCGGUGCCUCAUUAUUAUUUAUUUUAUUAUUAUUAUUAUUUCGAAUUUGAGAUUUGAAAUAAAAAAUCUAUAAUUGAACUGCAAAUUCGAAUCCAAAAUCUGAAUUUAGAGUUAAAGCUAAAUCCAAAUUUUGAAUUUGAAUUUGAAAUUAUUAAAUCUUCAUUAGAAAUUGAAAUCUGAAUUGAAAAAAAAUCAUUCAAUCUCCUCUUACAGUAUCUUCCAUGAGGAGCUCCCUAUAGAUUUUUAGUUUGCUCUAGGUGGCCCAGAGUAUUUCUCAAAACCAUAUCAAAAGAACCUGUUAAAAAAAAAAAAAGAAGGAAAAAAGACCUCUGUGAUGUUGCAAAUUGGUACUUCUUAUUUCAUAAAGUACACAAAUUCAAUCAUUGUAUUAUACACUUUAAAUUGUAUGCACAUAUCUAGAAAAUACACUUUGCUCUCGCUGUUUGGUAACUUGAUCACAAGCAUGCCACUUCAACCGCGAGGCUCUUCGUGACCCCUCUACACGGGUCUCCGAACAUCUCAGUCGACACUCUGAUGCUACAACUCCUCGCUCCGAUACAAGCCUACAAAGAUAUUUCACAAAUCAAAAUUAAGAACAAAGAAUUUUCUUUUAUUCACCAAACGCCUAACUAGCGCUGCAGAUACAAUACAGAUAUGUCAUUUGUGUACCUCUUGAACAACGGUAAGGGCAGUAGAACUAUUGCAUUUGCCGUGGCUAUAGCUUCCACAUGCGCCAUGCGGGGUCCCGAAGCUUGCAAACUUGAUUUUGGAGAUGAGUUGGUUCGCGCUUGGGCACUCCAAUCGGAGCAUCGGCCCAGACUUCCCCCUCUUUUGUGUAGUGAUAAAAGCAUCUAGUGGGGCUGGAUGUAGCUCUGAAACAUGUGCACACAAACUCCCAAUCUCCCUAACCGCGAAAGACAUUUUAGUCGGGUCCCCGCCAACCUCCUCAAAAAGAACCAAAUCGUUGCUACCCCAUCGGAGAAACGACCGAGGAACAUGAUACCUGUUUAUAUAUGUUUCGUUCACAUAUAUAUUUAAUGUGAAAUUGAAAUCCAGGUUAAAGUUACAGAGAAUAAAUUUGUGAUAGACACUAAAAACAAACAAAUGGUAGAAAUUCUUACAGAAUUUGAGAUGGUUUCCCACAGUUCUUGAGGCAUUUGUCAGAACUGAAGGAUCCUUUAUAGCUGCAAAAGGUGACACAACCAUUCUGCGGAGCUUGGUAAGUGGGCCAAAACCGGCCGAUACUCUGCCCGUUCACCCACCCCUCUCCUUUCCCCAUGCCCGUAAAGUUUAUCGCGAUUGGGCCGUCGCCCUCUGGUGCAGCAAAUUUUGUCUGCACCAUUAAAAGAACGCGAUGAGUUCGUCGACUAUGUAUCAUAAUCUUGUUAGUCUAGAGUAUAAAAUAAGUUUAACCAACAAAUGCGAGAGGACGGUGGAAACGUCAAACUCUGACCUUGUACCAUAUCAGAGGUUGAUUCGUCGGCAAGGUAGAAUCUGAGACCCAUUCAGAAGAAUCAUCAGAAGUCUCAUAUAGCCGCGAGUCUUCCCCUUUAAGUCCAAUCUGCAUAAGUAAAAGUAAACCGUAAAUUCAAGAAUAAUCUUAACAUUGGUGAGCUGAAUAUUACGAAAUUAUUCGCGUAAAUAACCAAUUUAGUUCAGGAACAAGGUUAUGGAACUGUUAUUGACGUACUAUUGAACAACCUGGUAUGUCCACGGUUUUGAAGAUAAAUCUAAUGUGCCAUUUGGUCCGUUCAGCUUUACUGGACCGGUAACUCCGGCACCCCAUAAAUCAAAGAAUGGGCCAUAAUCCUGGAAAUAUAAAGAAUGAACAAAAUCAAAGAGAUGAUUAGAUUCACAAUGAUCCACUUACAUAAAUGAUAUACGUGAAAAAUAAAUACUGGGAAAAAAAAAAAGAUUCCUCCAAAAGCAGUGGAAAGAACCUGUAGACCAACAGUUGCGCUUAAAAGAUCUAUAGCGUUCUUUCCUGGGGCGAGCAUAAUAAGCUUCUGCAGUGAAAAUGAUGCAUUGUAACUGUUUCCCAUCCCACUAGCUGAAUAAAUGUUAUAACAUGAAUAUUUUAGAUGCUAAAGUUCAAACAAUAAAACGCAAACUAUAUUUAGUUUUUUGUCUCAGAUUCAGUUUAUUCAGUUCAACAUGAAAUGCAUUACCUGACAAUUUUCCAUUGACAAAAACGCGAAGGACGUGGCCAAGUGAUUUCACAAGGAGAUUAGAUUGAGUUCCAUUUAAAAGAAACGGCUCAUCGCCGGUGAUCUCAAUGCUGCGAGAAGACCAUUAAAACCCGGUGAACAGCUAAUGUUAAUUCGAGGAUAAGCAUACCAUGUAAACAAGGCUAUGAGACAAGAAAACUACUAAAGAAGAAUCGUCUUCACCUUGUUGAAUACCAUAGAUAAUCACUAGCAUCUGCAGUAGUAUUUAUUUGCUCUAGCAAUCCAGUUUUUGUGAAGGCAUCGGCCUUUGAGAUACCGACAGGUUCUAUUGCAUAGCUCCAUUGUGAUUGUGGCAUCUCAGAGGAAUCAAGAGAAUCAUCUGAGGUUUGAUUGUAGGAAUUUAGAUGCCUCAUCUCUGUGGAAGAGGUUUGGGAGUUUAUCUGCAGAAAAUCACCUUUUACUAGAUCAAGAUGUGAAAUAUUACCUUUUAUGAUGUCAUGAAUAUAAAAGUUUCUAGAGAAAUUUUUUUGAGAAUACAGACAUGUACAAAUGCUCAAUAAUAAGAACAAAGUAUACGACUAUCUUGUAUUCUCAGACCUCCUGCAUUGAUACAAUGUUGAAGAAUUCGAAACAGACCAUUUUCCUUCGAAAAGAUAAGCCACCGGAGAACAUUGUUUUUAUAAUUUGUAUGCAACAGAGACAUCCGAACCGAAUUGGCUAAAGAAUAUAGCAUAAGUGCAUAACACAAGGUAUCGUUUUUGAACCGGAAGUAUGAAAAAUCCGUUAAUUACUUCGAUAGACAAACCUGAGCGGUAUUGAAUACAACAUUCCGGCAGUCGGAUAAGAUGCUCACGGACCACGCAGGUAGAUGAUACAACUUCCCAUUAAAAGUAACUGUUGCAUCAUAUUGGUUGUCUCUAUUUGCAAGAAAUGCUGCACAAGCCCCUGCUGUCUUAUACACAGUGGCCUAAAGAAGAAAAUAGAAUCAGAAAAAAAAUAACUUUUAUGUUCAGAAAUGCACCAAUAAAAAAAUAAACACAAAGACUAGGAUUAUGUAUGUUGUAAAACAAGACAAUAAGGCACAAAUUUCCUGCCUAUAUUGUUGUAGUAUUUUGGUCCGUAAUGAUACUCAGAACGAAAAUAUAGUGAAAAUAUAAAAUGUACUAAAUCGUGCAAAAUAUGAAAUAUUUCAUUUUAAGUCCUUCACUAUAAAGCAUCUGCAUAGUGUAAAUUUGAAGCAGCCAAAGAUAACUAUAAUAGCACAUGAGGGGUACAAAUUGUACAGCCAUUGUUGCAAAAUAUGAAAUUUCGUUCAAAUUAUGCAAGAAAGGACAGUAAAAAACAGCAUUAGUUACCUCCAGGUUUGGACCAAGAGAAGAACUAGUUGGAUCAGUUGCGACCAACGCAGCUUCACAAAGCUUUAUUGCUUUGUGUAGAUCUCGCAAGUGACCCCACUUUGGCUGCCUAAUGAACCCUGCAAUCGAUUUACGAAGAAAGUAAAAUCAACUGAGACGCAAAACCUUUCUGAAAAGUGUAUGACUUACAGUACCAACAAGAAAUAUAAGAUAACAAGCUUACCAUACUCGUCUAUCGGAGCAUCAUAGUCAUAACUCGUCGCAAUAAACGGUCCCCCCGAACUGUGGCCAAAAUUGGUUCCGCCGUGGUACUGACGAACAGCGGAGUACAUAUAUAACGAACAGGAAAAUAAGAAGUUAUCAGAAUACAACAAGGUGUAAAAAUCCUAACAAAGCAAGUUCUACAUACUAUUAACAACCGACUCAGAGGUGAUACCACGUAGUAGUUUUGGAAUGUACCACCACGUUGAAAGAAUCGAGCAACAGCAUACGCAAUGUCUUCGACUGGUCUAUAUGGCACCGCACCGCCAAAAGGAAGAAACCUAUUUAAGCAAAAUAUUAUUAUAAACAACCUUGCCAAUCGUAUAUAUGAAUAAUGUGCCACUAGAGAUCCAUUGUUCGAAGAGAAUUGUUCGAUCGAUUAUAGUUGAUUUGCAUCAAACUUAUGUCGAUUGGCAUCCUAAAUAAUACAUAAAAAGUUAUGCAGAUCAGGCAGAGAAGAAUGUAACACCCCUUACCAUCCGGUCCAGUUUUCCGUCCACAUCUUUGGCUUAUUCUUGGAGUUUGGAGCGAACUGGUCGCAGUAGUAAUCAUUGCAAGUGUUGAUCUGCGGAGUUUGCAUGGUGAUAGUCACAGAUAACAUCAACGUAUGAACUCAAUGCACCAUCAAUAACAAUUGCAAAUAGACAAAGAUAGUAAACAAUUUUGAUCAAACUAGUGAAUAAGCUCAGGACAAAGUUCAUCCUUCUAAAAGCAAAGAUAUGAUCAAACAUGAAACACCUACAACAGGGUCGGGAGCAUCGACUUGCUGGCCCAUCACCCAGGGAACGCCGGUGUCGAGUGACACGGCCAUCGACGCCGCCCAGCUGACGUACGACUUCGCCGCAGGUCCAUAAGCCCAAUCGACGUUUCCGUAUUCAUUUUCGAUCUAAAACCAUGUUGUGGACACGCAAAAACAUUAUUUACAUCUGGAAAGCAACAGCAUGAGAUGUUCAACGAAGAUGCGAGCUUUGAAAAGUAACCAAACCUGGGACAAGAUGAUGGGUCCGCCUUGCGAUGCAUAAAGGUUCUCCUGCUUCAUCAUAUCGACGAUCUUUGCCGUGAAUCUUUGCAUCUCCGCCUAGAAACAAAGAAGACCCAAAUAAGCUAAGAAUUUCUUUUUCUUUUUUUUUUAAAAUUGUAAAACACAGGGUUAGAAUUAAAUAAAUGAACCUUGAAAGGCUCGUUGUCGGUUCUAAACUUGAUACCAGGGAUGAAAUGUAGCCUAACUGGGAAUCCCCUGCACCAAAUUAUAAACAAAUUAGAGAUAACAAAUUCACACACUAGCUAAAAGGGAGAAAAAUAAAAAAAGAAGACAUGCAAAAUUAUCAACUUGGGCGAGAAAUUUAAGCCCACCCAUAAUUCCACUCGGCACCGAUAUAUGGGCCAAUGCGGAGAUGAACAUAGAGUCCGGCCUCCGCGACCGUCUUCACGAACUUCACCAGGUCCUUUCUCCCCUCAAAAUCAUACUAUACUCAUCCCGAAUUUGAUCAGAAUGUAAACUACUUUAAGAAGAGGAUUAACAUAACCGAAAAAUAGGCUCUAUAAUUAACUGGAAUCAUGCCUGGUUUCUAACAGGUUCAUGGAGAUUCCAGAAAACGUAAGUCUCAAUAACGUCGAGCCCGCCGUCCUUCGACUUCUGUAUCAGGUCCCGCCACAUCUGCGUCCAACCAAUUUCCCCGUUACUGACAGUCUCUAAAGUAAGUGGCAAAAAUUUGGUAGUUGGUACCCAAGGUCUCAACUCUUAAAUUCGAAUUUUAGUUGAUUUAUAUUUUUAGCUAAGUUUAUUUAUAAAUAAAAUAAACGAAACAGAUAGCAUGUUAUCUAUCUCUAAAAAAAUAAAAAAAAAAACCAAUUUUCCCCUUCCACCAUUAGCAACUAUCAGUUCUCAAUAGUGAAAGUUAGUUCUUCUAUGUAUAAGAAGGACAAAGAGAGCACUAUUAAAACCAUUCCUGAGCCGCUUUCUAGUCCUCUCAAUUUUGAAAGGUUGCGGGUUCAAUUCUCCAUAUACACUACUUAGGAGUAGUUUGGUUCGAUAUAGUUAUAAAAAUAGUAUAGUUUGGAAGUAUAUACAGUUUCAAAUGGUGCAGUCAUAAUUAUGCUUAGUCUGUUUGAUUUUAUAUAGUUACAACUAUUGUGGUUAUAUUUUUUUCUGUUUGAUAAGCUGCAGUCGAGAUUUAUAUUUGUAAAUUCCGUCAAUUUUUAGAUAGAAAGGUGAGAUUACCUCUUCUGAACAUAACAUAGUUUUUUAAUUAUUAAUUAAGGCUUUUAUAUUUAUAUAUUAUAAAAUUAUGCAUGAAUUUAAUGAAUUUUAAAUGAAAACAUAUUAUAGAUUUGGUUAAAAAAAGAGAGACAUUACUGAACUAGCAGACUGGAAAAAUAAAAAGCUUAUGAAGAAAAUUUAUUGAACUCUAACAAAUAUUAUUAAAUUCUACCAGAUUUCAUAAAUAGAUAUUUUUAGGAAAAAAAAAGUAAAAAAAAAAUCAUAUGAAAAAAAAAUCACACUUUAUUUAUUUAUUUUUUUUAAUGGGUGAGUCGACUCCGGCUCAACUGCUGCAGUAGGUACUGCAACCACUCAUGCAGAUGCAAAUGCAGCAAUUAGGCCUAACUGCAUCAAAUCAAAUAAAAAUUUAAUAAAUACAUGUAUAUAUUUUUUAACUACACUACAGUUGAAAAUAUAUAAAAUCAAACAGUCCCUUAAUGACUUAUGUUUGUCUGUGCAUGUGACAUAAUUCAUUUCAUGAUUGUACCAAAACUAUCUUAUGAGUCGUUUCCUAUAGAUGAUCAAUAAGAAAAGACACCUCAGGGGUGCUGCGAGGGUAGUGGAUGGAGCCGGAGACGAGGAUGCGGCGGGCACCAUCGAUGAGGAGGGCGCGGUGGUCGUAGCCGACGGAGGAGGAGGCGACAACACCUGCUGCGAUCUCCGAAUCGGAGAAUCUGAUGAAGAAGAGAAACAAGAAGACAAGCAUUCUUGAGGCUGCUCCUGCCCCAAUCAUGUUCAAAAGAAGCAAGAAAAAAAAUGUGGGUCGACAAUUGUACCAAAAUGAUGUGGGUUAGCGCAAAAAUUGUCGUUUUUCAAAACAUGGGACACAAAAUAAACUUUAUGCUUCUUCGACGUGGAGUAGUUUGUGUGCAGUUAGUAAUUAUAGUAAUUAUUAAGAAAAACUUCAAAUACCCCCUUAUGGUUUCGUACUUUCUCACUUUAGCACCAUAUGGUUUAAAGUGUAUCAAGUUAGUAAUAUGUGGUUUCGCACUUUUUCACUUUAGUACCAUAUAGUUUAAAGUGUAUCAAGUUAGUACUAUGUGGUUUCACACUUUCUUACUUUAGUACCAUGUAGUUUAAUAUUUUGUUAAAUUAUAUGCAAAAAACUUCAAAACAAUUCAAAAUUUUAAGUUAAACUUUUUUAAAUGACGUAUUGAAAGAGUUUUGGCUUUUAGUAAUCCAAAAUACACACCUCCCUCUCGUUAAUAUUUUUGGUGUAAUCUUGCACUUAAUGCUAUAUUACCAAUCCAAUUACAUACCGAUAAACUAAACACAGUAAUCUUAACAGAAUUGUCUGUAAUCUUGUCAGGAUAAUCCGAACCAAACACACCCUAAGACCUAAGCCCUCCAU
This 93559-nucleotide long non-coding RNA is filed under the name Ananas comosus (pineapple). Its description in RNAcentral is "long non-coding RNA (ACOM_LNC015556)". Lineage: Eukaryota; Viridiplantae; Streptophyta; Magnoliopsida; Poales; Bromeliaceae. The record is from RNAcentral.